Molecule: long non-coding RNA, 89816 nt
Filed under: Coffea arabica (coffee)
Lineage: Eukaryota; Viridiplantae; Streptophyta; Magnoliopsida; Gentianales; Rubiaceae
Description: long non-coding RNA (CARA_LNC003603)
Source: RNAcentral
UUUUUUUUUUUUUUUUUGGUGUGUUUGGGUAAUAGAGGCCAAUUUUGCUAACAAUACAAAUCAAACACCGCUAGCAAUCCCUUCAUUCAUGUACCUUUCGUCAACAUUAAAGACUUGGAAAAGCAGUCGAUGCUGACUUUAAUUGUAUGGUUCACAUGGAAAGAUUACUCCCCCACGCCUUGAUUCACUUUAUCGAACACAAAUCUUAGUAGCGUAAACAUUUGACUUGCGACCCAUUUUAGGAUUGGAGUGCAAUAAAUGAGUUAGAUAUAUUUUUCAAUCGCGCGCGCGCUUUGCUUUCUUUUCUUUUAUGGGACUGAAACUUCAACAGUUUCUUUCUAGCACACAUGACGCAAGGCAGUAGGCAAAUUGGGCAUUUCAGUUUCCUUCUUCCUCUUAGACUCGUCUACUAAAAGCUGACAGGUUUGCAUUAAUGUUGUUAAGCUCGGAUGGAUUCGAGACUUUCAAGUGAUGAAAGCUGCAGGGCAAUACAUAGUUGAAAUUAAGAAAGUUCAACUUUAAUUUUCAGGGGUAUCAUUUUAUAUGCUGCUGGGGACAAAGAAAAUCGAGGUGUUGAUGAUAUUCUUGAUCAUUUCCUCGGUGUAGCAUUAAUGAAAGGGGGAGAAAAUUGAAAGAAUAAAGACAUACUACUAGUGUAAUUUAUUAUUUCAAAUGGUGGCCGUCCAUAUGUAUAUGUGACAUGUCUUUCAUGGUUCUACAUUCCUGGGGUGGGGUACGUAUUUGAUUUCAAGUUUAGAAAAUUGAAAGAAUAAAGGCAUACUACUAGUAUAAUUUAUUAGGGAAAAUGACAUGUUUCAUCCCUCACAUUUCACAAAAAUAUUCUUUUCGUCCCUCACUUUUAAAAUGAAGCAAUUUCAUCCCUGACAUUUAAAAAUUAAAGCUAUUACAUCCCUGACCUUAUUUUCAAUCUGAAUAAAACCAUCCAAUAAUCCAAUAAUAAAUUUCGGAGAUAGAAUUGAUAGGUCAUUCGGUCAAUUUCAUCAUAUUCACAUGACAUUUAUCAAACCAAAAAAAAUAAAUAUUAUAACAUAAAGGCCAUUAUUUGUUUUGGAAUAGUCGGGUUUUUCUUUUGGGUAAAUCUUUUCAUGCACCGUUAGUAUAUUCGCUUGCGAGUCUAAAUGUGUAUCAUAAAUACAAAAUUUGGUGUUUAAAUUUAAAUUGAAACGAUAUGGUAGGUACAUAAAACUAUCAGUGUAUACAAUGACAAUGUAGGAAUUCAAGUUGAGUUAUAUUCAAGUUGAGUUAACCAAGUGAUCUACCAAUUAUACCUCCAAAAUUUGUAAUCAGGUUGAUAGGUGGUUUGAUUCAGAUUGAAGAUUGGGUUCAAGGAUGUAAUAGUUUUAAUUUUUAAAUGUCAGGGAUGAAAUUGCUUCAUUUUAAAAGUGAGAGACUAAAAGAAUAUUUUUGUGAAAUGUAAGGGAUGAAACAGGUCAUUUUCCCAAUUUAUUAUUUCAAAUGGUGGCCGUCCAUACUCCAUAUGUAUAUGUGACAUGUCUCUGUUCAUUUCAUGGUUCUACAUUCCGGGGUGGGGUACGUAUUUGAUUUCAAGUUUUCAACAUCCAACUGUAUGUGACACGUGGCUUUCUCCCACCACCGAACAGUGAAUCCUGUGUAGGUUUCCCGCUACAUGAACAAAUUAUCAUGGACGAACGGGCAUCAUCAACCCCUACAUACGUAAUAAAUUCGAGAGAUUGGCCAAUCAUCCCGCGGUUGGACGACGUUUCUUAGGAGUAGUUUACAUAACAUAAUACCAUUUGCCGACUUGUAUAACCAACCUGUCAUUUGCAAUGCCCAGGAGCUUUGAUUGAAACUAAUACCAUCACCAAUAAAUAUGUAGACCAAGUAGUAGGCUUCGCAACUAAGUUUAACUCCACACGAUAUAAGAGGCUGAAUCAGUGUGUGUGUGGUAUAGCUAAAUGAAUUGUCUAGGUUAUGAAAGUUGAUUGAUUUAUGUGCUCAAGGAGAAAGUGUGUGCCCAUUGGACGGAAAAAAAUAGACAAUACUAGUAUUAAAUACAGUAGUAGCAAUUAGAGCAAAUACAAAUUAACUUAAUUGAUAAAUACAGUAGUAGCAAUUAGGGCCAAUACAAAUUAACUUAAUUGAUAACGUUAAGUCAAUUUCUCGUUCGAGGUCGUAUGCAAGCAUUAAAUUGGUGGGAUAUUUCUAAUCUAUAAUAGUGACUCGAGCUAAAUUCAGCUUAAUCUUUUCUUUAGGAACAAAAAAAAAAACAACUACGGAUUUCUAUAUGUAACUAUGUAGGAGUUUUGGAUUUGUUAAAACGGAUUAAAAUAUGUAUAAAAGGUGGAUGGAAGGAACUGAACCUCCGCGCUAUAAAAUAAAAUGUAUGUGCUGCUAAUGCUAAAGUACGACAUAGUAAUAUUAGUGCUAUUGACCACAGAUUCUCUUCCAAGCCUCCGGCCCUCACCUCAUUGAACUCUUUGAGUUGUGACCAGCACCGAAAGCAAUUCAAGACAGAGACCUCAAAACUCAUCAUUUUCUACCCGUCAUCGACUUCGACUUCCAUGGUUUGCUUCUGCUUUUUGGUGGAUCAGAAGAGGAUGGUAAGGCGGUGCAAGCCGGUGGCAGGGUCGUGUUCGCGGUGCGGUCGCGGGGCAAGCGUGGCCGAAAUGCGAACUUCCACGAGAUUCUGUUACAUUCCAUUUUAUUGGAAAUCUUGGAAGGCGAUCAUAUGCAGCUUCUGUGGAGCCGUUCUCAAAUCCUACAGAUAAACAACUCUUUCUUACCCUGUGGUGCGGGUGCCUUUCUUGUGCACAAUUUGUAUAUUGAGCUAGAAGCCAAGUGAUCAUGAUCAGAUUGAUGCUGAUCAUUCUUGGAAAGUCACAUCGAGCUGCUACUUUCUUUAGUAAUCAUGGAACUUCAGGGUUAAGCAUCGCGUUAAGGGGAAUAAGGAGGAAUGUUUCUUGGACAGUACAGCACCCACUGAAAGAAUCUAAUACUCAGUUUGCCGGAUGUUCUCAAACUUUGAGUUGAAGAGAAGAGGAGAAGUACGGGCCCUUUUUUUGUUUGUUUUUUUCCCCCUAACCAAUAUCUGUAUUUCAUAUAAGUACUUUCUUUAUCUCUUAUUUUUCGUAUCAGAAAUUUCAUCUGCUAAUCCCUGAUCAGCAUAUUUACCCAAAAAAUUUCUUUCUGCUCCCCCUAAUUUCUGGGUUAGUGGAAACGAAGAAAAGUGUCAAUCCUCGACCUCGAGAAAUAUUUUGACAGUUGAAUACUAGUCAUCCUCAGGUUUUACCAUGGUGGUUCGUUAAUACAAGAGCAAAAGGUUUACCUUCUCAACAAUGCUUUUUUUUGCUGUAUCAACAUACUAUCAGUAUACUUACUAAUCCAAAUACCAUUAUAAUGUCUUCAACAACACCUUUUAUCCGGUUAGUGCUGAGGUUUGAAUUGAAUAGCUAACAAUGAACUGCUGUGCCUGUACCCUUUCUCAACAUGAUUUCAAUGUGCUUUAGUUAUAUAUUCUUCUCUCCCUUCUGUGUUUUUAUUUAUUUAUUUAUUUAUUUAUUAUUCCCUUUUAUAAUUCUACAUCAUAAAUGUUAUUAAUUACCACCGUAUUGAAAUUUCUCUUUAAUUAUACCGAAUCUAAGCACAGAAGACCAUCUAGAAUGCCAUUAUGAUUUAGGCAGGGUCGUGUAAGAUACCCCCUCCGUCCCACUUUGAUAGUUCUGUUUCUUUUUUCACACAAUUUAAAAAAAAGUAGUUAAUUUUGUUAGAAAAGUAAAUUUAGAUUGCUAUUUUUCUAAAAUACCCUCACAUUAAAUAGAGUACAACUUUAUGGGAACUUGAAUUUAUGGUAAAAAAAAGAAUCAACUCUCAUUAAAUGGGGUAGGUUUAUAGUAACAAUAACUUACAUUGAAUAAGGGCAUUUUAGAAAAAUUAAAAUACAACUACAUUCUUUAAUUGGAAAGUGGACUACAAUUUGGAACAGACAAAAAAGGAAAAUAGAACUAUCAAAAUGGAACGGGUAUAUACUAGGCUUAGGCGUUAAGGUUCGUACAAACAUGAGUUGUUUAGAAGGCUGGAGCAUUGGCUUGGUCCCCAUCGCAAACCUAAAAUCCUAAUUAUAGUUGUGGAGUUUUCCAGCGCUGAUAUUAAAUUAAAAUUUGCUUGACAGAGCUUUUUUUUUUUCCUCCCAAGAUUAGGAAGGAAACGACAAAUUUCAUUGUCAAGAAACUCUGCCAUUCUAAAUUUUUCUAAUAUCAUCUCCAAACAAACCAGCAAGAUAUGUCAGAACUAGACUCCAUGUCUUCGUCUUGGAGGUGGGAUUGUACAGACAUUUACUAAAUUCAAGAGAUAUGAUGUACUUUUUCGUUUCAAGGUUUAGUUAAAAAAAUAAGUCACGCUUUCACUCGAAACUAUCUCAUCAUGUGGUUUCAUAUUCGAAUAUUUUUGACGGUUUUGGAAAUAGAAUUUAUACUUUCUUCAACUUAGUCCUACAUCGCAAAAUGAUUAUCAGUGGGUAAAACUAUAGAAAAUUUUCACUAAGAAGAUACUUUCUAACAAUCUAGAACACACACAAAUUAUUAUUAAUUAGUAAACUAAAAAAAAAAAAGAAGAAAGUUGAGUUAAUUCUUUGACAUGAGGAGUAAAAAGGAACAAAAAAAAAAAAAGGAGAGACUUUUGGUAGCAUUUGGUAAUUCAAAAACGGCCAGUGACAAAAUAAAAUGUGUAUUUGACUUGACCCAAAAAGAAAUUAAUUCGAGGAAAAUUAUCAGAAAGAGCGGCUCACGUGAAUGGCGGUGCUAACGUUUUGAACUUUCUCCUACAUUCUAGUCUUGUAUCAGAGGAUAGGCUGUCAUUCUUACGUGUUAGUACUUAAUUCCUCUUUACAACUCGACAAAAUUAAUACCAAACGUACAUAUGACAAAUAGAUUAAUAGUACUAGUUUUUAUCAUCUGACGUCUUGGGCCUCCCACCCGACUCCUCUAACCAUCUUGAUCCUGCAAUUUUCGAUUAAUGCUGGCUUGGGCAGCAAAUGAGACGGACUUCGGGUUUUUAAAUGUUUUUGACAUAUCUACAUGGAUUGUCACCGACUGCUCGAGUUGCUAUUAGUUUCAACCUUGAUAUGGAUUCGAUAUGUAACGCUCCGGCCCAAGGCUCCUAGUUGACGAGGGACCGGGUUUCAUCAAGUCAAGUCGAAUUUGAAUAUGCACCAUUUAAUUUCAAUUCGAGUUAAAAUAAUCGAACUCGAAUUUGUGGAAUUUUGAGAAGUCAAAUUCAAACUCGAAUUAGAUGUCAUAUUCCUCUUACUCGAAUUUAAAGUCUAAUCGUGCUUACCUAAUAAAAAUUAGUAUUUUAUAUAUAAUUUUGAAGAAAGGAUAUAAUUGACGUUUCAUAUUGUUACAUAUAAAAAAUUAUAUGUGUGUGUCUAUAUAUAUAUAUAUAUGUAUGUAUGUAUAUAGAAAGUUGAAUUAGACUCGUUGAACAUAUGAGCUUAGGAAUAUAAUACUCGAACUCAAUUCGUAUGUAUUAUCGAGUAACUCGAAUUCGAUUAACAUCAAACUUGAGUCGAGUGGUUGACUGAGUUACUCGUGAGUUUGACUCGAGUAGUUUGGUCAACUUGGAACCCUGCAAAAACCACCAUUCACAAUGUAUGUCAUAUACACGAUUGAUGGUGUGAUAUGUGCAUCAUUUUUUUAAUACCAAAAAAUGGAGUUUUAGCAUUAUUAGGAGAAGAUUUUGAAAAAUAAAGGGAAAAAAAUUCAAUUUGUCAUUUUAGCAUUAUUACGAGAAGAAUUUGAAAGAGCAAAGGAAAAAAAUCAAUUUGUCAAAUUUCCCUAGUGCAUUGUUAAAUCAUCUUUUACCAAAUUAAUGUAAAAGAGCAUCAUGAAAUUUAAUCUAGUCAUUGUCUAUGUUAUCAUCAUUCAUGCAAAUAUAUAUUGAUUGACAAUCGCUAAACUACGUAUGUGAGGCUACACAAUGAUCACCGUUGUGCACGUCAUGUGUCAAAAUCAGACGAAUUCCGAAGAACUUUAUUUCAUCAGUCGUUAUUUUUGUGUUCAAUUGCAGAUUUUACUGCAAAAAGUAAAAUUACAGAUAAAUCGACCACACUGAAUUUUAACACAUAAUUUGGAUUCCUUGUUUUUGCUUCUGUUUUUGAAAAACUGUUUUUCACAUUCCAAAUGCUACAGUAAAUGUGUAUUUCCAAAACAACUCAAAAAAUACCAUAUCCAAACAUUAUAUCAAAAACAACUUCAUAUGUAUAUUUCAAUUAUGUAUAUUAUAUAUAUAUUAUAUUAAUUUAUUUCAUCAGUCGUUAUUUUUGUGUUCAAUUGCAGAUUUUACUGCAAAAAGUAAAAUUACAGAUAAAUCGACCACACUGAAUUUUAACACAUAACUUAGCCCAAAUUUUUUAUUUUUAAAAAAGGUUUGCAUACCCAAGCCCAAUCUGUCGACCCGCCCUUUCGGCCCAAAACAAAAAUUGGAUUAGCACUUAUUUUUGGGGUACAAAAGAAUUUAUGGUUUCCUCGAACAAGAACUUUUUCUGUGAUCAAAACGGAGCAUCAGCAGUACUCUGGUUGGACAGGGGAAGAUGAUGAUGGCCUUAUCCAUUGCUGCUGCUGUUGCCUCCCCAGCUCAUCAUCCAAAGCAAACUCUAAAACCCCUUAAACCCCUUAAGCCCAUACUUGGUCUUCCACUUCGCAUAAGUAGCCGGCUCUCAGUUCCCAAGCUUCAUCUUUCCGACCACCCCUUUGUCCCUGAGGUACAAUAAUUUAGACUAAAAGGCAAUUACUUUGAAGCAACUAUGUGUUGCUCGUUGCAAGAAAAUGCUACUUUUGAUUUGUCAUGAGUUGAAAUGGGCAGGUUGAAAGAGCAGUGGAUUCGUUGCACUCGGAGUUCAGAGCUGUGGAUAAUCUGGUGGCCCGCAAUACUGCUCGUGUUCUCAAGGCUUUUCAAAAUGUCCGGGUCGGAUCUCAUGUAAGGAGAAAAUGCUCUCCUUCAUUCUUCUUCUUCUUCUUCCUUUCUUUUUUUUUUUGAGGAUUUUGGUGGGAUUUUAGCCACAAUGCAGAAUGAUGCUUAUGUCUCAUACUGUUCUGGUUUAUUUUCUGAAUUUUGGCGCAUGAUUAUAGUAUAGUUACUUGCAAAGUAAUCAGAGAUUAGGACACAACUGACAUUUUUUUGAAGCUUGAGUGAGGGUAAUUAAUAAAGUCAAGUCUUCAGCUUAUCUUAACUUAAAUUUGGCCUAGUUGGUUGUUUUCUUCUUUCUUUAACAGAAGUCAUAUUCUCGAUUAGAAAGAAUUCUCUGCUCCACGUUGUCGAUUUUAAAGCCAAAUUCCUAGUAAUCGACCUCUCUUCUCUUCUCUGAUUAAGAAAGACCUCUUCCACCUUUCAUUGGACGUGUAGUCUGCUCUUUUUUCUUUUUUCUUUUCCAAUGGGCUAAAACAAAAGUAUUGGCAACAUUUGUAGAAUUUUAAUCCACGUCUUUCAAUCUAUUUUGUCGUCAUGAGAAUCUUCAGAAAAAGUGUUAUAAAUCAGGGAAGUUUACAUCUAUUUCAUACGGAAAGAGUCAGCACACAUCAAAUUGAGCAGUCUGUUCAAGUACUUGCCUGAGGCAGUGCCAUGAUUGUCAAUUACGGGAAUUUAUGGUGCAAUAUUAAAAUCUUCUUUGAAGUCAAAAGUUUGGUUGUAUUUUUCUUGUGUAGAGGUGCUGAGUGGGAACCAGAGAAGGGAAAAGAGAAGUUGAUUUUUUUGUAACGAUUUCUAUGAAAAUGAUUUCAGUAUUUGUGGAAGCUAAGGAAAACAUUACGAAUAUUUUAAUAUAGAAUAAAAAUAUCAAUAUUUGUUUGAAUAACUCAGAAAUAGGAAUUGUACCAUUACACAAUGCCUCUUACACAUGGUUUUGCUGAGGCGGAACUGGAAAAUUGCAACUUGCAGCUUACCGAUGUUGUCAUGUUUACAAUUUAUAAAUGACUGCAAGAUAAAUUUAGCAAACAUGGCAAUCGUUCUAUUCUCGAGUACCAGGAAACACCAGCAUAUGGGCACUUGUUGUCCUUGUUAAAUUCCACGAAGUUAAUUUGACUUUGCCAACCAUUUUAUUGGCAUUAACUGUACAUCUUGCACCUGCUUCAGCACUUUAGUAGUAGCACUGGCUAUGGACAUGAAGAAGCUGGAGGACGUGAAGCCCUUGACCAAGUUUUUGCAGAAAUUUUCGGUGCUGAAUCUGCCAUUGUUCGAGCACAGGUUUACCCUGCAUUGAUUGUUAAUAUUUGUAUGCUUCCAUGUUAGAUUGGUUCCUUAAUUCUGUUAAUGUUUUCGUUCAUCAGUUUUUCUCAGGUACCCAUGCCAUUACUUGUGCUUUGUUUGCCUUCCUGAGGCCUGGGGAUGAGGUUAGCAGUUCUUUCUCUUUUCCUUGUUUUUGAGUCUCAACCCAAAAUCAUAAUACGGUUAUGUUGAUUUAUUUAUCAGCUUCUAGCAGUUGCCGGUGCUCCUUAUGAUACAUUAGAAGAAGUUAUUGGAAUCAGGGACUCUCAUGGAGUGGGCUCUUUGAAAGAUUUUGGAAUAGAGUAUAGAGAAGUCCCAGUAUGUUGCUGUUCUCGUUCUCAUGCACGUAUGUGCAUGUUGUAAAGUUCUAUUCUUCUGAUUUUUUACUCAUUGGACCAUGCUCAGCUUAAGGAGGAUGGCAGCCUUGAUUGGGAUGCACUUAAGCUUGCUGUAAAAUCGAAGACUAAAUGUGCACUCAUUCAGAGGUCGUGUGGUUACUUAUGGCGUCACAGUUUGAGUGUUACUGAGAUAGGAAGGGCCAUAGACAUUAUCAAGGUAAACCUUCAGAAGUUCCACUAGAUGAUAUGAUCCUACUCUGUGGACCAAGUAAUCAAUAGCUAUCAACGAUGAGUAAGGAUGUGAAGCAUAAGUCCUAUCAUUGUGUCCUUGCAACACUUAGAAAUUAAAUUGGAGUUACAUUGACACUGUUAAUGUGAUAUCCUCUUGACGUCUUUGACAAUUGCCUGAAUGAGCUAAAUCUUCCUGUAGAUUUGCUAAACCGUGAAUUAUUUAAGAUUCUUACUGAACUUUUCCAUUGUUAGCCUCUUCAUUUUGUUUUCCUGUUCAUGAAGGAUUUGUACGUGCAGGUGCAGAACCCUAACUGUUUGGUCAUGGUUGAUAAUUGCUAUGGUGAAUUUGUGGAGAAUAUUGAACCUCCUAUGGUUGUAAGUUGAAAGAUUUUUUUUUAAUCGUCUCAUUUACAUUCUUGUUGAGGUACAAGUAAAUUAAGUGAACUGAGGGCAGGGUGCAGAUCUAAUUGCUGGGAGUUUGAUAAAAAAUCCUGGUGGAACAAUCGCUCCUUGUGGUGGUUAUGUUGCUGGUAAGAAGAAAUGGGUGGAAGCAGCAGCAGCUCGUCUCUCAGCUCCAGGACUUGGUGUUGAUUGUGGUUCAACACCUGGUGAUAUAAUGCGAACUUUUUUUCAGGGUUUAUAUCUUUCACCUCAAAUGGUUGGGGAAGCAGUUAAGGUGCAUUAUCUUUCGAAUUAUGUGAAUAUCAUGUUUUGACCUUUCCAACCUUGAAUAAUGGGUUUGUUUUGUCUACAAGGGAAGCUUUUUGAUUGCUGAAGUCAUGACAGAUAAAGGAUACAGGGUGCAGCCUCUUUCUCGGAUUCCACGUCAUGAUACUGUGCAGGUUUGUAUAUGGAUAUCAGUGGUGCAUCUCUAUUCUGUUGUAUCUGUGAUAGAAGAUGAUUGCUCAUAUUCUUCAAGUGCACACCUUUGAGUUGAUUUCAAACAUGUAAUUCUACGGUAUGGUCGACGGCUAGUCUAGCAGCUCCAUUUGCAAGUGUUGUUUUGUGCAACAAUUCAUGGGACCUCUAAUGUUGAUAAUUCUAUCCCUAGAUAUGAUUGAAAGGAAUUGGUGCACCACUGAUGCACAUGUGAUACUUCUUAGGCUGUGCAACUUGGAAGCCGUGAACUUCUGCUUGCUUUCUGUGAAGCUGUGCAAAGAAGCUCUCCAGUAGGUUCCUUCACUCGGCCAGUUGCAGGAGCAACUCCCGGCUAUGCGUCGGAGGUAAAUGCCAAUUUCUGUCUUUUUCAUCAUGAACUGAUUCAGGGAGACUUAGUAUAGGGUUUGUACAAGCACAUUGCUGAAUGGGAUUACUUAAAUGUGUGAAAACAGGUGAACAAAAAUGCUGUGAAUCUGCAAUUGGCUUAUUUUAUUUACCUCUCCAGUCUUAGGUGCACUUAAGUUGAAUGCUAUGUUCGUACUUACCACACAUUGCCAUAGCUCCCAAAGUAGCUCAUACAUAAACAAAGUCGUGACAAAACAGAUCAAAUCUUUCCUUGAAUGUGUUCUUUUCCAAUGUCUCUUCCUCCCAAAAUCUCAGGAGACCACAUAAAUAUUAUGGUGUAUUCUGGUUAUUCAGCUUCGAAUAUAAUUUGUCUGACUUUCUUUUCUGGGUAUUUUUUAUAUGAAUCUUCCUCUUAUUUAUUAUGUUAUUUCAAUGCACUAUUUAAGUGCCAAUAUUUGAAAAAAGUUGUUUGGAUAGAGUAUUAUUCCAAAUAAUUAUUUGGAAUAAUUACUGUAGCACUUUUUUGUGAUGUGAUGUAUGUGCGAUAAAAAGGUGGAUUGGGAAAUAUGUUUAUGAUGCAAGCGAAAAUUUUUUUUGGAAAAAUUUGUUAUCCAAACAUUUGUAAAUUUUGCAGAUAUAUAAAAAAAAUUUUAAAAAAAUUUGCAGAUAUAGGCAUAAUGGGUUCUUAUGAUGACCUUUGUAGCAUUUUCAAUAAGAAACAAGAAAAAUUUCGUCUUGGCUUUUAUAGACAUUCUUUCUUUUGGUGUAAGCAGUAAAUCUGCUACCAAAUCCAGGAAUAUAGUCUAUACAUCCACUUAUGGUGUCUUAAGAUUUCGGUUCAUCAUUUUGACAUAUUUCUGAAAAAGAAAUCUGCAACUCUGACAAUUACUCAUGGUUUAGGUGAUUUUUGCUGAUGGGACGUUCGUUGAUGGGAGCACAAGUGAACUCUCAUGCGAUGGGCCAUUACGGGAGCCCUUCUGUGUUUUUUGUCAGGUUGGUGCACAUGACCUCCAUUAUCCUCAUUUUGGGAUACCAAACUGGAGACAUUUCCUUUAAGAUAUAGCAGCCUUGAAACAUUUGACUUUGUUUAAAACGUCUACAAAUCAUGGAAUGCUAAACUGCUUCUUCAAAUAAAUUUCAAUGCAGGGUGGCACUCAUUGGACACAAUGGGGACUAGUUUUAGGGGAAGUUUUAAAACUUUUGUGAUAGAGAGUUGGAAUAAUUAAGAAGGGUGCUUUGAAGCAUGAUCACGACAUAUUGGUAUACCACAUGAGGUUAUAAGUGGCCAUGAAAUGACAGCCAGCCUAAAAAGGACUGUUCAUUUGCUGUUAUGACGUGAUCUUACAAUCAGCUGGAAUAAGGUAACGGACCUAAUGAAUAAUUUUCUGCCGUGCAAUACUCUAAAACAUGAUUCAUGAUCGUUUUAAUCAUCUAAAUUUUGGGCUUGACCUUUCUAUAUGUCUUAGGCUCUACCGGUGGGAGAACCAUAAACUUGGUCGGAGUCUUUUGAGUAUAUUGGCAGAGGCAGGAAAAUAGUGGUUAUCUGAUUGUUCUUUAGCUACCAAUUUUGAAAAGUUGUUUCCCUGUCUUUAGCUCUUAGCCCAGCUUUAUGCUGGUUUUGGGUGGCAACAUUAUAGGGUAACCAUGACCUUAGAUGUUACAUGAUAAACAUGAUUGCUUCCCUGUUAUAUCUGGUAACAAGAGGGAAUAAGUGUUGAUUCUGGCAUAAAGCCUGUUUCUCUCUUUUGGUAUUAAGAAAGAAGCCAAUUAAACAGGUUCGUGUACCCUUAAUAUGGUAAUAGUACUUGAGAACAGAGACGGGAAUAAUAGUUCAUGGAGGAAAGUUUUAAUUUUAAGCAGUGUGAUGGAAAGGGAUAUGGAUGUUGGAUCCAUUUGGCAUCUUCUUUGACUGUUUGUGCAUGUAAUAGUUAUUGUUUGAUUCGUUUCUGGUUAAAAUUGUCAGGGUUGUGGCUGCUUCAUGAAGCAACAAAAUGUUCAAGAGAUAUUCAUAUCUCAGGUGGUGGAUAAUUACAAUCUGGCAGUCUCUAUUUUCUUCUCCACCUCCCCAAAACCCCCUCCUUUCUUGAUAUUUUUCUGCAGCAUAUGCUCAAUUUUGUCUCCACACAUUCUUCUAGAAACUUGUCUCUCUCUUUUUUUUUUUUAAAGAUAUAUAUUCUCCUAGAAAUGUUAAUGUGUCGGCAGCAAAAUUUUUUAGCAAAUUAUAAUGCAGGAGAUUUGGGGUAUCCCAAUUUUGUUUCAACAUGAAAAAAUCUCCCUUCUGGUUUCAAGUUUGUUUGUUGUGUUGUAGUAGUAGUUUACUUCCGUUAUCCUACUACAAACUCCAGAAAGUAAUUAUAAAUCCGGUCCAAUUUGUGUCAAGUUUUUUGGUUAGCACAUCAUCAAAGGCACACUUUUCACUUAGUCAACAUCACACCAUUGAGCAAAACUUAUAAUUGUGUGAAGCACAGAUUCAAGAAAGACUCGAAGCAUUUUUGGUAAACCAGAUUGGCUUCCUAUCUACCUGUGAUAAUCUAAUCAAAUCCCUCCAGUUGCUUCUACAUUUUCAAGGAAAUUGUUUCAAGAAUUCGUAGCAAAUAAUUCAGGAAAAGAAACGAGCAUGAAUACUCGAGACAGACUUCCAUAUGGUCCACUUUUGGUUUCGUGUAGCGUCUUUUUGCUUUGUUGUUAGCGUAUAAUACUCUCUUAAUGGUUGAAUGAUCGCUGUCUUCCCCGCUGUUCCUUUCAAGACGUGCCCAAAAAUGAGAAGCAUGCAGCAUCUCUAUCAAAUCUUCAAUCUGAUUCUUGCAGCCAUACGGAAAACCUUCAUUUUCAUUUGUAUUCGUCCCUGAUCCCCGACAAAAGGGAAUAUUAGAUCGGUUCCCUUCAGGUUUUGCAUAAUUACAAAAUUUUCCCUUUUAAAAGUUCCGAAGUGAGAAUAGGUCCAUGUAAUAUUGAAUCAAUUCUUAACCACAGAUUCCUCAGUGAGUAACGUUACAUUUGUAUUGAAUCAAUUAUUUCUAUCAAAGUAUCAAAGUUCUCAGCUACCUAAUGCCAAUUAAACUCAAAUAAUUAGUAGUCGAACUUAAAUUUUAAGUAAAAGCUUUUAGAAUAUGAUCAUUUAUACACGUGUAAUGUAAUAGAUGUUAAAAAAGUAACAAUACGGUAAACUUGAUGAGUCCGCGACUCAAGUCAACUUGAACUUCUGGAUCGAUCUGCCUUGAGCAUUUCUUUUGGUCAGUUCACUCAAACAAGGACAUGAUUGAAAGUAGGAAACUUAAUUGGGAGUAAUUAAAAUUUUAGUAAGAAGAAGGGACGGAUUUAGUCCAAAUAACGUCUCGAGAUCAGCAACAAUAAAUAAUACCGCGAGUACUUACUCAGGAUUCAGGAGUACAACGUGGGGUGGGACCGACGCUUACGAUUGCUAUACGAUUCUUCAGCUACUGUUGAAGGCGCGUUUUUUCAAUCGUUAACAAGUCCAAAUUUUCUUUGUUUGUCAGUUUUCCCCACUUUUCUUUCGGAAAUUCCCAAGCUGUAGUUGGACUUAUUCACGUACAAAUGGGUUUUUAAAGAAAUUCGUUCUGAAGUAGUGGUUGAUAGGGGGUAGAGGAGUAAUUUUAUGUUUCAGACUUGCACAGGCCCACAGUUCGUCGUUGCACAUCUACUUGUUAUCAUAUCAACCCAUUUCAGCUUUGAUUGCAUUCAUCUGUUGAUCAAUCGCAGCUGGAAAGUGGCAACCCUGUAAGUGCAAUUCUUGAGAACUCUCCGUUUUACAUCAAUUUUGAGGUUGGCUCGUGUAAUCUCUCAUUUUUGUGAUAAAUCAGAGAACUUGAAGUAAAAUUUUGUCUUGAAAUGAGCGAUUCUUGUGUAAGACUGGGAAAGUUUAAAAUCUGCUGUGCACUGAAUGUGUUGACUUUGUUGAUGUGCCAUAGUUGAUGUUUUAUAUUGAGAAGAUUUAAACUGAUGAUUGUUAAAGAUCCUGUUCUUUUCUUGCAAAUCAACUCAUGAAACUUGAGCUACAUUCAGAAGAUUUUAAGUGAUUAUUGUUACCGAUCAUGUUCUUUGCUUGCAAUUAGCUUAUGAACUUUGAGCUCUAUUGAGAAGAUUUGGGGUUAAGCACAAUGAAGUGGAUAAUUCCUGAAGAAAUUAUCCAGCUCAUGUUGGCUUCCCUUUUUUUUAUUAUAUAUAUAAAAAAAAAUUGAACCUUUUGCAGUUUCAGAAGUGCUACGAUGAGCAAAUGGCUCGAGACUUGAAUCAUAGGAACUGCAAGAAAAGCUUUUAUGAGGUAGUUGGUUAGGCAACUGUGAGUGUUGAAGAACUCUUUGGGGAAAGCCGGGGUCUUAUGAGCGUGAGGAGACUUCUUUGAUCGUAUGUUUAAGUAAUUUCAUUGGGUGUAUGUUAUCACCGUUGGUUUUCAGAUUAAAGGCUGCUCAACAUUGACCCAUGGUUGAGCGAGUCAUUGCAUUUCGAUAUAUUUCUGGUUAAAAAAUUUUCUUUCUAGAGUUGAGCUGCAUUGUUGGCUCUGUAUCUUUCAAAAAUCUGCACAGUGAUUGACAAAAGUUGCAUGAUGGAGCAGCGAUCUGUUAAAUAAUUUUGGAUUAGCAUACUUCUACAUUUAGAUGAAUAUCAAAUGUUCCAGUGUUGAUUAGUUGCUAUAUUACGCCAUGAAUGUUGAAUAUUACAACCUCAGCUGCGAUGUUGAUUUAUGAUUCUGGAUGUAAUUGACAAGAACUAAAAUCUUUUACUGCUAAUGAUUUUUCAUUUUCUCCUUUCGAGUUACAGAUAUAGCCAAAAUGGAUCGAGGUCAACUCACCUUCAUGGGAUCUACUGUAUGUGUUAUGCUCACCCUGCAUUUCACCAUACAGCUUCUGACGCAACACUUCAUGUCUUGGAAAAAGCCAAAGGAGCAAAUAGCCAUAGUUAUCAUCAUCCUCAUGGCUCCCAUAUAUGCCAUUGACUCAUAUGUUGGCUUGUUAGAUCUUCUUGGAAGCAAACCAUUUUUCACUUUCUUAGAAUCUGUCAAAGAGUGCUACGAAGCUCUGGUAAGCCGUUUUGUAGCCAAAGAGCAGAUUGUCCACCAUCUGGUUUUGUUUUCUCAGUUUCUUGGAUCUAUGGUACAUUUGUACUCCUGCAUUUCAUUCCAAUUUUGCUAACUUUCUCUUUUCAUUUUACAUAGGUGAUGGCUAAGUUCUUGAGUUUGAUGUACACAUACUUGAACAUAUCGAUAAGCAAAAAUAUUGUGCCAGAUGAAAUUAAAGGACGGGAGAUUCACCACUCCUUCCCAAUGACACUUUUUAUGGUAGGGUUGUUUGAUUUCAGUUCAAUUUUUUGUUUAGUCCUGGCUUGUUUUUGGCAGAAACAUCUUUCCCACAGUGAAGAACGCGGUUUGAGUGUGCAGAUCUUUUUUAAAAAUAAGUAUGCUGAGUGUUGCUUGCAAGGGAUGAGAAAAAAUAACAAGUUGUGCAAAAGGUUACUGUAUCUCUUGCUUUAGCAAUUAGAUGUAGAGCUCACGAUGGGUUGCUUUCUUGUUUAAUAGUUGUUUCCUUAAGAUGAGUCAGUUUCUGAAGGGCCACACACCCAUGAUUGUUUACAGUCACUAAUUAUAAACUGUCAGUAUGACUAAUUAAGCUCCGUAUGCCAAUCGAAAGGCACUGAAGAUCAUGGCCACUUGAGCUCUAUCACUUGGUUAUCUAUUGUUCCUUGAUCUCAUGGCCAAUGUCACAUGCCUAAUCUGCUGUUUAUAUCUAUUGCAGCCUCACACUACCCGUUUGGACCAUAAUUCACUGAAGCUUCUCAAGAAUUGGACGUGGCAGUUUGUUGUCCUUCGCCCUGUGUGCUCCGUCUUAAUGAUUGCUCUUCAAUUGCUUGGCUGGUAUCCUGAUUGGGUCAGCUGGAUAUUCACCAUGAUUCUAAAUGUAUCCGUUUCAUUGGCAUUGUAUUCCCUUGUGGUUUUCUACCACGUUUUUGCUAAAGAGCUGGCACCACACAAACCCCUUGCGAAGUUCUUAUGUAUAAAAGGGAUUGUUUUCUUCUGCUUCUGGCAGGUAAGCUUGCCACAGUACCUGUCAUAAAGUUGCUCAUAACUUUAGUUUGAAAUGGAGAACAAACUAUAUUGCUUUUUAUCAUGCAUGGAAGAAAGACUAUUUCCACAAUUGUCUAUAAUUAUGGGCAUAUUUGGUAAUGUACUGCUGGUAAUUAGUCUGGUUUGUCUUCUUAUAAUGUUCUGGGGCUAUUACAAGUAACUUGUGGAAGUUCUUCAAGGGGCUUGUAAGUAGUUGCUAGGACACCUCUUAGCCUGUUUUGACAGCCAUUUUUUCUGUGUGGCAUUGGUGCAUCUUGCUUUCAUGUCAUUGUUCUUUGUCACACCUUGUGCUAAUUAGCCGCGCAACUUGAGCAUAAAUAUACAAAAGAAAGCGAUACUGCUACAAUUAGGCUUAAAUGUAAUGAGCUCGGACAGGGUACAACUGAGUGGUUGAAUAGGAAGUGCAUAGCAUACCUUCUACUUUCCUUUUUGCAAGUGAUGAACUAUCUAGUUUCCAUAUAUUUGUUAAGCCAGCAAAUUUUAUCGCUUUUGCAGGGUUUGCUACUCAGUGGUCUUGUGUCCGUUGGCAUAAUCAAAUCUACUCAUUUCUGGCUUGAUGUGGAGCAUCUUCAGGAAGCUCUUCAGAAUGUCUUGGUGAUUGUGGAGAUGGUUUUCUUCUCCAUUGUUCAGCAGCAUGCAUAUAGUGCUGAACCGUACCGUACUUACUCAGUUUCGGGUUCUGGAGACAAAAAAAAUGAGUAAAUGAGUAAAAGAAAUUUUGAAGGUAAUUUUGGGGCAUCUCAGUUCCUCUCUGUAUUUUGUCUGGAGAUUUUUUGUGAUGUUGCCUAUCUUUAAGCUGGAGAUGAUAUUACCCUUAAUUUGGGAUACCAUCAGCAUCUUAGCAAGAGUAGUGGGAUUGCAAUAUAUUAUUUCUAAUUCCUGAUUAUACUGUGCUAAUUAGUUUUAUUUACAUUUCUCUUGCGUUGGUAAUAAAUUAUUGGAUGCAGAAUAGAAAUAAGUAAGAUGGUGAAGGUGAUAUUUGUGGUGUUCGCCAUCCUUCUGUCAUUUUAAUGCUUCUAUCAUGAGGAUAUUUACUCAAUAACUAAUAGGCGUCAACAGUUGCCUUUACUAAUGAAAAAUGAGGCAGAUAAUUAAACAUAAGAGAUUGGGACUUGGGAUAAUUUGACAAUAUUUCUGUUUAAAUAUCCUUGUCUGUUUUCCCAAUCAUUUCCUUUCUGUUUCUUUACUCCAGAGCUUCCUUGUAAACAGCCAUAUAGCUGGUCUUCUACACUUCGCUUCCUCAUCUUUGGUCCUUAGUUCAAUUUGUCCAAUUUAUCUCUCUCUUGGGGGAUUGUCAUUGAGGGAAAGGUAAUUCAGGUCUGCUAAUGCUGCCUGCAUCUAAAGCAGUCAAGUUCAGUAAUGGCGCGCUUGACUAAUGCAAUGCAUCCUUAGCAGCAAACAAGAGAAGAGACUGAUAUACUUGAAAAUGUACGCUAAUGAAAAGAUCUGCUCUAGUUAGGAUGCCUGGGAAAAGGCCUAAAUUCCGCUCUUCACGUCCGCUAACUGUCAUGAGAUACCCGUAAAGGAAAUGAGCAAUGGUUGUAUACCAAAACGACUAAUGCAAAGUCAGUGGAGCAUUGCGCUCAUCAUAUGUUCAUCAACAACGAUGGGAUUUUUCUUUGUUAAUCACAUUGAAAGAAGAAUAUAAAUUUUGUACAGCAGAAUCGGAGAGAAGUGAACAGAUCAAAUACGCUGUAGACAAGGGAGAUUUUCUCUCUCUUUCAGUCUAUGGAGACGACUCAGGCAAGGUAUUGGGUUGGUCAUCCAUCGAGAGGAAGCACGCAACAACAAAAUGGGAAGACUUCACGCUUAAUGCCUAUAACCCCAAGGCCAUGAUAAUGAGAGCUCAUGUUCCCCUUCCAUCUCAGAUAUAUGAACACAAAAAUUUGGAAGGAUGGAUGGAUCAAGCCUCGCAUCCAUUGUACUCUUGCUUUUUGAUAUGGUUAGAGAUUUUCUCUCUAACCUUCCACAACUAAUUAUGAUACAACCCGCAUUUUCUUUGUCCAAUAGUGAGAAUAUUCAAACUCGUCCACUACUCGAUUGUUAAUACAUAGAUUGUUGUUUUCUUUAAAUAAUUGCACGUAUGUAGUUCUAAAGAUCACUAGAAAAUGUCCGAAGUAGGUUUUUUUUUCCUUUCCUGUGAAGCAAGACUUUUACUAUAAAUAUACGUAAAAAUAUAUAAAAAAAAAAGAUUUAUAACUCUCCUCAUAAAUUUGUAAAAGUUCUUAAUGUGACUCUAGAAUCAAAUUUGACAAGUACUUACUAAUACUUCCAAUAUCUCUAAAAUAUACUCUUUUGUUUUCUCUUUCCUCUUCUUCCUUUUUUUCACUCUAGGAAACUGAAGGUUUUGUUUUUUUUUCUUUUUUUGGGAAAAGAGAGGAGAGAGGGGGGGGGGGGGUUUAAAUAUAGUACAGGGCGAAAAUUACAAAAGAAUCUUUUCAAGGGUUCCAUUUACAAAUAAUGGCAAAGACAAAUUGGUUGGUAUUCGGCCCAAAAGAUGCCGUCCAUCAAUGAAAAUGAACCGUGCUUAGAAGAAGACGAUUCUGCACUGAAAUCGCAACCCUUUCAGAAGUUGUGUUCCCUUUCCUCCGUCUCAGUAGCCGUUGGAGGAGCUUCUCAAAGCUCUCAGCUCAUUCCCUCCUUUUUCAUCACCUCUGCAAAAUUCCCGCCUAAGUUACACUGAUCUUCUCUUCAUCUUUUCAAUUCAUCCUUCAAAACCCUAGCUAUGAAUUCCUCAUGAAAUGCUGCUCUUUUGUGCAUUACAUGCAAAUACUCAAAUGGGAUUUUGAGCUUUUGGGCUACUGAGGUAAAUAUCCCGUUUUUCAGUUUUUCUAUUUUUUAUUUUUAAUUUUUUUUGACAAUGAGUUGUGCUUCGAUGUUGCUACGUUCUAUCAAUUUGGGGGUUUUUGUGGAAAACGUAAUUCUGGUGUGAAAAUGUCAACUUUCCAUAGUUUUUGUUUUAGAAUCGUAUGGUUUUGAAUUUUUCACUCUCUGGGCUUACAUAAUAUCUACUUGGAUUAAGUAUAUUUGUUAUUUCAGUUAUCUUUUGAAUCUGGUUUGGAAGUUUUGCUUGAUUUUCUUUUACUUGUUUCAGUUUCAAGAAAAUUUGUGUUGCAAUUGAGGUGAUGCCAGUCUGUUUAGGAUUUUCCAGCGCAAUUAAGAAAUGUUAGUAUGUCGAGAAUAGUUGAAUUUUGGAGGUGAAAAUUUUGCAAUAAAGAGAAUGGCUAGUUCCACACUUUGGCGGAUGUUGAAAUUUCUGCUUUUUAUAUGGUUGCAAUCUAUUCUGAUAAAUUGGCCAUCUUAGCUUGCUCUCAACACUUUAGCAUUUUUAAUUUUACUAUUGCAAAAGCGGAAUGACGGAAAUCUCUUGAAUUAAUUUACAAUAGCAUGUUUCUUUCAAAAUGUUUUUGAAAAAUUAAAAGCUCUCUUUCGAAGCACCUUGCUGGCUGCUUCUCAUAAUCAUCUUUCUUUCAGCUAGACAACAUCAAGGUGACAGCACCUCAAAAUGGAUUUUGGCCUAAAAAAAGCUAUAUUGUGCUGAAUUUAAGAUUCCAGAAUAAGUUGAACAGGUUUUAGCCUAUUUUGUGGGAAUUAGUUUUGGCAUGCUGUAGUGGAAAUAUUUUGACGAGCAAAUUCAUCUGUUGAAGAUGUCAUGAGUUGAUUGUGUGUGCUAGCCCAAUUUGGAUGAUGAGGACGAAUGAUGAUUAACAUUUCCAUGUCUUAGUUCUGAUGAUCAGUUUUGACGAUAGUUUCAAGGUCUGAAUGGCAACUGACACAGCACCAGAUGAGAAAGUUCACACCCAUGAAGAGAAGAUUGAAAGGCUCGAGCACACAAUUGACUACUUAAAGAAAGCAAUUGAAGACCUACAGAGAAGUCAGGAUGAACAAAUGCAGCACUUUGAAGGUCGAUUCCAAAAACUGGAAGGCAUGCAGAGUUGCUCUACCUUGGCAAAGCAACCAAAAGAGUUUCGAGGUGAAAAAAACUUUUGUUACUCUUAAACGAGAGUUCACAUAGAUAUUUUAAACCUUUACUUCUUCAAUAACCAGAGUUGUAAUGUACUGUAACUAUGCAACAAUAUGAUGCCUAGUUUUGGAUUUAGGUACAAAUUCCAAUUUUAAAGUGAGGUUGUGUCGGACCAUGAGGAACUAUAUGUAUGUCGCUGUUGACUAUCAGUGAUCGCCAGGCAAAAUUCUCUCUUUGGCAUUAGUCAUUUUUGUUUUGUAUCUCUCUGCAGUAAAGCCUAACACGCAAGAUGAAGUAGCAUAAAAAGUUAGGUCCUAAUCCCUCAUUUUAUUCUUUUGGAUUCCUCAGAAAGGAAUCUUAUUGUAUAAUGGAAGAUUGUAAGUUGUUGCCUUUUUCUUGCACCUAUAUAACUAUCCAACUCAAGGAAUUAUCUUUAAUGGGCGGGACUAUCUGUGGUUGAGUACAAAAUAGGAAUGAAUUUCCAGUGACCCACUUUAUCACAAGAACCCAUUAUUCUCGAGGGUACAUAAAUGAGACUUACAUGCUUUAUCAGACACUUGCUAAUAUCUUAUGCUUCCAGGACUAACAUUUGAUCUAUUGUGCCCAUGUAAUAAAAGUUCAUUUACCUACAUCAAACAGUCGUAACUAAGAUAAGAAAUCGAAUGUAUCACUUAAUUUGGGUUGCAUUCUUUGAGAAGGAUUCUCUCUCUGUAUCAAUGUUGUUUGUACUUGUGUGUUUGUUUAUUUAGUGCAAUAGUGCAUUACAAUGUGUUAUACAAACUAUGCAUAGUGCUUCAAAUUCAUUCAUUGAAGAGGAUCGAACUGACUUAUGACUUAUGACUUAUCCUUUACAUUGGAAAAAUGAUCCAGUAGUUUGUCAAAUUAUGGUGCUACCUCUCUUCCAUAUUUUAUGGCAAGAUGAAUUUGGAAUGACGUUCUUCAUGAAAAUUGAAGAAUUAAUGGGUCAUUGAGUGUCAAGCCUACACAUAAAUGGAUAUGAUAGUGCUUUAAUCAUCAUUUCUGUUUGGGAAAGUUCAAAAUUUUUUCCUAGCAAGCAGCAUAAAUAGUAUUUAUGGAAUAACAAAUACCAAUAUUGGUCUUUAUAGAUCCUGGGUUCAUGUUUCUUUAUAUGCUUAAAUCCCUAAUAUAUGUUGAAAGUAUUGAAAAGUUGCACUAGAUGAGUAAAAAUUUAUCUGGAAAGAAGAAGAAAACAUGGACACUGUUUUUUUGACAAAAUCAAUUUCAUUUUUCUGGUCAUAGUGUAACAUGGUUCAGAGGAAUAUUGAAGCCUGAGAUUUGUCACAGUGGUGCCUUAUGUAAAACUAGAUUUAGAUAUGGAUUUUUUUCUGAUCUUAAUACUCAGUUUUCAUGUAUGGAGAUAGCUAACUAUUUUCCAGGUACUAAAGUAGUGAUGGACCGUGGGGCUAAUCAUGACUUGCAUCCAGGACCCAUAGAUGAGUCUGUGCUGACUCUGCAGUAUGAUCAUAGGUCCACAGCCAUAUGGCGUGGUCAAGAAUUUGAGCCACUUACAUGUAGAAGGUGUGAUGGUGCAUUCUGGCGAUUAGGUGAAUUAGAUUCUCGUAUACAGUGCUUGAUGAUCCAAGCUGGCUUCUAUGGUGUGUAUAAGGCGGGUCAUAUACAAUUAGAUCAUGCUUUAAUCACAGCACUUGUUGAGAGAUGGCGCCAAGAAACUCACACGUUUCAUCUUCCUGUUGGUGAGGCUACUGUCACUCUACAGGAUGUCUCUAUCAUGUGGGGCCUCCCAAUUGAUGGUGAGCCAGUGACUGGGCAUGAUAUAGCUCGGACCACAGAGGAGUGGCAAGAAAUGUGUGAGGAACUAUUAGGAUUUAGACCGCCAUUGAGUGCUUUUGACAGUGGGCGCCUUAAACUGAAAUCCAUAGAGGACCAUUUUGAGGUUGAGCCAUUACAGCCAGAUGCCCCAGAUCAUGUAGUGCAAUUCUUUGCUAGAGCACGCAUACUACAGCUUCUUGGUGGUUUAUUGCUGCCAGAUGCAUCAAAUAAUAAGGUAAAACUAAUGUUUUUGCCUUUGUUAAGGGAUUUUGAGGCAGCUGGCAAGCUUAGUUGGGGUAGUGCUGUCCUUGCUUCAUUAUACCGUGCUCUAUGUCGGGCUACUAAAUCAAAUGUAGAUGGUGUAUGUGGGCCUCUAGUUCUUCUACAGGUUAGUAUUUUACUACGAUAUGACUAUGAACAAUCACCAAAUGUCAUGCCUUGCUCGUUCUUGUUUCUCGUUUAAGAAUGCUGUUUGAAAAACCUCAUAGUUAUGGGCAUGGGAGAGAAUACCGCUCAUCCGUCCUGAGAGAUUAGCCCCUCGACAGCAGCCACCAUUUUUUGUGGGGGACGGAGAUCAGCCUUUACCUGCUGGACCUUAUGGCGCUAGGUAUACAACUUGGUAUUGUUGACAAAACGCUCUCAAGUUAUUUUCUAUUGACAUUUUUACUUUAUAAGAAUGGAUCUAUUUGCAGGUGGGAUGUUGGAUUUAAGCUGGAAAAGGUGGGAAUGCAUGUCUUGGUUGUGUACAGGGACAUGUUGGACUGCAUGAAGGAUGACCAGGUUUUUACAAAAUUAUGUUCUUAAUCUACAACCAGUCUUUUUUACAUUUCUGAUACACUUUCUGAUUGAAUAAGCUUGUAUCUCAUUUAUGUGUAAACAGAAUAUCAUUUUCCCUUUUCACCUUUCUUCUAUAAGGAUUUUAAAUUGCACACAUUCUAAUUAUUGGAGUUGCUGCAGUUUGUAUGGCAGCCCUAUGCAGAUAUCAUCACCAGUUUGCCUGACUGCUGCUUAUCUGGACGUGAUAUUUGGCAAACAGUUUCACCUCUUAUAUGUUUUGAUGUCGUAGAACUGCAUUAUCCAAACCGUGUGUUACGUCAAUUUGGUCAGCACCAGGGUAUCCCCGCCGAAUGUGACACUAUUAAGGAACUCCAUUCCGUUGAUCGACGGGGAAGACAAAACACUGAUUGGGUCCAACACCACAAGCAAUAUGUGGACAUGUGGGCAGACCGCCAUGCCCGUGUAGUCUGUGAAUCCCCAGUUGAUGGUCCUAUGGAUUAUUCAGAUCCAUAUAUGAUUUGGUACAGGCGGAUUACCCGUCUACUAAUUGGCAACCCUGCAAAUCGUACAGACAGUGGAUACCAAGGAGUUGGGGGCGUUAUUGAGCUCAUGGUAAGAUAAUAUACUAGGAGUUUUUGGUUCUGAAAAUCAUUAUUUCAUUGAUUAUUUAAAUAGUUUGUUUUCAAAAUGUGAACUUAGAGAUUGGUCAUUUGCACAGGCUCAGAGUUUACAACGGAUCUAUUAUCGCUGUAGUGAUGCAAUAGAUCAGGGGGGUGAAGUUUCCAGAUCUGACAUCCUGAGGGAAAUCCAGGAUUUAUGUAAACAUGCUCUAACUGGAGCUCAUGAAGAUCGACGCCUUACUCUGCGACCAGAUCUAGCUCAACCAGCUCCAAUAGCCGCUACCAUUGUUGGUCCAUCACAGGUUAAGCGGCGUAGACCCCGGAGAGGAGGAAAAAUGGGAUUAUCAAUUGGUGAUCGACUAGCAUUCAACUCUGCAGACAUUUCCUCACCUUAUGCGUCAACUCCAUCUUCUUCACUGGCACCACCAUACCAUUCCCCAACACACUCUCAUGAAGUCUUUACACCAGACGCAGAACCAUAUGUUGCGCUGUCUGCAUCUGCAGCACCUGAAGUUGCUCAUGAAGAUUUUUCAUCAGCUGAGCAUUUAGUCACUGUGGGCAUACCCGUAGAAUCCAAGGUUGAACCAGACACUUCAUUAGCUGAGCCUGUGGACACCAUGAAUGUAGCCACAUCCGACGUUUCAAGACAUGAUUCUUCAUCAAUACCCCCAGUCCUGAAUACCACACAGCCCAACAUUUUAGAAUUGGAUAACAUGGUUGGAGCAAUUGCAACAGAGCCAUCGACUGAGAUGUUUGUUACACUGAACUCAACAGUCGAGGAUGAUUUAAUUAUGUCCUGUUUGGAGAAUUCUCAGCGCCCAAAACUGAAGAAAAGAAAGGCCAAAAGUUGACAACUACAGAGAAGAACCCCAGUUCCCAUCUUUUCUUUGCUAAAGUAGUUUGAAGUUGAAGUGAAGUAGAAUCCUUCAUUUCUGUUUGCAGAGUGAAUAUGUUAGUGGCUCUCUAAUUAUCCAUGCAUAUUUUUUGGUUGUUACAUGUAAUUAUGGUUCUUUUUCUUACAGCUGAGUUUCAGCUUUUUACUUUCUUUUUUUCUUUUAUUAAUUUCUUCUUCUUCAGAACCGUUACAUUUUCUGUGAAGUAUCAUUUUCUUUCUCUGAUCAGCAUCUACAAGAGUCGAAACUGAAUUUUAUUGUACUUGACUACUUGCAAAGCAUUUGUGGUUAUUUAAUCAGGCAUUUGGUAAUUGUGGUCAGAAAGAAAUGACAAAUGCCUAAAUAAAGAAAUAUUCAUUUCUAGAUAAAGCCUUAUAGAACCAACGGCCUUUGGACUGUUGGUCACUAUAAAAAUUUAAAAUUUUGAUGGAGUGAAAUAUCAAAGAUUCAAACCUUAACUUUUAUCAUUAUUUCAUGUGAAUUCUUCAAAAUCUAUACGAUUAGACGAAUCUAUUGGAUCCUCUAAAUUGGCCUAACUGAGCCUCCCCUCCCCUCUUAGAAUGGAGGUUAUUAUUUGACAAAAAAAAAAAGAAUAAAGCCUUAAAACAUACAAAAAUUCCAGAAAAUUUCAACCCAAACACAUUCUCAGAAUUUAAUAAGUAGAAAAAUAAGACAAAAUCCGUUAGGCCACGUCGGAAAGGGAAAAUUCUAUCAUCGGUCCUUAUUAGUCUCCAUCCCAAUAAGUUUCUGGAAGAAUGAUGGAGCUAAAAAUAUCCAUGCAUCUCUAUCCUUGCUUCCUCAUCAGUCUUAAUGGACUAUGAAUAGCUCACCUCCACAUUUAAUUAGUCAAACAACUUAAAUUAAUACACUAACAGCUGCCAUGACAGCAUUUCUUCAGAUUUCCACUAAUUUCUCUGCCUUAGACUUUCCACCCCAGGAUUGUUUGAGGAAGCAGAGGCUUCUGGGAUUGAAAGUAUCCGAGCCCAUCAACAUUCGCAGUCUUUCAAGAAGAAAGAUUCGAUUGGUAUGUAAAUAUUGGUUGAAAACAGGAGUUUCCGAGAGGAAAUUGACAUUUUUGAGAGUCAACAGGAUUAAAGAUGGGACUUUUAUCGGAGAAGAUGGGUGGAAGAAGAGCAAGAGGGUAGUGCUUGUGAGAUUCAAUGGCCUUGGUGGUGGCGGUGGAGGUGGAGGUGGCGGUGGCAGAAGAGAUAAUGCUAGAGUAUUGGGGAACCUUGCUUUGGCAAUUGGCUUGAUUUAUCUCUCAGUGACUGGACAGCUUGGUUGGGUUUUGGAUGCAAUUGUUUCUGUUUGGGUAUGGUAACCUGUCUACCUUUAUCUUCCUCUUUUUCUCCCUGUAUCUGUGUUUUUAGUUAGUAUUUAUCUUUCGCCUGUAUUUUUAGUUGCAUUGCGUGACCAUCUGGCAAUCUAUCUGGUACUGCACUUUGCAUCUGCUAAAACUUUGUGUAUGAAACUGUAGGUUUUUGUAUGUGGGGCCUCAUUCCAAGAUUAAUGUGCGUCCUUAAUGUGUUUGUGGAAGUGGGAGCAGCAAUAUGUUCAAUGUAUCGACUUGAAAUUAGUUGCAAAAUUCAUGGAUGACCAGAAGAUGUGAUAUAUUUCAGUCUUUGCUACGUUGUUUUUUUUUUUCUCUACAUUUUGAUUCUUUAAUCAACUAUGAAACGUUAAUUCUUGGAUUUGACAUACGUGGCAGUUUUAUGUACUGGUACAAUUUGCUACGUCCAUAUAUAAGUUCUAAUUGUUGCGUGAUGAAUAUGGGUGAAUCGAUGCCUUCCUGAUACUGAAAAGUUUCUGACAAUUCUGAUAUCAGCUUCUUGCCGUGCUGCUACCAAUUGUGGGAUUGGGAGCUUUUCUCUGGUGGGCUGGACGGGACAUCGUCCAAGGCACUGUGAGUAACCAAACCUCCAAUCUGUAUUUUCUGCUACAAUAGGCCGUUCGCUUGCAACAAGAAGCUUCCUGCUGAGAACAUAUGAUAUAAAGAUGUACCAGUACGUCUGAUAUCACUUUCUGUUGUAUCUGCAGUGUCCAAACUGUGGGAACGUUUUUCAAGUUUUCAAGUAAGAUCAACUCUAACCCUAAGUAUUGAUAACAUUAGUUAUGAAUUCCUUGUUCUUAUGGUUCUUUCUUUGCCUGCUCAUUGAUUUCAGAUCUACGCUUAAUGAUGAUUUACAGCUAUGCCCUUUCUGUAGUCAACCGUUCUCAGGUAACAACAAAUUCCAUCUUGGCCUGCUAUUCUGCAUUUUGCCCAUUUUGUAAAAGCAUUUUACUAAAUUUGUCCAGAAAUUUAUUCUUCUGGAACAUCGCUGUAGUUAUAUGGCUACAGAUUGUGUUUGUGGCUUUGCCAGGCUUCUUUACAUGGUAAAAUACUAGUUUAAUUUUUUAACUUGUGAUCAUUUACUUUACCUUUAUUCAAAUGAUUAGCAAGCUUAGAAUUUUUGUUAAUGAACUAAAAGUUUAUUGACAACAGCUUUUCCCAUAGAAUUCCUUCAUUUUGCUUAUAUUUUGCUGUAAUUGAAAUGAAUUUCUUUUUCAUUAGUCUAAUUUUUUACCAUGGUUUUGCACUGAAACUCCUACACUUCUUACAAUCAUCUUUUAUAGCUGAUAGUCUUCACUAUUGCGAAGAAAGCUCUUCCCCUACCUACAGUGCUCCACCUCUUCCUUUCAGUCAGCAGUAUAUUACCUUGCUUCAAGGGUCAACUCAUGUGCUAUUUAUCUGUUUUAGUGGUAGGAGAUAAGUUUGUAAGAGAUCCGGUAAAGUUUUCCAACCAAUCCACUACUUUUGAGGACGCAUUCAAUGAUUUUUUCCCUCAUGCAAAGAAAGGUUUGUGCCUCUUUACCCUUCUUUAACGCUGUCUUAUGCAUCAGGCAUGCAAGCAGUAUUUGUUUAUUUGUUUUAAGAGCAACAGCAGAACCUGUGAUUCCUGCCAUGGUUUAUGUAAGUUUGCACUUAAGUUAGGAGACAACCUUUGCUUUGGUGCUUGUUAAAUUCAAUAUUGAAUUCUGAACUUAUAUCAGUCUUUACUACUGUAACAACUGUCUCAUGCUUCUGGAAUUGCUGGCCGCAAUAAUUUCCUUUAACAGAUGCACUUAGUUUAAAUUUAUUAAAUGUUAUGUUGAAUUUUGGUCACAUCUAUGCCACUUAAUUUCUAAAAAUAUACUUGUUCUAUUCUGUUUCCCCAAAACCUGAUAUCUAUACAGAAUAUAAUCUUCAGGGUUUAGGGAGCUGGAAAAUGGGGUAAAGAAAAAGGAAUGCCGAACAAAAGGGUAGAAGAAAGUAAAUCAUUUUCCUUAUGAAACUUUCAGUCGCACUAAAUCAGUAUCAUUCUUUUGCAAUUCAAGAUUCAUCUGAACAUAGAACCUCAGUCUUUGGUUAUUUUGAUGCUGGUGUUGAAAUUUGCACUGUGAUGAAGCAUUUAGUUCCAAGUUACUAAAAUUGCUGUCCUUCAAAUUUAAGCACACAAUAUUCCCACUGUACAGGAAAGGAUUCAUCUGUAUCAGUUGUCGAUGUUGAAGCUGAAGUAAAAGAUGCAGAGUAAGGCACCUUUUAUCCCAGACACGGCAUUUGGUAAGAAUCUGACUUUUAAGUCCUUUUUUUUUUUUUCAAUUUCCACUUUUUUGACACACAUGGUACCCAGUGACAGUAAUCUCAUUCUAGAUUGGAACUGUUAUGUUCCUCAUUUUCUAUAGUUACACGUAAGGCAUUUUGGUUAGCAUUUUUGGGGAAAAGCCACUCAUUCUUGACUGAGUCAGUACUCGAUAGUCUAACGUAGAGCAUCUGCAUCUCAUGCCAACUGUUAAUUAGGAUGGAUAAUUACCCACAGGAAUCGCUGGGCAUGGUUCCUACAAAAGAAUAAUAGCGUGACCAUGAGGUCAAAAUGCCUUAAAACCAUUUUUCGCGAAAUAAACUCAAUACUGAUCUUUUAAUAUAUUUUUAACAAUGACUAUAAGCAGUAGUUAUCUUGCUGAAAAGUCACUGUGUGCAGUUUAACUGCACCACUUGUGUCAUCUUGAUCGUGCUUUUGAGAUCUUUUUUGGAGAUGCCAACAGUUUAUCUUAGUUGCUCCUGUCUUCCAUGCACAUCUGCGUGCUCUUCUACUUUAAGCUCUUUACAAUAUAUGCCUACGUAUGAUGUCAAUGGAAAAGCAGGUUGAGCCUGGUAAGGAGAGAGUCUCUUGAUAGAGAUCAUGAUACCCUCUUUGAAUCCUCCCAGGGGCAUAUGGUGUCUCAAAGCAAUGGAUUUAGUUGCAAGCGCGGGUUGUUUGACCGAGCAAAGUGGUUUAUCCAUUCAACUUUCCAGCUAUAAUUCUUGUCACGCAAUGUUUGUCUAGUGUUUCCUUGUUGAAAGAUGGAAAUUUGUACCACUGUCUUCUCUAAAAUUUGGGUAGAGUUGCUGUACAUCUUUUUGCGCCUGUAAGCCAUAUAUGAGAUUGGAAAUGUUACAGGAUUCCUGUAAAAUUAGCUUUUGCUUUCUGUCCUCUGUGAGCCCACUCCGCCAUUCUUUGGCAUUGGAGAAGAGAGGGGCGUAAGAGAGGUUUGUGGGGAGCUACUGAACCUUGAAAGGAGAUUCCAUUUCCAGUGUAGAUAGAUAGAUAGAUAGACUUGUGUUGGAUACCCUCUCCAUUUGUCCAGACAGAUUUGUGUCCCCGGACACAAGCUUGUAUUGGACUCCUACCACGAUGGCCCGUAAGCAUACCUUUGACAUUGGACUAGAGUUUUAGUGCCCAGCUAUAUUUGGGCAGUAACAUCAGUCCUCAACGUUGUAAAACGCUAUAAACGAAUUUGUCACUCGUGGUUUGCCUUAGUCCUACAUGAAUAGUAACUCGGAUACCGGCCAUUACCCCAGUUGACAUCGAUAUCAAUAAUAGGAUAGGAUUACUAUGCGAGCGUGCCACUAUUUAAGAAUGGCAAGAAUACUACCCUGGAAUCUGGAUGAACUAGGACCAUGCUUGAUUCGAAUUUCAAAAAAAAAAAGGACCAUGCUUGAUUCAACACAUUUGAUGCUUUCACAAAUGCCUCUGGCAAUUAAGCCUAUUUAAUUGUAAGUUCCAGUUUCCACGAGUCAAUUAUACAACCGAAAAAGAGUUUCAGAUACUCUUCCGUCAAAACACCAGUUAAACAACAGAAAACUAUAUACAACAACCAGCCGACAAUAUCACAGUAGAAUUAUACAAGGAAAUCAACAGGCGACUUCAUGCAGUACACAGAAUACAUGCUACUAGACAAGGCCAUAAGUCACCUGAUUCUAGAGCCGUGAACGGAUAAAGACCUUCUUCUUGUCAGUCUCUGCAGAAGUUGGAGUCUGUAUAGGCUCAUCAGAGAGCUCUUUCAAAGGCUCCAAUUCCCUUGAACACUCAGCACAUGUCUGGUUUUGCUGCUUCAGUAUAUUUACAUCCUCUUGCAUUUUCUCCAUUUUAGCUUGCAUCUCCUCUGUUGCUACCGUGAGGUCUUGCUUCUUAAUCUCAUUGGAAGGGCGUGAUUUAGGUUGAUCCUUCAGUCCUUCCCUCACUAUCUGAUACACCUGCAUGCCACCUGCAGAUACCAAGUAAAAAGCAUAAACUAUGGCCCCAUUUGGCAAAUGUUCAAGGAAGAUUCAAAUAUCAAUAAAGAAAGCAGCAAGACCAACAGGGGCAAUUUUUUAGGUAAAGUUUCAAGAUGGUGUGAGUAAUCAAAUUUCGAGUCUAAGCGCAAACCAAGUACAUUUCAGCCAAAUCGCUUUCCAGAUGCGAAUUUAAGAACAUCACUCCUACAACUUGAAAGGUCCUAUAAAUCCUAUACAAUAUUUGACUCAUAUUGAACACUUACUAAGAGAAUAAUUUACUGUACUGUGAUAGUGCUUCUAGUGCUUACUGCUCAGUUGGUAACUCUUGGUCAAGUACUCAAGGUUAUAUAUUUCUUCCAGGCAAAAUCCCCUCUGUUCACAGUUCCAUAUUUGGAUUUAAUAACAAUUUGUACCGGAGUCAUAAGAGUCCAGGCUUGGUCCUUUUCUCCAUCUCAAAUUCUCACUGUCAAUCCUAGUAGCAUGAGUCAGCUUUACAUUACACUCAAUGCUCAAGCAGAAAUUUACAUGGCGUAAACAAGUAUUAGAUUAUGUGGUUCCUUCCUCAAAAACUGAUACUGAAACAUGCCUAGCCAAAGCAAAUCAAUCAAUUAUACAAAUAUUUGGGGGAAGAGCCAUAAACAAUCAACAGCAAUCUUAGGCAAUUUUAAUUUUUUAAUUACUAGUUCAAUUAAAUAAUACAGUCCCACCACUUGAAUUUCGUAAUCCAGUUAGAAUCACAUCAAAUUGAAGCAAAAAUUGGAUAUUUAAAGCAAAUAUCAGAUAAUCCGGGCGACAAUUAUCCCUAUUUUAGAGAAAUAUAUCAAUGAAGUAAGAUGUUUGGUACAGGGGAGGAAGGUGUCUGACCGGUGACGCUUUUGAGGCACUUUUCGAUGGCGGAGUCAACGGCGAAUUUGCCAAGGUUAGUCAGAACCCGGCUUAUCUUUUCGCGGCGGUGAGGGCCUGGGAAAUAGUCAUCCAAUUUCUGAGCCCCGUUAGAUCUAACGGCAUCUACGACUUUUGUAGCUCUGGAUACCAAGGCGCUGGCUGGCUGACCGUGGAGAGCUGUAAUUGUAUCGGACGGACGUUUGCUCGGACCGGAAGGUUUUCGGUUUACAAGUCUGGACACACUGAAUUGGAGCUCAUCCCAUAUACCCAUUUUCAAGGGAGAGUGACUAUAGGCCUUUCAGUCUUUCAGAUUCUCUCUCUCCCUUUUUUUUCGUCCGGCCUUCGGCUUUUGUAAUUUAGUACGACUUUUGUAUCGUUUUACUUUUGUUUUUUCUUUCUUGACAUUUUAUUUUGACUUUCCAUAAUCCCCAAAGUCAAAAGUACGCACUUAAUUAUCAAAAUUACUUAGCUGAAAUUAUUUUUAAAUAAUUUUAAGGGAUAUUAUCACUUUACCCCCUUAAUGUCUAUCAAUUUUUCCCUUAAUAUUAUUUUUUAAUCACUUUACCCCCAAGACUAACGGUCAAACUUAAUGGAGUUUGUUAAUUAAAGUGGAAAGACAUGUUUAACCCUUAAAAUUAUUGUCACUUUACCCCCAUAAAAUAUAGUCUCAUUAUCAAUUUACCCCUAGAGUUAUUAUUUAGACAAUUUAUCCUACCAUUAAACCAACUUAACAAGUUAAAAAAUUUUAGAAGAAAAUACGCUCAUCUUUACAUAAUAAAAAUAAUAAAAAAUUUAGAAUGACUCUUCUCCUUUUUAGUAUCAAGAAAAAAAGUUAAAAUAUUAAUUUCUUUCUUCCUGGCAAUCUUAUUAAUAUUGAAAAAAAAGGGAAAAUGCACUUUUUAUCCUAAAAGGUUGGGUUGAUAUCCAAUUUCGUCCUCAAAGUUUCAUCAAGAAUACAUUUCAUCCUCAAAGUUCCUGAAUUUUUGCCAAUUAGAGACAAUUGACAGAAUAACAAUCAAUUUGGACGGAAUGCUGCACGUGAGAAGCAUGCUCUGUUAGAACCAAUAAAAAAUAGAUAAAACCCGUUCGGAAGUGCAGAUACCAGUGUUAUAACUUUUGAAUACUAAAAUUUGUAUAUUUACGUUAUUUUGUUUGUGGUCCAUAUUCAGUAGGAGCCAUGUCAAGGACCACUUGGAAUGCAAUUUUGACAAGCUUAUACCUCUUCUUUUUUUAUGGUUUUAGUUGGUUAUAUUAAUUUAGUUACAGUAUCCAGUUUGGUUGUUACUUCGGAUUGUUAAAAUUUAAGGCAAAAUUCUACCAAAAUUUUCCUUCUUACUUUAUUGACAUGUAAAUUAGCAUAAAGAUAAAAACAGUUGGUGGUUUUUUUUAUAUAAUGCCCAUUUUAGCUUGGAACUGAAAAUCAUACCCAUAAAUAACUGAUAGUUUUCUCAAAUAAUGGACGAAAGCAACAAACAGCUGAUAGUUUAUAGGAAAUAAAAGAAGCUCACAAAGAAUCCUAUGCACAACUAGCAUUUUUUUCAUUUCUAGAGAAGGUACAAAAAAAAGAAGUUAUAGAGAGGUGAUAAUUUUUGGACAAGAUAAAAGAAAGAAAUAAUUCUAGAAACCUCCCCGAGGUUUCUGACAAUUUUACUCACCUCCCUUAGUUUUGAAUAAUUACAUUAACCUCCAUUCAUGCAGUAAAAUAACUGUAAUAUCUUUCACUUAUAGAUAAUUUCUAAAAAAGCCUACAACUAAAACUAAUCUUUCAUUUUAAAAUAACGGCUACCACACAAAACAAACUCUUAUUCUCUCUCUUUGAUGCUCUCUCUUACCUUUUUUCUCUCCUGUAUUUGAUAGUCCACAUUUUUUUCAAAGUCGUCAUCUACACAACUAUCUAAUAUAUCCCGAAUCCUCAUUAUUAUGGAAAUAGAUCGUCUUUUUUUUUUGUUUUCCUUUUUUGUAAGUAUUAUUGAAUUGACAUUGCUAAAUGAUAAGUUGUCAAAGCAUAUUUGUUGUCAAACUAAAUAAAAAUGAAAAGAAUGGCAGUGAUACAGAAUAUAAACAAGAAAAUAAAAUGAUGGCAAAAAAAGAAACAUAGAUUGAGGAAGAUUACACUAUUAUACUAAUUGUGCAAAAAAAAAAAAAAAGAAUUUUGGGAUACAAGAACUAUAAUCAAAUUUGCCUAAAGACAUAGAAUGUGGUCUCUAAUAUUGCUUUUGGUUGCUCCAUAUUGGUAUUUUUGAUGGGUUAUAUUAUUUUAGCAUCAGCAAGCUUGCAUCCAUUUUGAUUGAAUUUGAAUAAUGACAUUGGUCAAUUUAGAUACAAAAUUUAGGCAAAAAAAAUUGAGGAAAAAGAUUAGGUUGAAUGCAAAUGUUAAUUGUCAUAAUUGAUUUGCCCAGGAAGCUUUAAGGCUGCAAAGUUGGGCUUUCGAAAUUAUGAGAAUACGAGGAUUAAAUUAAGGUGGCUUAUUGACUUCGUUAGGGUGGUAGUUAUGCGGAUUGCAAUAGUUGCAAUAUGGAAGAAAUUCAUGAGCGAGUUCUCCCCCCUUUUAACUAACAAAGGGGUAUUUUAGGAUUUUUAGGACAAAUUUAGCAUAGCGAUUUUAUAUUGUUACUGAAAUGCUAAUAGUAGAGAAGGUAAAUGUAAUCUUUUAAAUUAGAGAGGACCUAUCUGCAAUAGUCAAAAACCUCCCCUGAGGUUUCUAAAAUUAUCCCUAAAAUUAAAGUUAUAAACAGUUGGUAGUUUCUAUACAAGAUAAAGUAACAACCACCUAACAGUUUUUUAUGGCUUUCCUCUAUUUUUGCAAAUAGGGUUUCCUCUAUUAUAUUUUUUAUAGAUAAAAAAUUAAAUUAAAUGGACUGGGCUAAUUUAAUACGUUUGGAUAGAUACUCAAAUCCAAGUCACCUAUAAUCCAUGAAUAAGUGGAUGUCGACCAUUUAUGUCAACCUUUUUGCUAGCAAAUGACUGGAUUUAGUGGUUAGAAAUUUUUUUAGAACUACAAUAAGAAAAGAAGUGGAAAGGACAUAAAUGAAGCAAGAAUAGGUUUUACCUAUUUUUUGUUGAAUGCAAAGUUGGUUCUAACAGGGCAUGCUUUGUACGUGCUGCUUUUCAUCCAAAUUGAGUGUUAUUCUGUUAAUUGUCCAUAAUUGGUCAAAAUUCAGGAACUUUGAGGAUGACAUGUAUUCUUGGUGAAGCUUCGAGGACGAAAUUGGUCAUCAACCCAACCUUUGAGGAUAAAAAGUGUAUUUUUUCCUUGAAAAAAAAAAAUGGAGAGGGGGAGGGGGAGGGAGAGAGAGAGAGCUCAAUUCUUUUUUUAAAAAUUACAAAUAAGAAAGAAUUAAAUACUUUUAUUAUUUUAAAAUUAUUUCACUUUUUUUGUUUACCACCAAAUUCUAAUUCUAAUCCCGACGACCUUAAAGUAAUACAAUAAUGUUAGACUUUUCUUUAUUUUCUUUUUUUGUAAAAUCUAAUUUUUGUCCCCUUCUUUCCUUUCUCUUUUUCUUUUCCUAGUAUUAAUAAGUGUGAAAAAAAGAAAUUUGAGAAAAUCCUUUUAUUUUUAUGUUUUUCGAUCUCUUAAAGUGAAAAAAAAGGAAGAAUAACCAUUCCAACUUUUUAUUUUUAAUUAUAUAUAAAAAUGGUAAAUAUAUUUAAAAUUUUUUACCAUACUAGUUAGAUUAAUGAUGAGGUAAAAUGCCUAUAAAAUAAUAUUAGGAAUUAAAGUAAUUGUAUUACUAUAAUCCAAAAGAAUAAAGUGAUAAUAACAAUUUAGUAAUGCUAUAAAAUAAAAGGGUAUUUUUAUUCAAAAUUUCUUAACAUGUUGAGUUGAAUUACUUAUGGGGGUAAAGUGACUAAAAGAUUACAACGUUAGGGGGUAAACUGAUAGUAGUGAUAUAGUUUAAGGGGGUAAAGCGAUAAUAACCCUAAUUUUAAUUCAAAACAUGCUCAUAGAAGUUAUUAUUUUAUGAAUUGCCCAUCAACGGCGCGCUUAAACUAACAGCAGCACUCACUCGACCACUAACACCAAGACAAGAAAAUGCCAAAUCUUUUGCCAAACAUCAUCAUGUUAUUGUUAGCUGAAUUGAGAAAGCUGAUGAUGGAUAGAAGUUAAAAGGGUACCCUAAGUUGAUAAGUACUACAUUGAAUUAUGUUAUUAUUAACUCCACUAAAUAGAAAUCUCCUCAACUUCCAACCUCUUCUCAUGAUCAGUGCCUACUAACUAGUCUCUUUUUCUUCCCUUAUGGCUAGUUUGGGAGCAUAGAAUAGAAAAGAAAAGACGACAAAACUUAAGUUAUGAAAAAAAAAAAGGAAAGAAGAGAAAAAGAAUUGUAGUGAUUUUGAUGUUAUUUGGAAGUUCAGAAAAAAAAAUAGAAUGAUUUAGAAUAUAUAUGUCAUUAAAAUUUUGUUUAGUACUCAUCUAAGGAUAGAAUUGGUAUUUUGAAAAAUUUUGUGGGCUUUGUUUGACAUUCGGUCCAAAUCAAGCCAUAAGUAUGCUGAAUCCCUCUACCAAAUCCUUUGUCUUUUGUCACGAGUUUACUCGCAAAUGAAAGAAAAAUAUUCCUUCCUCCCACUUUCUUUUCUUUUCCUAUCAAAUCCCAUCUCCCAAACUAGCUAUUGGUGAUGGGAGUAGCAUAUGAUCAAAGCUGACAUUAUAUCGAAUGGAGCCCUUACAAUAAGAGAAUUGCAGGAUUAGCGGGUUUUAAAAGCCAAAAUUUAAGACAAAAUAUGAGCUGGAACCUUGCCUUGAUGCUGACACGAGUAAUCAUCAAAGAAAGAAAACUGAAAAAUAUGAAGCUCUUCCUUACACUAGCUUAAAUAAGAUGUCGAUUUGCCGGGUAUACGAGUGAAGAUAACAGGAAGAGAACUGAAAAAUGGGCAGCCUGUUCCUUAAACCGGCUGCUGGAUAAGUUGCCGUCACUUUGGUGCAAAACUUGCACCCUCGGAUUUUGAUACAGCCAAUGCAGAAAUAAAAUGCACAAGUCUUGAAGCAAUUCUAAUAGCCAACUCAUACAUGGGCUUAUUCUUCAAACUUUUUUCUUUUCUUUUUAUAAUUUCCGGAAACUUCACAAGUUCAUUAGGAAGACGCAGAAAACCCAACAACAGCUUCUUUCCUUCUUCUUUUUUUCCUUUUUAAACAAUGAAAACCACCAUAAAGGCUUGAAGGAGCUGGAUUCAAGAAAAAAACUACUACUAUUUAUAUAUUGCUGAAACACACCAGAGUAGACUACAGAAAUCAGAAAAGCAUAUUACUCCAUCAGUAGGAAAGACCAAAGCCUUACUUAAUGAUCAAAGACCUUAUUGCAGCCAUUUACUUGGUUUUGAUGCCAUGCAUAAUCUGAGGAAGUAUCAAAUCAUCAGCAAAACGCUUGCCCAUAAACUCCUUCAUCAUGAAAAUGCGAAGCACAUCUUCUGGUGUCUGAUUUGCAGUUGAUUCCGCCGCAAAGUUUCCCUUGUUAGCUGACCCCAUUUCCAAACCUCUGCUUUGCAUUUCUACUCGGUCAAGCAAAUUCCUGCCAGCGGAGACUUUCCCUCCGCCACCACUUCCAGUAACUUGGGUCACUGCCAUCAUCUUUUGCGUGCUGAGAUUCUCAGAUUUCACAUCAUUCAUUGUCUCAGAAAUAAUUUCAGCCACUGCUUUUCCACCUGUAGAUGAAUGAAACCGAUAAAAUAAAUAAAAUAUCCAGCAAAAUAUACUUCCAAUAGCCGAACCAUAUUCUCAUUAUUGAAUAUAUUCUCGAAAUAUACUUCUGGCUAGUAGAUUAGCCUCCGCAAGGCCUCAGUCCACACAUGAACCCAAUUUAAAAAAAAAAAAUUACAUCUAGAUCAAUAAGAUAACAAUAAUCCUCAGGAUUGAAUUACUUUUUACCAACUAAGACUGCACUUGGUGGUUGAUUGCGAUAAUUAUAUAUAAUUGCGCCCACACGAGUACACGGAGCUCGAUUCGUCUUAGUUUUGUAUCUAAUACGAGAUAGUAGUAUAUGUAAUAACUCGGACAAAGGAAGUGAAGUAGCGUAUGAUUAGGAUCUAAGCUGACCAGGGAUCAAUUUGUACCCUUCCCGGAGAGCAUGACGAGCAGCAUUUUGGGUGAACUUGGAAGCGAAAAGGCUGAUCCUUGACCGGGUUUCCUCGCUGGGCAUGUAGUCAUUGAGCGCCUGCAUCCCGUUGACUCUGACAGCGUUAUCGAUGUUGCCAACUACGGCAGAGCUGUAACCGUAGGAGGCUUUGCAUGCAUCUAUGACGGCCGCUGGAGCGGGUGCGUUUCGCUUCACGGCUUCAGUUGUUGAGUUGAUCAAGUCCCAGACUCCCAUCUGCUCUGCUUUUGUUAUCGAUCAAUUUUCAGAUGUGGAACCACUAUAACUAUUGCAGGUCUGCUGCCCGGUAGUAGGAGAGUAAAGUUCAAGCACUCACCAACCGUGAACAGAAAGAAUAAAAGGAAAAUCAUUCAAAUUGUCUACUGCAUUUUGUUAAAUAAAUUCUUUCAUCUUUUAAAUAUUAACUUUGUAUCUUUUAUAAAUUCAAGUUAAUAAAAUUAAUUUUAAUCUAAAUUUUUUAAUCAUUUUUUAACCUGAAAUCAACACGUGACUUGCAUGUGGUCAUUUUUAAUAUAUAAAAAGUUUAUAUCCCAUUUUUUCAAUGACAAAGAGAAUAUGGAUUAAAUUAGAUUUUAUAUUUUUAGAAAAAAAAAGAAAUAUAUUCUAAUUCUACUUUUUUAGAGGCAAAAAUAACUGAGUCGAGUUAGUUGUUUAACUAUAAAUAUAAUUUAACUUAUUUAUCCUAAAAAAAAGAUCAUAUGUGGGUCAUAUGAUAGAUUCAAAAUAAAAAAUAGUUAAAAAUUUAAGUUAAAUCAAAUUUUUAUUGACUUAAUUUUAUAAAGAACAUAAAGUGAUCAUUUUAAAAGUAAAAAAAAAAAAUCAUUUAACUAACUAUGAAUACAUUUUGAAUGAUUUUCUCAAAGAAUAAACAACUCUUGAAAACGAAGACCGUGAGUCAACGUACAUUGGAGGACCUCCAAGAGAACUGUACAAUAUACCUCCUCAUUUUAUUACACACUGCGACGUUUCCUUUUUUUCAUUACAACGGUUUGCAAUAUACUUUAGCUGCAUAUUCUUCUUUUUUUUUUUCAAUUUCUUGUGCUGAAAACGAAAUAAUUUCUAGUAUGGAAAUCUUACUUCAUUUUUAGCUGCUCAGAUCAUUUGGAUUAUUUUUUCCCUUCCAUUCAAUUUUAAAGACUAAUAAAAGUUAGACAAGCGAAUAUCCGAAAGGCUGAAACUCCAUUCUAACAUUUUAUUUCAAGGGCAAAAUUAUGAGCUAGUUUGGUCCGAUUUUGCCUUUGAAAUUAUGCUCACAUGAUAGAGGUGUGCUAUUUUUAGCCAGAAAAAUGAGCAAAUACCAGCACUAGAACCAAACUGGCUCAUAAUUUAUAUGUUAGGGACUAUUCUAACUGAUUUUAAAUAUUAGAGACUAAAAAAUUUUUUUGUGAAAAUAUUAGGAACCAAUUUGAUAAAUUUUCCUUAGAACUCUUCGUCAUUCUACAAAGAAAUGGGGAUCGAAAAGGCAAAACUGCAAAGGCUUCGCAGUAUAACCUCUUUGGCUCCUAAACGGAGGACGCGGAGAAAGAAUAAUGUUGACAUUGAACUGAAGAACUCACUGCUGUGAAACGAAACUCGUCGAAGAGGACGGGUAUAUUCCGGAUUGAUCAUUCUGGGCGAGUGACGACCAUCGCGAAACGACGACGUUCAGCAUUUGUAAAUCUGUUAGUAUAUUACGUCUGCACAAAUUGCCCUUUUCGUCCGUAAAGUAUUUACAUGUUUCACUUUAAUCUGUAAAGUACAAGGGCUAGUGAUCUGAAAAUAAAAGUAACUUAUUUUUAUUUCCACAGAAAUGACAAAGUUUUUGUUUUUGAAAUAAAUCCAAUUUUGAUGUCAUCAACAGCGUAUUUCUAUUGUGGUCAUCGUCUCUGCUGUUCUUGAUCGGAAGGGAUUGUUACUACAUUGAUGGAAGAGUUUCCAUUGACCAAAAAAAAUUAGGAGUUAGUAUUGGAGAUUGAUUGAAAGCAUGUGUGUUCUAUCCGUACACACUUAUUUCUUGAUCAAUAAAAGUCCAUAUUGCUCAAAAAAAUCAACUUUUUGAUUAACGAAGAACAUAGUUGUCAUUUUAGAAGAAAUCUACUGUAGAAUUAAAUUUGUGGUCUUGCAUUUUAAUUUGUCAAAGUAUUAUGCCGGAAUUCAAUCCUUAAUGUUUGUAUUAUCUUCGCUCUCCUUUUAAGUGAAAAGAUGGUACUACAUUCAAUUAGGAUGGUGGUAUGUUUAUUUUUUCAUGUAGCGCAUUUACAUUAGGUUUGCAGCAGUAUAUGCGGCUAAGCAGUUGCAUUCCUACUAUAGGUUUACUUCAAUUUAUAUUUUUCCCAUAUUCUACUCAUGACUACAUUAAUCAAUGUCUCGAGGCCGAGUUCGACAUUUUCUUGUGAACUUAUAUGCACUAGAUUACUAAUUAAACAUGUAGUAUUCAUUUCGCAUGGGGUAUGAUCUUCAUCCAACUUGGCAAAGAAUUCCUCAACUUUUUUGACCUUUUUUAAUCAAAAAUUGUCUAAUUACCCUGUUUGACCUUUUUCUCACUCGGCUAUAUAGGUGAAUGGUGCGUUUGAUGGAUUUUUUGGCACAAGGGUUUGAUCAUUGUUCAAAUGAAAUUAGUGCGACAGUUUUUGAGAGAUGAGAAUAACAUUAAGAUUCCUACCAAAAAAAAGGGCAGAAUAACAUUAAGACAUGAUCCAUUAACCUCGAGUUCUGUUUGGAUUAGCCUAUUUUUUACAAAUUAUUUUUUUUUUGUGUAAUCUAUAAUAAUAAUAAAAAUAAUUUCAAAAAUAAUCCAAAAAACACACAUCUCAAAUACAACUUACAAAAAUAUAAAAAAGAGUAACCCUAAUAAAGUUUCACUAAACAUGACUCGUUAAUCAAAGUCCUUCCUCCACUAUUACCACCUCCAACGUUACCCCCUCCCUCCUUCCUUCUCUUCCCUCAUUUUUUUUCCUGUCUCUCUCUUUCCCCUCUCUAGCUACAACCAGAUCUAAUUGCAACCAGAAAGUCUCACGACCUUUGGGUCACAGCCAAAGAUUGUAACUUUGACAGUAAAACAGAGGGAAGGAAGGAUGAGGAAGGAAGGGAAGGGAAGGGAAGGGAAGUGUGGCAAUAGCAGUGGCAAUAGGGUGGAGAAGAAAGGAUGGGGUGGCGGGUUGCCAAUGUUUUUAUAUUUUUAAAAAAAUAUAUCCCAAUAAAAUUUGAAAUUUUAAAAACACACCAACAAACAAUCCUGAUGAAAUUUUUUUAUAUACAAUAUUACAAUGUAGUAUUUCAAAAAUACCUCCAAAGAUAUCUAAUCUAUAAUGAGUCUCAAUUUCAUUGUGCAUAAAAUUACCCUUAACUAAUUCAUAGUUCAUACCUAGGGAUAGCAAUGACGCAAGAGUAGGCUGGGACAACCCUCCUCCGACCUCCACUUUGUCACUCAUAAGUUUCUUUGGGUCUCUUGCUCUAAUCCUGCUACUCUCACCGCUAUCCCACCUCUCGUUCCCCCACCCAUUAUCUUCAUGGGUGCCUCUGCCUCGCCCAGCCUACUAUUUUUUGUUUUUACAUUUGACUUACGCUCUGUUUGGAUGAGAGUGUUUUUCAAAAACUAGUUUUUCAAAUACAAUAAAAUUUUUUAAAAAGUACUCUAAAAGGUAAUCUAAAAAUUAGUUUAAAUUUUAAAAAAUAUCUCAAAAUAUAUUUUAGAAACUCUUCUACUCUUAAAUAUCCCAAAAUAUUUUUCUGAAAAUAUCCCAAAAUAUAAUUUAAAAAUUCUGCUACAGCAAAAUUUUUUAAAAAUAGCUAAUCCAUGUAUAACACUAAUAAUGAAUUUGUUAAUUCUUCUUUUGAAUUUUUAAUAAAAAAUUAACAACAAAUAAAGUUUAGAAAUCAUUUUGAUAUUAUGAAUUUGUUUCUUUAUAUUUGAUAUUAUGUAAAAUCUAAAUCAAUUAUCAUUAUAUUUUUCAAAAAAAAAGGAAGGCAAACUAAUGUAAUGAGAUUAUCAUUUAACCACAAAAGAUUAACAGACAUAAUUAUUUUAUUUUAUCAUAACAAAAUUUCAUGUUACGUGUAUAUAAUUAUAUUGUAUUUUGUAUUUUAUAUUUAUGUAUAUAUUAUUAAAAAUUUAAGCAAGGGUUCAGGCAGAGAGUAGAGCAAGAAUAUCCUCUCCCAUCCUUGCCUCGUUUAAAAGCGAUGGGAGUUUUUCCUACCCUAACUCUGCAUUUUCUCCCGCCCCAUCGUGAGCCUCGGUUACCAUUUCUAUGCGAAGCAUAUACUUGAAAUCUGACAAGGUGCGCAAUUCUUUCCUAAGUUUCAUGUUCAUUACAUCUUGAACUGAUUCUUUGUUUUCGAAAGGCACCAUUAUUAGAUCUUGAAUUGUUUGGUUGUUUCGAAGAACUAGUUUUCAUAAUCUACCUUUAAAGCUCUUACUAACAGCCUAAAUGCUUUGAUAUAUGUAGGAAUUUGCUUUUAAUAAAAAUUCAACACGAUAAGCCUAAUAAAUCACUAGAAAAAUAGAAGGCUAUAAAAAAUACGUUAAUAAUGCAACUAAUUGUUAGUUAUUGGUCUAAUAUAGAAUGCAAAGUUGAGUACUUCACUUUGAUUGCUUCUAUUAUUUAUGAUUUCAAUAAUCGGUGAAUACACUAAUAACAAAAAUUAUAGAGGUUGGAUUGGAUGAUAAAGCGGGAGGAAUUGGAAAUAGGGGUCCUACUUUAAAAAAACAAAGAAUAUAUAUACCCUAUUUUCGCCCUAUUUCUCUUGAAGGAAGAAUAUAUAUACCUAACAAGUAACAUCUAUCAUUUCUAUCAUUUUUCAUUAGUUACCGGUUAUUUACCACACCAAAUUUACCUCGUCUUUAUACAAGUACCAUGUGGCCCCAUAAUUUUCACCUUUUGUGGUUAAAGCCACAAGUUACUGGUGCUAGUAUCAUAUUUCUCGUCAGCACCGGCCACAUGGUUCUCAUCUAUUGGAGGACGACACCCCCAGCUCGAACUCCUCACAAGAAUUACGCGUGGACCCUACUUCUGACUUCUUUACCACCGGUCCACCAGAGCCAAUUACACGUACGAGAUAGCAAAACUCCACCAACGACCAACGAGUCCAAUCGCACGUGCUAGACUCCAAAACUUUUACAAAUAAAUAAAAAAAAUAACAAAUAAGUCAAGCACAAAAUCGAAUCCCAAUUGUUCAUCCCUUCUUUUCUCCUUCUCCGGUUAAUCACGAUUGGUAUUGAACGGUGGUCAUCUGAUCGGACGGCUAUAGUGGACGAGGGAGGGGAGACGGAAAGGAUCGCCGCCGCCGCCGCUGCCCCCGACGUCGUCGUUUCUUCGCUUUCUCCUCUCUCGCUCUCUUUUUCCGGUUCCACAAAUUUGAUUUGUGCGAGAAAAUUUUUAGUUUCUAUCUGUUUUAUUAAAUAUCAAAGCAGUUGGUCACCAUGAACGAGAAGGCUAACGUCUCGAAGGAGCUUAAUGCCAGGCAUCGGAAGGUAUUAGCUUUAUUCAGCUUUUUAUUGAACUUUAGGAAAUUGAUCUCUUGCCUUCUAUCUUAAUUCGGCUUGAUCUCUGAUAACGCCAGCUGUUGAGUGUUGAGAAACUAAUGUGUUUUUUAUAACUUUUGUUAAUGCGAUCGGGAUGGCUCAAAUCUGAAUUGUGGGAUGUUUUUUACGUGCUUGAAAUUUGUUUAGGACGGUUAAUCAUGAACUGAUAAAAUAUAUGAAUCUCACGCUUUUUUAGUCAUAUAAGUAACUAUUAACUGGGUGAAGCAAAGCUUUUUAGGUUUAAAUGCUUAGAAUCUUGAAUGAAGAUAUGAAAUUUAUAUUAAUUCUGUAAUUUGAUCUUGUUAGUUUUGAACAGGAUUAGUUUGCGGAUGGAGAUCAAGGAUUGAGCUCAAAAUAUGGUCUGGGAGCUUUUACAUUCUUCAGAUUUAGUGCACAUUUUAGGUGGACUAAAGGUCGUGGAAAGUGGGUUAAUUGGUUUGUAAAAGGUCCGCAGUUCCUUCAGGAAAUUAAUGCCUGUUGUAGUCAGGACUGUGGGUGGCUGGACUUAGGUUAUAUGCUUAGUAAGCUAUAUGAAGAAGUGUGUAUUGCUUGAGUGUUUGGUUAUGUUCAUUUAAACACUUCAAAUGUCAAAUCAUGUAUUUCUAGAUAUCUUCACUUGGAUUUUUUGUGAAUUUAUUAGAUGUCCAGUUGAGUAGUUUGCCAAAAAAAAAAAAAAGGCUCAAUUCGUUUGUGUUUCUACAUUUCAAUGGGAUGAUGUGAUUGUGGUUGUUAAUAGUCAUAAUUUGUAAAAUCUGUCCAAAUUCAACUUGGUCUUUUAUAUAGUCUCCUCCCUCCUGCUAAUGUAAUCCUUUUUUCGCCAUUCUGUGUAAUUUAUACUCUCCAUUUUAUAAAAUUUAUGCUGUUCUUAUCUGCAGAUUCUGGAAGGGCUACUCAAAUUGCCAGAGAACAGGGAAUGUGCAGAUUGUAAAACCAAGUAAGUUCCUAGAGUGUUUCUCUAUUUUGGCAUUUUAUUUUUAUGGAGAUAAAAGGUAAAGGGGUUGAACAACAAAUUAAUAGCUCUCAAUGGAUAUCAGAAUUAAAAAGAGUUAAUUUUAGAAGUCAUUAAUUCGUGUAAAGCUGUAAUCUUAACUUAUUUUCUUUUUAUUAUUGAAAUGCAGGGGCCCUCGAUGGGCUAGUGUGAAUUUAGGCAUCUUUAUAUGCAUGCAAUGUUCUGGAAUCCACAGAAGUCUUGGAGUGCACAUAUCCAAGGUGAAUAGUUGUUCCUUAAUUAUGUAACUUGCUGGUGAGUGGAAUUUGACAAGCAUUUGCUAGUCACUUGACUGGGACAGUUCAAACAAUGUACAAUACUUGUGUGAUACAUCUGAGAGACUUCCAAAAAGAACCUUUUGAUAGGAAUAUCAGGAUUAAAUAUUGUUGUGCCUGACAAAAUAUGUGCUCAACUCCUUAGCUGAUAAUGAGUUUGUUGAUAGCACAGCCUCAUUAGUGGACCUGUUCAAAUCAUCUACUAUUAAGUUUGUCUCAUGUGCUACAAUGCAAAUUGACAGAGUUGCAUAUGUACUUAAUUGCCAAUUUUUUUUUCCUCGUCCGUCUUGUGUCUGAGUUCUAGCUCAUCGCCUUCACAUUUUUUGUACGGUGUUUUUUGUGUCAAUAUUCUUGAAUUUUUUUCUGCUGUCAAAAUUGUUAUUCUUUUCAAAUGGAAAGUGACCAUCUGGGUUCAAGUAAGUUAGGCAUUGUUUUAUGAACUGUGUUUUGAUUUCUUUUCAGUUCACAAUGAUGGAUCUUUCUUGAAUGGCUAAUUGUUCUAGGGGCCAAAGCAAUCAUAUUGCAGUUCACUUUUUUUUUGUGGGUAGAAGUUGGAUAGGAUAUGUAUUACUAUCUUGUUUCUAGAUGUAAUUGUUUCACUAAAAUUUGCAGUUAUAGAGAUUUGUAAGCUAUACACCUAAGAUAAGUUUGUUUUUUAAACUGAUUAAAUCUGUUUUCUGAGUACGUAUGGGCUGAUUACUCCAAAUAAUAUACUUCUGUGCUUUGCUUUGAACCCUUUAUGGCCAAUUAACACCAUGGGGACGAUGUGAGUUUGAUGUCUGAAGAAGAAAUGGAAGCUGAUAUCCGCAUCAGCAACUUGACUGUAGACCUGAAUUUCAUUGUUGCAACCAAUAUUUUACUUCUUGUUCAUAUAGAUCAGGGUAAUUUAUUGAAUGCAUUCUGUUUUUUGCUUCAUAAUGCACCACUUCCUUCCGUCCUUUUUGUCAACAGAUUAGUGUUUAGUGGAUAGACAUCAUCAUUUGAAAUAUCUUGCGACUGAUGUUUCUUGGUGCUUCUGCAGGUGAGAUCUGCUACCCUUGACACAUGGCUUCCUGAACAAGUGGCAUUUAUUCAGUGUAAGAUUUUCGAUCUCUUAUUUUUUAUAGGUUUGAGAAUUUCUUGAUUCAAGUUGAUCUGAUAGUUCAAAGUCUAUUACAUAUGAAAUUGUUUUCUUUUUGUUAUAGCAAUGGGAAAUGAGAAGUCAAAUAGUUAUUGGGAAGCAGAGCUACCACCAAAUUAUGAUAGAGUUGGCAUUGAGAAUUUCAUUCGUGCUAAGUAUGUCUGGUUUAACCCCGGCAAAACUUUCCACUAUUUGGAAGCAUUCAUCAUUUCACUUAUUUUGACACUUUUUCUUGAAUACCUUGAUUAAAGGUAUGAGGAGAAGAGAUGGGUUCCAAAGGAUGGGAAACCAAAUUCUCCUGCUAGGGGACGAGAAGACAAGCUAUCAGCUCAGUGGCAAAGACCUAAUGAUAGAAAUGUUCCUGCAUACACUGGCCAUUCUAGGACUUCAUCUGAUGAAAGGAAGAGCAUUCAAACAAGCAGCACUAAAGAAAAUGUUGCUGCUGGGGGAAUUAGUAUUCCAGUACCACCGAAAGCUCAAGAACCUGUAUGUUGAAUUGCAAAUUAUAGUUUUGAUUUUUUUUUCCUUGUUAUCAAAUGUGAUUUUAUUCUUCUAUAUAGAGAGUUGAAUAGUCUCUCUCUUAUCUGAUUGGGCAGGAGUGAUCGUGUAAUGAAAUUCCUUUGGUUGAUUUUUUCUUUUAACAUAAUGGAGUGGAAGCAUUCUGAUUUGCAAACCUUUAAAUGAUGUUUUUGUUUGCAAUAACCUGCCUUAAGGUUAAGUUGAAGCUAUACAAGAAUGAGUGCAUAUUAAUUAUACUUAUCAGAAUAUGGACAGUAGUAAUUAUUAAUUUACUAGUAAUAAGAGUAAUAUAAUUUCCUAAAUUUGCUGAUAGUCCUAGACUGAUCCCCUGUUUUUUCUAGGUUUCUGUGUGCCUUAUUUUUUGUAAUUUAUAUACAGGUUGUUCCAGCUCCAGUGCCUCAACAAGUGAUUCAGAAAACAGAAUCUGUUGCCUCAGAAUCUGUCAAACAGGUUGCACAAGCUGCCUCACCACCUAAGGUUGACUAUGCUAUGGAUCUUUUUAACAUGCUUUCAAUGGACACUCCUAGUGAAAAUGGUUCAGGAGCAGCAUCUGCAGAUGAUAAUUCAUGGGCUGGCUUUCAGUGUAUGUAUAGAAGAUCAUUUCCUUUUUUUUUCCUGCUUCUGCACCUUUUCUUCUUCUGGGAUUACGAAAUUUUGUUCUAGACGGAUUGAGGUGUGGUGGUUGGAUUGGUUUCCUCUAAUCCUUGUUUCUAUGUACAGCUGCUCAAGAAACUUCGACAGCAGAAGGAAGUGUUCCAUCAAAGGUCGAUGACAAUAAGAAACAGUCUGCUAAUGAAAUUGAGGAUUUAUUCAAGGAUACACCAUCUAUUGCACCUCUAAUGACAGAGAAACCUGAAAAAGAUGUGAAAAAUGACAUCAUGAGCCUUUUUGAUAAGGUCUGUGCCUGUUCUCUCGUAAAUGUUGUUAGACUUUUCUCCUGUCAGUUCUAACAAUUGCAGUGUAGUUUAAAUGAGAAAUGUAUUAACACUUGUACCUAUUGGCACCCCUAUUUUUCUAUGUUAUUUGCAAAAACUUUGUCAUUCUGAUUUGGCUUUAUUCUGGAUAAAGUGUAAUUUUGUUGCGCUAUGAUUUUGUUAUUUCUUUUGUUGCAGUCCAAUAUGGUAUCCCCAUUUGCCUCUCAUCAACAACAAAUAGCAAUGAUGUCACAACAGCAGUCUCUUCUAAUGGCAGCAGCUGCUGCUAAUGCUGCUGGUGGAUUGCUAAAGGUUCCUGGAAAUACGCAACAAGGGCCAAAUGGCAUCAACUUGCUAAAUCAGAAUUUGGCAAGUGCAGGCUAUCAUCAAUUUUAUGGGAUGAUGAUGCCAGGUGCUGGAAAGAAUGAGCUGGAGAAAUAUAUGCAGGUAAGAUUCGCUAAUUAUGAAUGUAAUUGAUUGAAGUAUUGUGUUCUUAUUCUUCUCUCUGUUUCUUUGCUAGAGUGGGAACUUGGGGAACGCCCAGCUGGUUGGGAGCACUGCUCAAUUUCCAGCAACGAGGUAUGCUAUUAUUGCAUCAUAUACUUGCAAUUUCUCCUUUGACAGCCCUUAUUAUUUUUGUGGAAUAGGUGCUAAAACCUAAUAGUAUUUUGAUGUUUAGCUGUUGACUUGUUAGGUAUCCUUGGAAUUUGGAAAUGUAUCUUCAUUUGUCUAUGUAUCUCCUCAUUUUACAUAUCAAUUUUUGCCCCCCUGUUUUCUUCUGCAACUUAAAAAGCUUAAAACUUGCUGUGAUACGUAUGUUCGAUGUUUUAUGUGAUCAUAUUUUCCUCACCAUAUUCCAUUUUGUGCUUUCAUCCUGCUCAAGCUGUUAAAGAACCUGCUGAUUCAUCUACUUUUGAGCAAUUACUGAUGGAACUUUGUCUCAGGAGCAAAUCUGGAAAUUAGACACAGAUUGUCUGACUCCUACUUUUUUUUGCUAUGAUAUUGCAGUGUCUACCCUGUGGGUCAAAGUACUUCUAGCAAUGGUGUAGUGACACCUGGAGUGAGCAGGCAGACGGCAUCCCCUGUUUCAUCUUCUUCCACGCAGACAGCCAAAGAGUAUGAUUUCUCCUCUUUGACUCAAGGCUUGUUCUCAAAGCAUUGAUCAGCCUGUGAGAGAGAGCAACCUGCUUAGUCAUAGUAUACCAAACGAGACAUUUACGAGAAAAGUAGUUUUCGGAUGAUAUCUUCGAUAUCAGGAUUGUACACUUAUUUGUAGAGUAGCAGAUCCGCUUUAAAGUCUUAAAUGUCUUCUUCCAUUUUUGUUUAUACCUCGGAUAAUAAGCAGUUCAUAUUGAUUGUUUUUGGAACAGUAUCUGGUUCACUCCUACUGUUCUGGUUUUCGGGAUGAAUUGGAAAUAAAAUAUUGCUGACUCACACUAUGGAUCAUGGCUAAUUGGUGUGACCGUACGAUUUAGAUCCUUGACUUGUACCUGUUUUUUUUUUAUCCCGCCGGGAGUGGAUCCCGCAGACUAUUUCCCACCUGCAGGUACCCGUUUAAUGUUGGCUAUGUUGGGAGCUUGGGAGGGCAAUAUCGUUAUUCUAUCUUUGUAAUCUUUCUUCGGGAAUUGUCAGAAGAGAAAGGCACGGUAUCUUUCAUCAAGAGGGAGGUUGAAGAUGAAGAGACCAUAAUGUCCGUGUCCGUCUCUCUGAUUAGCUGGAAACCUGGGUUAGACGUAAGCAAGAGUAAUCAAUCAUCCUGACUAGGGGUGUGUUGUAUUACUCGAGCUCGACUCGAGAUAAAAUAACUAAGCGUCGAACUUUUAGAAUUCGAGCUUGAACUUGAAUUCAACUUAAAUUUACGUUACUCGAGCUCGAGUUUAAUUAAAUCUAAUCAAUUCAAAUUGAACUCAAUCGAAUCUAAUCAAGUUCGAUUAAACUUAAUCAAGCUCACGUAAUAAAUAUUAAUGUUUUACAUAUAAUUUUAAAUAAAGGAUAUUAUUGAUAUUUUAUAAUAAUAAAUAUUAAAAAAUUAAAAAAUAUAUUAUAAAAAACUCGAUUAGGUUCGUCGAGCCUUCGAGUGCAGAAUAUUAAAACUCGAGCUCGACUCGCUGCUUCUAUCAAGCAACUCGUCGAUCUGCUGACCGAGUAGCUUGCGAACUCGAGUCAAGCUAUUCAAUCUAGCAUCAGUCCUAAUCUUGACGGUUCUUAAAAGGAAUUAUUCUGGUUAACUACAUUGAACUCUUUGCAGUCUUUAAAAGACUAAAAAUUUUGUCUAUUUUUCUAGAUUAAAAAUAUCAACGUCUAUACAAAAUCUUUAGUUCUAUCAUUUUGAGUUGUUAUCGCAUUUGAGUUAGUUAUAUUCCUUUUCUCCUCUUCGAUGUUCCUUUUUCAAAAUUUAUCUAUUGAAAGUUUGGGGAAUUUUAUUUUCACUCUAUAUUUUUUUUGUUAUUUGUACUCCUAUCAUUUAUUUUAUCAUAUAGUCUAAUAAAUAAAAAUUAUAUGAUUAGAAUGAUAGUGGGAGUGUGAUUAACAAAAAUGGGAGUGUAAAUAAUAAUUUUGAAAGUUAUUAAAUUUAUAAAUUCAGGAAAAGUAUGCCUUUGGCUACAAUGUACUUGCUUGUCACCAAAAAAAAAAAAAGAAAGAAAGAAAGAGAGAAAUAAAAAGGGCCAUCUUGGUAUAAGACUAAUUCGAGCACAAGUCAAAUUCUGCAAUCUACCGCUUUCAUCAGAUAUCCCGAUAUCUCGAUCAUUCUUUGGUUGGCCGCUGCCUGCUGAUAACGAGACCCUCAACCACAGACUGAAGUUUCUGAAAUCGUGGCCCUCUUUCUCCCGUCGGCGGAGUUCGACCCAUAGUUAUACUUUCAUUUUCUGCAUUUCGUUUUCAUCUUUUCUUUUCAUUUCGGCGUUUGGUCGAAUUUUAAUACAUAGUCACACGCAUGCCUGUCACAUCGAUGUCAAAAUAUUGGAGAAGUGUUAACUGUUGUAGCUAACAUGUCAUGACAAAGUGAUCGGGGAUAGAGCUACAUUUGAUUAUCUAAAAACAUAGUUAUAAUUAUCGGGUCCAACGUAUAGGUUUUUUUUUUUGUUUAAAAUUAAAGUUUGAGUGGUUUCAGUUCCGAUCAUCAUCAUAGAUUAGAGUUAAAAUUAAAGUUUGGGUGGUUUUACUUUCGAUCAUCUUCAUAGAUUAGAGUAUAUCUUUUGAUUAGAGACCUACCAACACAACUUUGACAUUGAUGUGAAGAUUCAACAUCUCUUUUCGUAAGAAAGUGAUCCGUUCUUACCAACUAAAACAACAUGAAUUAAGCUUCAAUAUAGUAUUUAUUUCAAUAUCAUGUUUAUAAGUUACACAGAUUUUAAAUUUUGACAAAAAUGUCAUCAUCAUUUGUAGUGAUAGAGUUAAGGAUCUCUGAGCAGAGAGGACAAUGCUCAAUGUAUAGAUUUGUGAUAGAAUUAAAUCUUCAAUAGGAAUCGUCGUACAACCUUGUAUUUAACUUGUCGCUUCAUGGUUAUAACUAACAUCAUCGUGCUUAAACUUAUAAAGGUUGUUUUAUAAAGUGAAUUAUGUUGUAUUUUACAUGAAGAGAGAACCUUAGAAAUUUGAAGGGGAAGAUGUAUACAAACGUGUGAACUUUGUAAAUUUCAAAGGGUCUAAUAUAAGAAACUUUACAAAAUUAUAGAGAUAGAUCGAGCAAACAGAUGCUCUUUAGAAAACAAAUUGAGGAGGAACAAGAAAGGUGUAAGAAUAAAAACACUACAAAAUAUCAAACUUAUUUCAUAAUUUUCUAGAACUCGAAGGGAGGAACAAAUGCCCCCUCUCAACUACACUUGGCUCCGCCGCUCAUCACAUUAUAGGCUGACCCGAUUGCGAACUGUAGUAGAAUCAACAACGUAUGGUAGGUAAACCAAGGGGAUGAUUUUAGGGGAAGAUAAUCAUAUCUGUCUCAGUCUGACUAAGUUUGCACGGAACUAAAAAGGUGUACUGCAUCACGUAGCUACCCCUGCAGAUACACUAGUAUAUAUUAGUCGUCUUUGCAUGCAUGAUCAGACAAAAGCUAGUAGUAUAUAUUGAACUUUUGUACAGCUUCGUCUAGUUAUGUACGUAAAUGGAUACAACUUCAGUAUAGAUACAUACAGUUUUAGUAUAAUUGUAAGUUUUGCAAAAUUAAAUAAAAAAAAAUUCAUCUUUAACUUCCUCUCUUUUAAGGUAGCUGUCCUUUAAAUUCAUUGAACAUAGAAGCUUGUUGUUAUUUACCUAUUGCGUGCAUGGAUAACAUAACGCGUUCUUGUGGCGAGGGUUUCGUAGAACACUAUACAAUGUAUAGAAAGACAGGCGGUGGUUGUCAAUCUUUUCUCGCAAGGACCUUUCGUACGUUUAAUUAGUCUCUUAUUGAAAAUUUUUUGUCAACCAUAUCUAACUUCCUGUAGAAUAAUACAACAUACUGAGCGCAUUUUUUCAACGCCAACCCCUACAACCACCCGUGUGGAAUGGUGUAGAAGAAUUACGGGUCUAAAAUAAUCAUUGGGCAUUCCACUUUCCUUCACAUAUAAUAAUAAAUUGUUAGAAUGAAAUUCUUAGAGUGCAAUUAUCACUUGUCUAUGAUGAUGUCUAACCGCUUAUCCAAUAAAAAAAGAAAUUGUCUUCUAUUUUCACCCUCUCACAAAACCCCCGAAAACAAAAAAAAUCCCAAAAAAGGCCACAAAAAAAAAAAAAAACGACGAUUCUGACAGCCCUGUAUUCAUUCCCAUUCUUGUCUUCGUGAAAGCGUGGUCGGUCUAAAACUGGGCUGUUGGGCACAUGCAGAGCGAAAGAAUACAACUUAGCAACUGUUUCAGUGUCCCACGACGGCGAUCCUAGAACAGCUCCCGGUUGCAACGGUCAUUUAUUCUGAGUAUGGCCGUUGAUGAUGGAAUGAGCAAUCAUACACAUUAAUCAAUUCACUUCUUCUGACAAUCCCAGCUUUAGCCAUGCAUAUAAAAUUGGUUAGGGAACGUGAAAAGGCAAUCAAUUACACUCUCAUAGAUUCUCGAAAUAGAUGGGAUCCCCGACUCCACGCACUCAUCAAAUUCUUUAACGACGGGUCACUAAUAAAUAUUUAAAAUGCUUCUACCCGCAGUUGUCAAAAUCACGAUGAUCCUAUGGUCCGGAUAACUAAAAUCGAUCCGGAUCGUAUUCAGAAUCACAAAUCAUAUUAAUCUACGUAGGAUCGUGUAGGAUCGUAGUAGGAUCGGUAGGAUCGUGUAAGAUCGUAGGAUCCUACAAUUUUUUGUAAAUUUGUGAAAUACGAGACUCUAUUUUGCAAGUAAAUGAAAAUAUUUAUGGUAUAUUUAUAAUUUAUCAAAGAAUUAUAUCCUUUAAUUAUAAUUAACAGCUUUUGGUAGGAUCUUACGCUCCUACGAUUCGAUUCAAUGAAACUAGAUCCUACAUAAAAUCCCGAUUUUACUAACCUUGCUUCUACCACGAUGGAUGUAGUAGCUAGGCAAGAAAGGAUUUGACUGAGUCAUGCUUCGCUUUCCAUCAACACAUGAGAGGAGGGCUCUUCGUCCAAGAAGGACAGCGCCAAGAAUGAAAAAUCACCUGCUUCCUUGCCGACUUUGACAAUUAUUUACGCAUGGUUUGCUAGUCUUAUCAGUAAAGCAAGGCAGUGAUAAUUAUGAAGCUUUUUCUUUUUCUUUAAAACAAAAAAUGAGUGUCUGAUUUACCUAUACACAUUUCCCUUGUGCUCCCAACAAAGGUCAUGGUGUAAAUGAUACUGCUUCAAUGUGUACAAUCUUUAACGAAAAAGUCAUACAAAAAUUGCUUUAUAGGAUUAAAAAAAUUCAAAUUAUUUGAUACUCGAACGAGCUUUUGUAUAAAUUUGGUGUGCCAAUUGAUAAAGACAAACAAGAAUACCAUUUAUAUUUAGGGUAUGUUUGGUACCCCAUAGAAUUGGGAUUUAGAAUUGGAAUUGGAACCCCAAUUCUAAUUCUUGUGUUUGGAUGCUGCCUUUUCCAUAGAAUUAGCAUUGAAUUCUAAUUUCAAGAGGUUCCAAUUCCAUGAGUUGAAUUCUUUAUCAGACCAAAAGAAUUCUAAUUCCAAUUCCACGUCUAAACCCUCAAAAACGGGUCUACACGCGGAUCCAACAUGGGUAAAAAAUUAAAAUCGGGUCAAGUUCACUCGCGUCCCUUCUCUAUCUAAUUAACCGCUUUUCCUCAGCACAAUUGCUCUGAUGUCCACUGCCGCUUCCACCUCAACCCUAACAUUUUGCCUCUUCCACCACCGUCUCCCCCAUUGCCCUUUGCUCCGAGUGCUCUGCUCUGCUCCGCUCUGCUGUUGCCUUUUGGCCUUUGGGGGAACUUACAGCUUGCUAGUUGCCUCUGGUGGAUUUCAAUCUUUUUCUUUGCUUCUCCUUUCUGGUGGCUUCAAGGAUAAGCGAUUUGGAUCUUGGGCUUCUGGUUUUCUCACAGUAAGUUCAAAUGUUGUGCCUUUUCUUCUGUUUCGAUGUGAUUCUCGGGUUUUUUUAGCGUUUUAGUGAUUUUGCUGGCAUUAAUGUUUUAUGGGUUGUUUCUAAUUUAGCUACUUGUUGUAGGUUUUUGUAAUUCUGGACUAAAUUUAUGACCUUUACUUGCUGUGGAUAUUUUAAAAACAAAAGGUGAAAAUGCUAUACAGUAGAAAAUUUCAACGGCAAGAUCCCUCUUUUCAGUUUGUUUGAGCUAUCCCCAAUAACAAGACAGAAACGAAACCAUAUCCAUUUUAUCUUUCAUAUCCAUUUCUGUUCAGGUGGACUUGUUCAAGUUUUGUUUGGCUCAUUUCUUGUCUUGUUCAUCAGAUAUCUAAUGACAAAAGAAGUUCCUUUGCACCUGUUUCUCUGGCUCAGUAUAUCUGAUGCUGUCUUCCAUAUAAACAAAAUUUUGUUUUUGACUUCUUGAAAGUUGGGGUAAGAUGCAACUUUUGUAAAUAAAUUAAUGGUUCUCCUGAGUUUAGGCUUCUUUUUUAGUUUCUAUAUACUUUGUGUGCACAUGUAUUUUGAAGCAGUAAUAAAUAGAUUGUUUGAAAGUUAUGAAUGAUUUGCAAUUCGUAAAGCGCCGCUACAAGAUCUGUGAUGGAAUCCACUAAUGGCCGUUUAGCCAAACAGUGGUUUACUAUGUGAUUGGUGUAAACUACAUUUUGCUUUAUGCUGAAAAGCUUUCAUUGUACCAGACAUUAGGCCCACCUCUUUUGGCUUUGCUUCUGAACCUCUGUUAAGAUUCACUUUAGCAUUUCAUUUGAUUGGUUACACAUGACGAAUUUCUCAUCGCAGAGACACACUUUUUUACUGCAAAAUGGAAAUAAAGUGUUAUGAGAAAUGGUUAUAGUUAUACUGUGAGGCAGUAAGAUGGCUGAUCAAAAUGCUUAUGAAUUUAUUCUCAUGUAUGAGCUGGAAGAGAAACAAAUAUGUGUUGUUAUCCUAACACAGAGUAAUUACUUCUGCAGGCCAUUAGCUUUAGCAGCGUCUCAUAUCCCUCUGGCAUGGUGAAAUUUGGUUUUGUCUUCUUAAUUUCGAGUGACAAAUAUGGGAAGCUACUUUUUGUAACAAUUUCACUCUGACUCGGAUGCAAAUGAGAUAUGAUACUGAAUAAUGUUGUUUCUGUAUCAAGCUAUUCCAGGGCUCAGCAGACCACAGGGCCUGUGUGAACUAGGUGUUACCUUUAUGUUAUGUAUGCCAGCAGGCUUUGUAAACUCGUAUGGAAUUGGGAUAAUAUGUCAUUAUGAUGCUGUCUCAUGUGUAAAUGGAAGAGACAAUUAAUAAUAAUAAUAAUAAAAUGUUGCUCUGUGCCUUUUUUAUUCUAAUUUAUUGUCAUUCAUCCAAUUAAAUGGUUUUUGACAAUUCAGAAAGAAAAUUAAAAUGGAUGUCACUGUUUCACCAAUACUACAUGUGGUUGCAGUUGUUUACUGUGAGCAUUUUUAAUACACUAAUUAGCCAAAAUCAUUCCUAGCCUUGAAAUUUGAUAGGAACUUAUUCGGACUUAAUUUAAUAUUAGAUUGGCCAUUUAUUGAAGAAUAGUAGCAAUGUAUAAUUGUGCUUAUCUCUCUCUCUCUCUCUCUAUUUUGCUAAAGUCACUUUGUUUGCAUAUUCAUCUAUUGGAAUUUCUUGUAAGAUACAAAACUCAAAUUUUUAUAAUAGGCACAAGCUAUGACUUUCCUUCCCAAUUAAUAUCAUAGAGUAGGCUUUUGAUUUUCUAAAAUUUAAAGUUCUUAGCUUUAUAAAAAGUAUCAAGGUUUUAACUUGAUAAAUAUUAAUUACUUUUUAAGUUAGAAUAUAUAGUUAUUUUUUAUUUAAUAUAAUUUAAUUAAGAAGAAAAGAAACAAGAAUAAUAUUUUUUUUGAAGAAAAGUAACUAAUUUUUUUUCUUUAAAGCUUGAGUAACAAUUAGCUAAAUGCAAGAAAAAAUAAAUUAUUAAAGGUACAAAUUGGUUUUUUCCUUAAAGCUUUAGUAACAAUUAGCUAAAUGUUAAAAAAAUAUUAUAUAGUAAAGGAAAAAGAAAAAUUUUCUGUAAGCAAAUGUUUCAUGAAAACAAUUCUAAUUCCUAAUGAAUUAUUCUCUCAUGCAAACAAAGAAUUUGGAAUUCCAAACAAAUUCCAUAUCAAUUCUAUGCAUUUUCCAAACGAAAGAAUUGCAAUGAUUUGGAAUUAUAAUUCAUAGAAUUCCAAUUCUAUAGAAUUUCAAUUCCAAUUCAAUUCCAAUUCUGCAAAACCAAACGCACCCUUAGUGUUUGUUGAACUUUUACAUUUUGGUUAGACUUUACUUGAGUAACACAUAAUUUCAAACACAUUCUUUAGAAUAAACACAUAAUUUUAAACAUUAACUCGUUAGAGUUGAUCAUUCAUACUUCAUGGGCCCUGGACCAUAAUAGCCACCCAACAACCCAACCCAAUCCAACGCUUCGACUUCAACCGUUUAUAAUGUAGAAAAUAAGCCAUCUUUUAAUUUAUUUAUAGUACUACUAUCAAGUAUAUCGCUUAAUACACAAUUUUUCGAUGCAAGAACCCAACCCAAGGCAAUAAUUAAGCUUCUACUUCAACGGUUCAUAGUUCUUUUAAUUUAUUUACGUGGCUUGACCAAUUAUCAACUGAAAUAUAUCGUUUAGUAUAUAUGAUUUUCCAAUUGAUAAAAUAUGGAACCGUAUAAGCAUUAUCAACUAUAUGGUUUGGUAUAUGAUUUUCCGGUUCAAAGUACGCAUGUUCCAAAGUCAAAUAUUGUACUACGCCAUAAUUAGCCCAAAUAUCAAAUCAGAAAAAAAUAAUAGUAGUAAUUCCAAAAAAAUGAUUUUUUGCCAUCUAUAAAAGCGUCUCCCCAGGCCCAGACUAACGUUCUUUUUUAUAGUUUCCCUGCUCCGCUCCAGAAAAGAAAUUAUACUUGUAGUAGUACUACUGCUAUCCUAUACCAUUCUCUCUCUCCAAGUCUCAAAUGUCGAUCCUCUUCCCAGAAGCCUCAAACAACUUCAUACUCUCGCUCAAACUCGUCUUGAUAUCCACCACCGUUUUAUCAGCUGCGGUUGCCCUGAAGCUCUCCGCACCGGCUAUCACAGAGUUCGCCGUCACCGAAGUUCCUUCCUUGUACCACGGCGUCGUUUCCUGGCUGAAGCCUCCCUACCUCUACCUCGUCAUCAACUGCAUCAUCAUCACCAUUGUUGCUUCCUCGAAGCUCCAGUCUGCAGCAAAGCUCCACCAUGACGUCACUCCACCCUUGCCGACUCAUCCCCAACUUCAACCGACGCCGUUUCAGGUCGCUUAUUAUCAGCCUCAGCCUCAGCCAGUGCCUUUGGUUGUGCCUCAUCUUCAGCCGCACGAGUUUGCCGAUGUCGACCGGCUGGCUGAGGCUGCUGGUACAGCCAGUGUUAGGGCGCCGCCGGAGGUUUAUGAGCGGGCUAACGAUACCAUUAGUAGUAUCAGUAAUAUAAACAGCAAUUACUACGAAAAUAAGCAGGUUUUGGUGGAUGAUAAUGGAAAGGAGGAGUUUGUUGGUGUGAGUGAGGUGGCGGAAUUGAGUAAUGGUGGUUAUGGAGACGAAUCUAAUUAUGCAGAUGUAUCAAAGCCUUCGUGGUCAUCCACAUCAACAUCUCCGGGGAUAAGUAGGACGGAUUCACUGGAGCUUUCGUUAUACUCGAACGAGAAGCCGCCGGUUUCGGCUAGAUUCGGCCACCGACGAACGGCGAAAGCCAGUCCUGAUCAAGGUACUUCAUUCGUCUUCACUUUUUCUUUUUCCUCUUUUAGGUAUCAAGCUCACCGUGACACAUGCAAACUUGUUCCGGAAAAUGUUUCGAUUUAGUGGUCCUGAUAAUUGUAAAUUUGUAAUUUGAGCUUCACAGUCCGGAUUGAAUAUUUUCACUCAUUUGUUCGUGGUUCUGAACUUCUGAUUACCAUUUGAAGUUACGGGAGAUUUUUUUUUUUUUUUUCAAAAAAAAAGGCUGAUAACGGUACUAUGCCGGAGAAGUGUCUGGUUUUUACUAGCCGUUGGAUCAGAUGGUGCUUUUAGCUUUGAAAGAAAAGAUGUUACCCAAUUUGAAUUUAUGAUUGUGCUUUUAGCUAGUUUUAGUUAGCUAGAAGGAUUGUGAUUGGUUAAGACUCUGAGACAGAGACACCCAAGACGUACGAAAGUUGAAAUGACAAGAGUGUCCCCCUGAGAUCGGUGAGUAAUUGAGCCAUCGGUGAACAAAAAAUGAGCGUUUUACCGUCACGAAAUGAUAAGGCCCAAGACUAGACUAGACUAGACUAGACUAGGAUAGUCGUCCGAAUCACCUCCUAUAUCGUUUUUUUUAUUAUUGUCCUCAUCUAUCCAUUGGCUUAAUUGCAGCCCACACCCCGCCGCCGACUUUUAGUCCAUUUCUAUUAUAUGAUUUCUAAUUUUUUUGGGCUGCAGCUACUCCUGAUUCAGUGUUUGAUGUUCUCAUGAGCUUCAACAAAAUAUGGUAGUAGUCGGUGGUCAACGAUGUAAAAUUUGCGUGACGUUUGGUUUUCAAUUCAGGUGGGAAAGCGGCGCUGGGGGUGUCGAAGCCCAAGAGGCAGGAGACGCUGGAGAGCACGUGGAAGACUAUAACGGAGGGGCGUGCGAUGCCGUUGACGCGGCACUUGCGCAAAUCUGACACGUGGGAGACGCACGGUGGUCGGCACCACCAUAACCAAGCCCCACAAAAUCCGAGGAUGAUCAAAUCCGAAACCUUCGCUGACCGCCGCAAAACUGACGCAAGUACUGGCGGCGGCAGCAGCAGCAACAACUCGCUGCUGAGUCCCUCACCCGGUUCUGGCAAACUCAAACGGGAAGCCUCCCUGAGUCAGGACGAGUUGAACCGACGGGUGGAGGCCUUUAUUAAGAAGUUCAAUGAGGAAAUGCGGUUGCAGAGGCAGGAGUCUUUGAAUCAAUACAUGGAAAUGAUCAAUCGAGGGGCACAUUAGUACAUUCAGGGAGGAGUUUCGAAUUACUGCUGUUUUAUUUUUUAUGUUCGUUUGUCAAUUUGUUAAAUGCACAUAGAGAAACUCUCUCUUCGAAAGUUAAGUGGAUGGAAAAAUUCUUUUUCGUCGAGGCAUUUUGUCGCUGCCCUCCUCCAUUUUUUUCCCUCACCUUUAGCCCCAGAAUUUAGGAAGAAGAAAGAGAUGCUACCGAUAGAAUUUUUCCUUCAUACAUUGUGAUGUCAUUGCUGGAGACGGAGAAAGAAAACAUAAACAGAUUAUUAUGGUACUCCAUUUUUGUGAUCACAUUCCCUUAGACGAGCAAUCGAAAUUUUUGUGGCUGGUAGUCUGGAAAACAAUUGACAGUGACGGAAUCUAUCAGAAUUGGGUGUGAAUGAAGUGACAUAAUGCUUGGUAGCUUGUAGUUCACAAUGCCAAGUACUAUAUCUUAAUGAUGCAAGGAUUUAACGACUUCUUGGAUCUGAAUCCUGAGCGAGUAAAUGUGUAUCAGGAGUGGGCAUUAAAGAGUUACAUUACAUGGGGCUGCGCAUCACCGAUGUUGACAGUGAUGUGCUUAAUGGACCUUAUCUGCUGAGUUCUAACUCCGUCUUCAUUCUUAUCUCUUACGCCAUUAACUGAAUGGAAACCAUCAUCUCAAGAUACCGAUUCCAUAAAGUCGUGAAAUUUAGUUAGUAGGCAUUCAAGUACUACUUGAAAGUUGGUACAGAAACUGCUGCUUUCCUGUCUAAUAUUUUUUUCCCCCUCCUUUCAGCUGAUUCUGUGCAUUUCAAUGUACGUUGCAGUAUUUUACACAAUAUCUAACUCCAUGUUUUAUAUGUUUAUACAGUUCAGUACCUAUCAGAAACCUUAACCUUUCACACAACUGCUUCUGAUCUAUAGCUUACUUCUUGUGCUUUCACAUGGUUGAAAAAAAAGCAGCUCUAAAAGUAUCAGCAUUUUGCUUCGAGUGCCAGUUGAAUCCUACAUUGCCAUUGAAGUAGCUGGGAAUAGCCUAUCUAAGAGGGUAUAAACACCUCCACCUAAAAGCAGAGCACCACUGCAAAGCAAAAUAAUCAAACUUAAAUAUAGACUAGAAGCAAGCAAUGCUAAGGAGCAUGAAUGCAAUGAUGCAGGAAGUGACACAGCCGCACGGUACGUGAACUUUUUAAGAGAAGUACUAGUCCAGUCUACCGUUUUAAAUUCACUACAGGAACACUAUGGGGUUUUUUCUCUUGGACAGAUCAUGAGCAUCAGAAGACAAAGAUACAGAUAGAUAAAGCUUAAGUGUUAUGAAUACAACUACAUGUCAAGUAGCAUUCACUCUCAAGUGAUUACCUCAUUGGGUUAAUCCACGCUGAAAACUUGCGAAAAGAAAGCAAACUCUGCGGACAUUCAAGGGAUAGAAAAAUUAAUUCUCAAAUCAAGAGAGUAAAUGACUAGAACAAAUUGCUGUCAGGUAGGCAGUGGAAGGUGAAUGGCAAUGAGUCCAUAAAACAUAUCCCUCCAGUGAUAGCUAAGCUUUUACAACUCGAUCAACAACUGAUAUAACUAGUUAGCAAAAAAAAGCCUACCUGCAAUGCUCCAGCAAAAGAAGCAGCAAGAAGCAGAGGAGUAACAUAGCCAGUUGUAUAAGCAAGAAGUAAACUGCCCCCAACUACUGGAUCCUGCAUAAAUUUUUUAAUUGAAAAAAGGAAAAGAAAAGAAAAGAAUUUACCUGAUCAGUUUGAACUAAGCGUAAACCAUAAUACCGUAACUCUAAACAAAUAAAUACACCAAAAGUGGUAAAACAUUUAAACUUUGUCCCCAGUGCAGUUCAAAACUCCUUGAUGAUAAAUUGGUCGCAAGCAGAGCUCAUGCCCAAGGUGAUAUGAACCAUUUACAAGUUCCAUCUAUUGAAAGAUGAUACCCAGCAGGACUAUAUACUGUAACAGGAAUGUGCCUUGGUGACUUGUUCCUGUUCACUUAGUCUUCACUUUUUCCCCCCAUUGUGCUUUUAUUUUUCAUUUUAUUUCAUGGGAAGGUUUUUGGUUUUUUUUUUUUCCUUUUUUUGGGGGGGGGGGGACAAGUCUGUGUCUUAAACCAGAAAUUCCUGCCUAAUUUAUCCACAAAACAUAUGCAGCAUAUAAGAAUUUUAUGCAAAUUGAAUUACCCUGGAAGCAGCAACAUAUCCGAGCAAGGUGGCCAGGACAGGUGUACUGCAAGGUGAUGCUGCUAAAGCAAAUGUAAGCCCGGCCAAAUAUGCCUGCACACCUGCCCAGCCAAAAAAAUUAAGUUGCAGUUUCAGAUUUUCAAUAUACUAUGUAAACCAGAUUGAUCAUCUUUUGUAAUUAGCUGAUACUACUAUCGAAAUGCACAUUACUUGAAGGAAAAUUAGCUGCGGCAGCACGGGGAUCAAAGUUGUUAAAAAAUGAGGGAAGCUGAAUCUCUAUUAUCUGCAGCAUUGGCCAGGAGAAUAACACCAAAUGAAAAAGAAUUAGCAGGACAAAAUAAAAGGCAAUUGUCUUAACGUUGUACUGAAAUCAAUUAAAUUUAAAAAGAGGACAAAACAUGCACAGUUGUCCAUUCCUCUAAAAAUUAAAGGUUAACUUAUCAAAGCCCUUAUCUUUGAAGACACACACAUUGAUCUGAUUAAACGUUGUCAAUAGCAAGCGACCAUCAGUCUCAGGAAUUUUAUUUGCAGAUAUUUGCAUGCGGAAAUCAAGCAGAAUAAGAGGCAGAAAAAGACCACAGCCCAUGCUUGUAUCUGCGAGAGGAAAGAUGGAGUGGAAUUGCAAAUAGGUUUGAACAUUUCCAUUCAUAACUUGCAUAAUAUGCUUUAGGCCGUUAGUCAGACUCGAACAAAAAAGACAAGGGUAUGAGAUGUACAAACUUUAUCCAGGAUGAUCACACACAGAUUAAAUUUCUAAAAAGACCAGAUUCAGAUGCAACCAAUUCCAAACCUACGCAGGCCUAACAUAAAAAGUUUUUUUGAGUGGAAAAAAAUUCAUUCAAUUUAAGAUCAAGCAAUUAAGGUUGGCACAUUGUAGCAAGUCUGCAAAGCCACAGACUUUCGGCAUCCAUUGCUUAUCAGCAUCCCUAUUCAAGAACUUUCGCUGCAGAUAAAAGUACAACAGUAUACUCCCAGGGUAUUACAAAUCUCAUUUGGAUCGAAAGUCCAUGCAGCUGACAAUUGAAUUCACUCCAGUAGGUAACUUGGGGGAAAGGUUAGCAGUAACAUGAAUAGACAAUAAAAUAGCAAUAGAUACGUAGUUAAUCACCUCUAAGAGAUUAAAACCCAUGACAAUUGCUAGACAAGAAGCAGCCAAUGGCAAGCCUUGGCCUAUCUGACCAUAUGCUUUUCCAGCAAAUGAGGCUGCUAUUCCAAGCAAUGCCAAUGUAGUUGCCAAUCCAAGGGCAAAUGCAAGAGAAUCCCCAACAAUCUGAAGUAUGCAACAUAAAAGAUAAUAAGAGCACCAAUAAUUCUAUACGUGCAGAUUUUAGUAGGCAGUUUAAACGAAAUUCAGUCACUCCAAACAGCCAGCCAGCCAUACAUGUGACUUUUUUCAACAAGAAAAUUUGGAUGUCAAAUCAUCAUUUGAACAUUUGUCUAAGCUAUAAUUCACACCAGAAGAUCUGGCGAUUUCAGAAUGAAAAAGCAAAUGAGAUCAAUUGGUAGCUUACUGCUGCUCUGCUUCUUCCUGAACCAUAAGCCCCUGAAUAAUUUCCAGUAAAGACAAAUGGCAUCAUUAGAUGAAGUCUUAAGAACAACGAAAUCAAGAGAUUUUGGGACUUAGUCUCUAACCAAUAUAACCAAGAGUCAGUGGCAAAACACUGAGUGUACAAGGAGAAAGGCUGGUUACGAGUCCGGCACCAAAAAUGACAGCCAAACUGUAUGUAACAAAGCGCUAAACAUUCAGUCACUUCAGAACUUAACCCUCUUCCAGACUGAGGGAUCCAACAAUAUGAAUACAUGCCUAGUAAAACUGAGGGCAGACAACUGGUCUAGAACAGCUUCAUUUGCUUGUUGUCCAGCCGAAUAUAAAAGGCUUCCAAACCAAUCUGUAAUGUUUCCAUCAGCCAAAACAAAAAGAGAAGUAGGCGCCUCCUGAUACCAAAGAGAUGGCAAAACCUCGUAAAUAUACAUCAUAAAGCUUAUUCGUGAAAGUACACUAACAAGACAUGAUUCACUGAAUAUAUGGUACCAUGAAACUUUCAUUGCUCAAAGCAUUCGCAGCUUGGGAAGUGACCAAAUUUGCUGCUAGAAACAUUACAGAAUGAAUCAAAAUGAUGUAAUCAGUUUACAGAAGAAACUUAUGCAUUGAUAAUAAGUUAAACAGGCCUAGUAUUUUAAGAAGAAGACCACAAACUUCAUUACAUAAAGAUUGGCAACAAAAAAUUAAACUUCAAAAUUAACCAUAUUUUCCAUUUGAAUGGACUCUUAACUGUUUCAACGGGGACCUACGUAGAAUUUGGCAACAUCAUGUAGUGAAAGAUGCCAGAAGGCUAGGUCAUUUCAGAAUACUAGUUAAAAGUGCAGGAUACUAAGAGCAGAGAACUCUAUGAGGAGCGGGACAACAAUUUAAUGAAAGUUAUGAAAUACAACAGAUAAAUGAGAUUUUAAAACAAGGUAGACUCGUCCACAAGUAACACCUAGGACUAAUUAUUUCACAAGAUAUAGUAGUAUCACACGAUACCUUGCUGAAACAAGCAUUAACUCCAUCUAAAUUUACCUCACCUUCGAUUGGAAUUUCAGCCCCUCUGAAAAAAGAUUUACGAACCAGAGAAUCACAUGUUAUAUUUUGAUGUGGAUUGUCAUUCCAACUCCAAGCUCCAAUUUUUAUUUAAAGGCAUCCAAUUUGGUUGAUAUAGUUAAGAUAUCAGCAAAGCUCAAACCAAACCAUCGCAAUGUGUUUAACGUCACAUUCAGACCCAUACACAAAACCAAAAAGGAAUCUCAACCGGCCAACAACCAAAUAGCUAAUUAAAACAACUAAGCUGUAAAAAAAAAGUACUAAAAAGAAGUAAAGAAUGAAGGGUCCGAUACCUGUAACAAAUGUAGUGAGUUUAAGUUUGUCAGUGGCGCCCACUUCACUCGUACAUUUCAUUGGCAUUUCGCUAUGAUUCUUAUAGUUCCCUUUCAAGAAAAAGAAAUCAUGGAAAGAAGCAUGUGGACAGUAUUAAGUACAUAUUAUAGACUGACGGCACAAUCAGAGUUUCGAGUAACUAAACUUGAGUUGCCGAAAUUGUGCCAUAUCCCAGUUGAAUUUUGUGGAUAACUCGAAAAGGGAUAGAGAAACAUACAAAAAGAUGUUCUAUAUGAAGGUGAGACGCCUAUAAAUGUGGCUUACCAUGAGAAAGAAUUGAUCUUUGUGGAUACUUUGAAGCGACGAUGUAAUGAAGCCGCUGGCAAAUCAUGCCAUUUAUGGUUGAUAAAUUCAUUUGUGUUAAGCUUCAAGAGGACACAAAAGGGAACCCAGAAACAGGAAAAGGAUGCAGUCUUGGGCAGAGAACUUUUUUUUUGGGGGGGGGGGGGGUGAAGGAAUUAUGAGGACGAGGGUGUGGGAGUAGGAGAAAGUGAAGCAGCCUUCAAGUUUUGGAGUUUACCAGGUGGAGGAGGACCAAAGUCAGAAUAACAAGCUUGAUAUUUUUGUGUUGUUUUUGGCGUGAAAGGAAAGGCGUUGAUACAAUUGUUGUUAUGCCCUUACUUACUGUUAAGUGGCUCACUGCCACCGGGAAGGAUCUCAUAUUUUAGUACAUUUUCAGUCUAGAAGAUGGUACAUUUGACCUGACAUUGAGAUGAUAAAGGGCAACUGAUUUUACAUUUUUCAUGUAAAUUGAAAAUGUUGAAUUUUCUUCGUGUAAAAUUUCUUUUACAAAUGGAACCAAAAUGCUAUAAGCGAAAAGCAUGGCCAACCAUGAAGGUUUUCAGCAGGCUUCUUUUUUCUUUUUUUUUCCCAUUAAUUUUCGAUGGCAAAUUUCCGCUGCUAAAAGCUCUUUAAAAAGAUAUCUGCACCACCAGUUUCUUUUUCGUUUGGCACCGGGACUUUUGGGGAGCUUGGGAGUACCUUUUCUUCUUUCUAGUUUUUUGGUCGCGUAAGAGCACGAGUAUAUGAACCCUUUUUCCUUUUUUAUCUCUUUCUUGGAUCUGUUCCAUAUAGAAAUAACAGGAUGAGGAGGGGAAUUGAAUUCUUUCUCCAUUCCAAUAUCAAAUCAAAUACGGUUGGCAGGCCAUUCGUGCAAAUAUAGUAGUAAGAUCAUCUGACAAAGCAUCUACUUUCGUUUAAAAGGAACUGAAGAUUAAAAGGGGCGAGAAAAAUACUUCCUCAAGCAGUUACAUAAACAGACCGAGGUUAUAAAUCCUCUCUUUAAUCUACCACUCUAAUUACACAUGGUUGAGUUUAACUUUAAGCAGUUUGAACAGAUAAAAAAAUAGCCCCCACAAAAAAGGCAUUUUAUCCAACGUUUGGAUUGAAAGGGUACAUUUUGAUUGGCUCAAAACACUCCGAUUCUACUUGGUGGUUGACAGAGUAUCCACAAAGGUGAUAAAUGCUUCCAAGGGGAGGCAGAAUAUCCAGUCAGGAACAACAACUCCCUGAAUUCAGGCAAAAGACUUCAGCUUAAAUCUUUUCGUACGCGCCCCGGCUUCAUUUCUGCCAAAACAAAGGUUGAGCUUGAGUUAAACAUGUAAAAGCAGGGCUUGAACCUUCUCCUUGGGCUUGACUUCAUCGUAUGUAAGCCGAAAUGAAUAAAUAUAUGAUAAAAUAAACUCAGAAGACUGAAUUAAGAUUUGGACCGUAUGCCUGUCUGUCAUAAAUCUGUAAACUUUGAACAAGCUGAAAACAGAAAGAAAAUGCAUAUCUUGGGGAUAGCGAACGAGAGAAGUUGUAUUAAACAAUCGACAGACAAGAGCAAGAAAGUUGACAUUAUGUCAAGCCAUUUUAUAAUGUUUUUCUUCUGUGUAUCUGGGGGUAUCUGUCUCUUCGCACGCUUUUGUGUGGUUCAGAAAGGUCUAUGAUCAUUCUAAAGACUCUGGUCUACAUUUAUCUCACUGAAGCAUCACAACUCGUUCUCUUUUUUGCAAUCCACAAAGAUCACAUUAUGCAAUUUCAUAGCAUAUUCUGAUGUUAUUUGAUAAGGAAGUCAUAUGAUAAUCUACAAAAACCACAUCCUUCCUAAAUUUUGGAAUCCUUAAGGUGAGCUGUCUUUUCCUUAUUUCUGAUAAAUCAGUAUUCUUUAAGUUUUCCCAUAUUUUCAGAAUUCUUAUUUCCCCCUCUGGCUCUCUUUAGAAUCACCAUACUGAAAUGGUUAGAACUGCAAAGCAAACUAAAUGAAAAGAGUAAAAGUGUUCUUACGAGCUCGACCCUGCACCAUACAAAUGCAACCUAAGUAUACAAAUCAAAAUAACUUUGAAUGCCAUACCUCAUUUGGUGGUUGCAGAGAAGAAGUUUUCCUUAGUCCAAUUAUCAACUUUCCACCCGGUUCCACUCUAUAAAAUGUGACUGUCAGAACACAUCAAUUUAAACAUUGUCAGGGAAAAAAGUUUCAAAUUCAUGAGACAUCAUGAGCUGAAAAAAAAAAAAACAAUAAACCUUCAAAACUUUAAUUUUCAUAAUCUUGGGUCCUAAAGAGCACAUUUACAGCUCCAUGUUGCUCGGGUAAUCUGACAGGGUAAUAUUAGUCUUAUGACACUCCUAGUGUUGGCAGCAACUGAUGGGUACCUCCUGGAAAGACAAUCACUAUUUCCUCUCUUUAAGGACCUAUGCAUGCAAAAGCUACACAUGAACUUGGCCCUUUUACAAACUACAAAGGAGGACAUCGCCACAAUACAAUGUGAAAAUGAAGUUAAAACCCUGAAACAUUGGUUAUUGAGACCUUCCCUUUUGAAUGUUCAUUGGACUGAAACCACUAUCCUACCAUGACCACAGAACUGUCAAGUAUGAUCUGCUUAAUUGAAUAAUAGCAAUUGGUUAUAACCUUUUUCCUUGUAACUAUAAACCACUGAGUCAUCAAAAGCCAUUUAACCUUAGGAGAUAGGAUACUGACCAGUAUCCCCUGCUUGCCAUCUCUUUGAAAUCAUAAAGUCUCUAAGCCCCUCCAGGAUAUACAUCUUACUGCCACCAUUGAUCCAAUAACGAUAGUUAAAAUCCCAAUCCUUGCCUUCUGUAUCCUGGAUUUUGAGGAGAAAUCCACGUGGCUCAGAAAUAUCUGGGAAGAAAGCCUGGAGGAUUAUAAGCUUCCAUUAACAUAAUGACAAUAUCAUAAGAUGAUCACAAUCCUUCAUGAAGAAUUUAUUCAUAAAGCAACAAAUAGUCAACAGAUGAGAAACAUGUAUUCACCACCAACACUACACAGUUGAAUACCACAAACUCACCUCUGCACAUUUCUUUGGUAUUAUAAGGCGUGCAAGUUUCAGGUCAGCAUCAGUAGCAGAUAGCAGUUUCUCAAAUAAAGGAGUGACCACACAUUCAAAACUAAAACUUUGUCAAGGAAAAGUACAGUACUAGUAAUUACAUUAGAAACAAGGACUCAAUACAACCCAGUAAAAACUAAAACUGAAAAGACAAUUCAUUUCAUGUAUAUUGUAUGCCAACAAGACAAUUGACUUUAGAAGUUCUAACUAGGCUUACAACAAGAAAAGCUGAACAGCAUCCUUGAGUUCAAGGAAAAAAAAAAGAAUAAUAAAUCACGAAGUUGUAUAGCUAGAUUUCUUUGGUGAAGUACUCUCAACAGAAAAACAGGUAAAAUAUAACAGGAUACUUUCUGGAUAUCUGUUGCACUUCCAUCUCACUGCUUCGAGGCCGGUAUUGAGGCUCUAUGACAGUUUGCCUGGUGAUAUCUGGCUGACCUUCAAGAAACAGGCAUCUGCUUCGUGCCUAAAAUGUAAACUUCAAAAUCUUGUAAGAGUUCUGGAUACUAUUGGAGAAUUUAGAUGGAGCACUUUGGGAGACAUCUAUCCUAAUUUUCACAAGUCAAAAUAACUGAAAAUGACUAUCAGGGGCCAAAAGGUUCAUGAUUAACAUUGUCUAAGAUUGGUCUUGAUAAAUUAAUAUCCAACUUUAUACUCAACUAAAAUUCAGCUUAGCAUUGUACCACCUUAUGCAGGCAAGAUUGUUAAUGUAAUAUGAAUGUGACUCACAAUAAUUUCCUCUGUCAUGCUAUUUCAUUUCGGAAACCAACAAGCCAUUCUGCCGAGGCAGGAGGAUCUGCUGAAUACAUUAAUCCCAACCAUGGGUACCAUAGACAGACACACUGAAACAUAAAGUGUGACAAUCUAGAACGAAGAACUUGCCAAGGACAAAUUUGUCACAUAAAUGAGUUUAGAAAGACAUCAAGAGGUCAAAAUAAUCCCCCUCUUACCAGAGCAAAAUUAAUCCUUGAGCACUCCAUGCAGAUUACUCCACCAAAAUCCAACAGCAAAUAUGCAUUAAAUGAGACAAUACAUCCACAAUGGACCAACUGCACAAAAAAAGGAUUGACUUUAGGGCCUAGUCUUUAGUGUCUCUCAAUCAAUCAAAAUGUACUUAUAAAAGGCUUUCCACAACUAUAUUAUUAUUUGCCCAUGAACGAGUUGCAAUUUGGGAAAAAAAUUUGGAAAAACCUUCCAUAGAAAACAAAAUACUGUUAAGUAAGUUUUUGGACAACUUUGACACAUAUUGAUUUUGACUUUAGCCUCCAAACAGUAUAUCAAAAAUCACACUGGAACACUUGUUGCAAUUAUAAGGGUGGUCGACACAUCUGAAAAAUAUGAUUCUGAAAGAAAAUGAUGCGACAUCCAUGAACCACAGAUAUUCAAAGUUCAAACAUAAGUUCCUUACCUUACCACAAGAUUCACAAUCCCUCCAACCAUCAUCGUUUGAGUGGAAAGCCUCACAGAACUUUCCUUCCUCAUAAAUGGAACUACAAAAUAACAAUGUCGUAUGUUAAACCUGAUUACAAUACCUAAAGAAGGAACUGCAUGUGCUACAUAACUAAAUCAGUUCCAGGAAACUUAAAACAAGGUAUCAGGAGAUAAAUCAUGUUAAUCAUGGUAAGUAAGCUUCACCACAUAAUACACAUUAGCGUCUUCUUAAUUACAAAGUAAAACACGAAUUUUGUGAAAUAUGCAAUCAAGGUAUUACAUCAGAUCAGAUAUCGGGUAAAGAAUUAAUGUUUCAAUCAUGUACUCGUAUAAAGGCUAAUCCAGCAAAAAUUACCUCCUAGCUUCGAGCUCAUAUACAUGGGAACUUGCACAUAUUUUAUCUUUGGCUUAUACUUUUAGCAGAAAAAAUCACCCAGCUAUCAGCUCAUUCCACUUUUUGAUCAACAUAGCCUAUUUUCCAAAUUGUACUAAAUAUGUGACCAGCAUUGUCAUUAGCAUGCAAUUUAGGGGACUAAAACGUGAAUCAGACAAACUUUACACUCGCCAUGUACAAUUGGUUCACACUUCACAGUCUCCCAGCCCACCCCUCCUAAUCUCUUGUUUUGAAAUUAAAAUUCCAAUUUCAAAACCCCAGUUAUGCAAAUGAAUACAAUCAAAGGCAUUACACGAAACUUAGAAUGAAAGGCAAAAAAAUAAAAAAGGAAGAAAUCUAGAAUCACGCACCCAAUAAUUUAGAGAUUGCUUAGGAAGCAAGAAAAAUCACAAAACAGUACUAACAAACCACAAACACAUGUCAAAACCAGAAAUUUCAAGAAUUGAGUGAGGGGGUAAAUAUUUGCAGCUAAAAUAAAAUGUUCACAAUUUCAAACGACAAAAGCUCUCAACAACAAAAGAACUUCACAGAACCCAAGCCCGAAAAUAUCAACGGGCUUCAAUUUUAACAUCUUCAAGAAAACUUAAAAUUGAAGGUAAAACCAAUGUGAAUUCAUUCAUUCAUGCAGGUGUUUCUGUAAAUUGUCAGGAAGUGGAAAAGAGUACGCGCAGCGGGGGCAGAGCUGAGCAAACUCGCCACUGCGAAGGCGCCAGCCAUUUCUGAAAUGGUCAAAGCUGGAGCUGGUCUCUUCACAUUGAAAGCAAGAAAUCUUUGAAGAUGAUGAUGUUGAAGUAGAACCCAUUUCAGCUUUCAAGAAGAAACCCUAGAAGAAAAUAAAGAAGAAGAAGGAAAUCAAAGCAAAAGGGAGGUGAUGUGAUUUUUCUGGCGUUGUAAGAGGACUGUACUGUUCACACUUCAAGAAAGAAAGGGACGGUUAGGAACUAGGAAGUGAGUCGGGGAGAUAUCAAUACGGAAGUUCCUUCUCUUCAGUUUCCGCAAGUGCAAUUAGUAGUUCUACUUAGCAGGAGCGUGAGAUUUUUACUAGAUUUCGUGAGUAAUGAGUCAGCAUAAAUCCAGUACAACCCAAACUUUUAAGGUUUGAAAUUAUCUCAUAUGUGCGCGGAUGGGGUGGUGCUGUACUCCAGGCGCAGGGGAUUAGUCGGGCCGCCUUCGGGUCUUGACCCGGACACUCCUGUGUUGAAAAAAAAAAAAAAAGUGCUGCUGAAACAACAUUUUACAACAAUUUUUUUAUUUUUUAUUAAUUUUUCUAUCUCGCAUACAUUAUAUCCAAAAAAAAAAAAUAUUACCGUAAUUCUUUCAAAAUAUCAUUUCAAUUCAUUUCUUAUCCGAACACACUUAUUAGGUGUUGGAGAAAGUGUAUAUAGUUGAAACAUAAAUGCCUCUUCAUUCAAUUUGGUAAGUGUUGAUAAUAAAUUAAAAGCACGGGUUUAUAUUUUGGUGGUGGCGUCUCAGAGUCAGAUGCAUACAACAGUACAUACCACUAAUGAAUUGAUGAAUCAGAGUCUGCUGGAGAAAAGUUAAUGAAUAGCUACUAGGGAUUUGGGGCAACAACGGUUGGAGGAAGCAACCGUUCUGAAAUAUUUAAUAAAAAAAUAUAUAAUAUUUAAAUUUCAUCUUGUACAUUAUUUUUCAUACCAUGUGUGAGAUCUACAAAAUAUUGUUAUAUAGUUAUACUUUGUGCAAAGUGAAUUACAUCAUAUGCAAAUUAAGUUACAUCUGGUAUAAAAUGCACAAAUCGAUCCGAACGAUUUCUCUGUUUACGGUUCUGCUCCAAAUCUGAGCUACUAAUAUAUUAUCUGUACACUAGUCGGAGUUUUUGUACGGUGUAACCGCGCGCGAAUAACUACACAACUGGGCAUUGGUAACUUUUCAGAUCAUCUUAUAAAUCAAUUAGGUGUUAUGCAUGUUUCCUGAUUUUAAUGUUAAUAUGUUUUUUUCCCCCUUUUGGGGUUGAGUUUCAAUUUGGACGUUUGCACUUUGCUCGCCAGACGCAAUAAUGUAGAACGAUACAAGGGCGCGCACAAAGACAGGAUCAAUCCUCCCACCAGUCCAGCGAAUGCUAUGAUUUCUGCUACGUUGGAAAAUGCUGUUAAAAUGACUUCCAACUGCUUCAAUAUUUUUCCACCAUAUCUGAACUGAAAGUUGACUCUUUUGGUAAAUUAAGCACUUGGUGUGCAGAGAAAUUUGAAGGGAAGAGGUACUUGAAGAACAUUCUUUCCAUAGAAAGAAACAACCUUUUCAUUUUCUUUUAUAAUUGUCUAGAAAAGUCUCUAUUUUCUAUACACGAAAUGCCAAAGCCAACCGCGACUAGUUGGCUGAGGCGAACUAAGUACCCAUAACCUGAAGAUAUGAAGAACAUCCAGGACCUUUCGGCUCUCGAGCAUUAUUCUUACUGCCUCAUGUUCGUUGCAUACUUCAAUUUACCAGACCAGAAGGCAGAACUUCAUUCGACCAAUGCUCUCAUCCACUUUUGGCAUGGCAUUUUCAAAAUCCCAACUCCCACAUUCAGCACAACAUAAGUAGGGCCAGAAGGCAUGACAGAGUUACAGAGGCAUAGAAAUCAGAUGUGAUUAUAGAAACUGUAAUAAUACCAAAAGUGAUUGCUACACACUGCACCUAUACUGAAGUUGAUGAACUCUUUGUAUAAGAAUUCAUGACAACAUAAUUCAAUCAUAUAGCUUUUUGGCAGAUUGGAUUCUAGUUAUCUUGCUUUCAUUCUUCGAGAUUUUCUGUUCCGAUUGCUCAUUCUUAGAUAUAGCUUUAUCAAUAGCUUUCAUCUUCCGGACAUUCUUUGUUCGCUUCAUUUGGACGCCUUUAGUCUUCCUGCAUAGACAUCGACAGAUGAUCAGAAAGGGUAAAAAUACGCCCGUCGGAAGUGCAUUAGAGAAAAUAUACACACGCAUAUAAGCUCCCAAGUCCUGUCAGUCAGACUUUGCUAAGCUAAGCACAAAUAGCAUAAUAUUUUGUUUCACCUGGUGAUAGGUAAAAAAGAUAAGCAAAAAAGGCAAUGAAAUUUGAGAAAGAAAAACGGGAGGAGGGAUCGAUGGUCAUUCUUUGUCAUGUGGUUACUGUAGUGUCCAAAACUCCAAAUUGGAAUUCUAGAAGACAACUGCAAGUACAUAUAACACCCUACAUUUAAAUAUAUAUAAAUAAAUAAAAGAAAUCAGGAUGCGAAACAAAGAAACUUCCAUAGACAAGCAUAUUGCGCAUAUGUUAGAUAACGAUCAAAAAGGUUUAAUAGCUCAAACAAAGAAACUUCUGCACACAAACUAACAUAUUGCACGUAGCAGAUGUCAGAACAUAAAUGAACAACAGCACGCAGCACUAUUUGCCAAACUGGUUCCAGAAGCAAAGACACUCAACAAACAAGGCACAAAUUCAGCACAAAACUCGGUCAAAAAAUUAAUGUUUGUAAUCCACAAUAGGCUGGACUUACUUUAACCCGGCCGGAACAUGAUUUCCACUUUCAAGAAUGCAUAAAACUCAGCAACAAAAAUUAACGUUUGUAAUCUUUUUCCAACUCAAAGUUACCAAUAAUGUAGUGUUUAGCCUUGGACGAUAAUUAUUAUAAUUAUCUUCACUUUCCUUUCUCCUCCCAUCCCCUUACUAGCUCUUUCCCCAGAAGCAUGACUAAGGUUUCAGGGCAGCCAGAAUUGGAGAUAAAUUUUUUCCAAUAUCUCAAUCAGGAUUGAAUUUUUCUCCUCCCGAUUCAAGAUUUGAACCUUAGCUUUUUCCAACACGCGUAUCAAACAAAAAUAAACAGGAAUCGCUACAUAAAUUUGCAUUUCCAAAUAAUAAUCGUAAAAAAAGGGAGAGGAAAUUCAGCUGACCUAUGUGGCCCACCAAUAGAUGUUCUGGAAGCUCCCGGCUCUGAAGUAUCCAUUGCUAAACAGUUCCAAAUACACAUUUAAAAACAAUUGUCAGAAAAAGUACUUUGAGAAUUUAUUAUGGGCACCUACAAAGUCUAAAGCUUUUUUAAUUGCCAAAGAAUAUAUACCUUGAGGGACAUGGAAUACUUGCUCAUCAGAGGUGAGGUCCAUCGGGGCUGAGCCAUUUUUCAAUUUCUUCUUCUUGUUCCUGUUCUUCGCCAUAACCGAAGCUUCCAAAGCUCCGAGAGGGUUUAAGGUUUGUCCGACAAAGCCCUAGAUAGAGGAGUUUUAUCAGAAGACAAAAGAGUCCUUCGAGUGGGCUAGCUGAGGUCCAGUAAACUGCUUUAGUCAAACGUGCUGUUCGUAAUUUUGGGCUUGGGCUGGAAGAAUAACAAUACUAAUAAGUCUUGUCAUAUUUUCAUUCUAUUUUUUUUUUCUUUGGAAUUUAACUUUCUUCCUUUUUUUUAAUUUAAUAUUCCGAUAUUAUAGAUUAUUUGUGAUGCUAUAAAAAAAUUAAUAGUAAUAAUUUCUCUGACUAAGCAUAUCAAAUUCAUAUUUGGAGUUUUAAAGUUUCAAAUUUGAAAGUCGCUUUCAAUAUUUGCGUGAUUCUGAUAGUAAAUUUAUGUUACAACUUUUCAAGUUACACUUUCUUUUAUACUCCAACAGCAAUGUUUCUGUAAUGUGAAUGAUUAGUUACAAAAAGAAAACAUAUACAAAUUAAUUAAAAAAAAUUUUUUUUUUGCUAAGUUUGCUUUCUUUAAUCUAAUGCAAUGGCAUCAUGCAUGAAAACAUGCAAAUAAGGUUCGAGUAGGUCAAGCAUCAAAUAACUUUCGAGUUUGUGCUUGAAAAUUGAAAGUAAGGUCUAAACUAUAGGUGUCAAAAUGAGUUAUUUGGGCGGGUUUGGAUUGGUUUAAAAUGGGUAAUGGAUAUAAGUAAAUCAACUUAUUUAUACCCAUUUUAUUAGACGGGUAUAAAUGGAUAAGAUAAAAAAUAAAUUGGAGUAACCCAUUGAUAAUCCAUUUAUUUUAACUUUUUGUAAAUUCACAUAAAUUCAUUUUUACAAACUAAGUUAUCAAUUCAUACCACCCUUUACACCCAUCAUUAGUUUAAAUAUUUACUUAUAAUGCUCAAUAAACCUAAUUACCAAUUUUUUUCAUCCAUGCUGUAUGUCACAAAAUUACAUACUAUUUAAUAAUUGAGCAAUAAGAAUAUAAAAAUUUGAACUAAGUACUAUAAAAGUUAAUAUAAAAACUUAAUCCAAAAAUUUUGAACCCCUAACAUUUUUUCUUGUGUAAAUUUAAAUUUUCAUUUUGGAAAGGUAGGAAAAGAGACUAAAUCUUGUCAUAAAUUGGUAAUACUAAAAAAUGAGCAAGUUAACAAAUUAAGAGAAAAUAAAAUAAUAAGAUAAAACCAACAAAUAAAUAUCAUGACAAAGCGAAAAAUCUAAAAAAAAUGGGUGGGGGAAGAGAGGAGGUUUGAAGAAAGACAAUUCUAAAUGAGUUAAUUAGAUUUGAUGGGUUAUCCAAUAAUAUUCAUUUAUUAAAUGGAUAUUAUUGAGUAACUCAUUUAUACCCAUAUGCAAAAAUUUAAGAUAUCCAUAUGCAUUUGUUCAUAGACGGAUAUGGAUAAAAUUAGUAAAAUUAAUUUAUUUGCGAUCUAUAGUCUACACCUCUCGGCCACCUUCAAGCUUAACUUGUUAGGGAUCUUAUUUUACGAGAACCUUUUUGAUUUAUUUAGGUGGAUGUUUUGUGAGUGGCAAUAUUGAGGUCAACAAAAGUGAUGGCCUCAUCAUUAUUAGCAGGUCACCUUUGUUGUCGGACAUCAAACAUCAAUAAUCAUCAUCACAGGUAUGCAUGCAAUGGAUUCAUGAAUGCUUAACCAAAUUAUCCAACAGAUUUCUAGCCCAAAAAAAAAAAAACUUAACUCGUAUAUCUUUUAUUUACUAGACCAAAAUACUCAAUGCCAAAAACUUUCUUUGCAAAACAAAUUAAUUAGCAAUAUUAAGUCAUUAACAUAUUAGGGUAUUCAAGGUUCGAUUGUCCGCACACUACUCUUCAGAUGACAAGAUGUCAAAAAAUAGUGACACAAAAAAAUCAAAUAAGAAAUGGUACCAGUAGUUUAGUAUUGCCUUGAGCAGUUGAGCUGGAAAAAAUGGGAAUGGAAAAGGCAACAAAAAAAAAAAAGAAGAAGUAUUAAAGGACAAGAAAGAUUGAUGUAAUAUCUUUGGUUUAAAGGGAUGGCGAGAAAGAAUACCUAAUACCAUAUGGAAUCAAGUGUUUGGCAGCUUUGGGACUUGGUUUGAUGCGGUUCUAUUCACUGUUCAAAUUGGCCCAUUCUUAGCGAUGCAGUGAUGGAUAAAGGGCCCUUAGAAUCUCAAUCAGGAUUUUCAAUUAACAUGGUUUAAUCAUCAUUCGCUUGUACCAUACAUGUACCACUAAAAAAGGAAGAAAAAAAAGGGGCAUAAUAGGAUCAAGUAGCUCUCUUUACCAAAAGAUUGGAGGCCUGAUGGGUCUUAACCACUCGAUCUAAGAUAUUUAUUGUUGACAUGAAGUGGUCUUAACGACCCUAUCUAAGAUAUUUAUUGUUGAUACGAAGUGGACCUCAGAUCGAAGAUCGAUCGCACAUUAAAGGACAGAGAUUAUGGCCUCAGCAGUGUAUGCAUUAAUAUCAUAAUUGUACGUAUUGACACAAUAAAUACCACCUAUAUAUAUAUAAUAUAAAAAAUUAAUCUUAUACAUACUGAUGGUGGAUAGACUGUCACGAUUGAAUGUAUAACACAUAUGCAAAAUUUAAAUUUUAAAUUUAAAUUAUGUGUCAUAUAUCUAAUGAAGAAAGUGUGUGUACUAUCAGUGUAUUAAAAAUUUAUAUAUAUAUAUAAUUUUUCUAAUGGGUGCUCACUUAUUAACACACCCAAAUAAUUAUUACUUAUAUUUAUAUGUUUUUUCUAAUUAAUCAUAUUUUUUAAAAAACAAUUUAACGCUUGAAAUACAUCUUAAUAAGUGCUUAAUAAGCACGCGUUACGAUAGACCUAUAUAAAAAUAAGACUGUGCAAAAUAUCAAUGCUUUUUUAAAAUUUUGGUUAGAGUUAUUUACCAAAAUUAAUCAUAAACCAUUGAAUUUAGAAGUUACUCAACUUAAACUACAAAAUUAACAUCACAAUUGUAGUUGCAAUCUUGUGGUACACAGAGGUUCCUGGUCCUAAAGGAUAAUGUUGGUUGUUUGGGUUGCACAUUCUAUUGGGCACAGGACACACAGAAUUGAUGUCGUCCUCAGGCGCCGCCCCCUUUGGGGCACCGAUGCACAUUUAUGAAGAUAUGGCUGCUUUAUUAUGUAUCAGCGGCAUCGCACAGCUCUUAUGUACGGUGAAGAACGAGUGCGGGCUGCUUGACAAACAAUUGAACCGUCCCUUUUGAUCUUGGAACCAUACACAUCAACUUCCGAAAUUUUGAUCUAGGUGCAGUAAAAACGAAUACCAAUACACUCACUCUUUAGAGUAACUUUUGAGAUGGUCCAAUGAAUGAACGCCAUCAUCUGGGGACACCAUCAUGAAGUGGUCAGGAAUUGUAGAAUUUGUAGAUCCAGAGGCUAAUUCUAAUUGGGGAGUCAUCUGUGCAUGAUGCAUCCUCUUGUUUUUCGGGUCUUUUUCCAUUUGCAUAAACUUUUACUUUUACCUGAUGAAAUCUUUUUUCUCUUAAUUCACAAAAAGGUAGAAGCUCGUGUUAAACAAUUCAAGAAAAAACAAAUAUACUAUAGUUAACAUUUUAUUAUGAUUUUCCAUGCAUGCUCGCCAAUUAGUAACAAAUGAAGUGAGUCAAUAACCCUUUUUUUUGGAGAAUCAAGGACUAUUGGUUAUUGAAUGUCUGUUGUAUCUUUAUGUUUUGGGACCCAAAAAUUGCAAUCUUUUAGGUCAGGAAUGUCAAACUAAAAUCGUGGUGCACUCCACGGCAGCCAAAUCCAAAUGGAGCCCGGAACGUGUUACUGAGGCCUCCAACAUCAUGGGGCGGGCAAAAGCUACACAGGCGCUAGACUCCGAUUUAAGAGGGUUCGUUAAAUUGCGAUGUGGGGCCAUAUGUUUCAUUUCUUUUUCUUUUUCCUCUCUAAUUAAUUAGUACUGUUUUGGUUCUUGAUUUGACCUUUCGAGUCCUCCACUUGGACGUCUUUUUUUUUCCCAUAAUUGGCGGAGUCCACCUUACCGUUAUGAUUAGACCUUUUGUUAAUUAAAACCAGAAUUUCUCACAUGCCCUCAUCUCUUUUACUUUUCGUUUAAUAAAGCCCCUCCAUUCAUGCUGUAAAUCUCUAAUUUUAAUGGAAUAUUUAUUUACUUAACCAUUUUGAUCUAAUGAAGUUUAGAUUAAUCUUUUCUAGAGUAUACACUGUCAACGUUUGAUGAAAAAUAACUAUAUAAAAUCUAAAUUUAAAAUUCAUAUUUUACACAUAUAACAUGAAUUCAACGAUGAUAGUAUAUAUACUGUCAGUGUAUAUAAUAUUUACUUAUAAAAGUUUCUCUUGAAAAGGGAAAAAAAACUAUAUAAUAGUUUCACACUUAUCAUCUUUCAUGCAUUUCCUUGUUGAUUAUUAAAGAACAUAUAGCUUUUAUUCCUUUUCUUCUUCUUCUUUUUUUUUUUGACCUUUUGGUGUCACCAUGUCAUGUGUUUUUCUAUUGCAUUCAUGAGCACAACGAUAAGUGCAAAUAAAAGAAUUAAUUCCUACAUUACCCAUGUAUAUAUUAUCUUGCAAUAACUUUAAUGUAUAACACUUAACACUUGUUCAAUUUGAAAAUUCUAGCAUUUAAAUUUGUUAGUGUAAAAAUUAAUCCAACUAAAAAUGUAAAACUGACCCAUGCUACUAAUUGGUGAGAUAAAGUAUAGAUAUCUUAUUGUGUAACUCGAGCUUAACUCAAUACAUUUUUUAAAAUAUAUUUCUAAUAAUUAAGUGAAAAGGGAAGCUCAAACACUUUCAAACAUUUGCUGACUCAUUAAGCUUGAUGUAAUGAAUAACACAUCCACAUACGUGAUCCAUUUGUCCCCCCAUGGGAAUGAAAAUCCACAGCAAAGUUUUAUAUGAAGCCUAACAGCAUAAAAAUUUAUGGCAUUCUUUUCUUAAUACGGAAGAGUGGAGUAUUUGGCAGUUAGAUAUAGACUAGUUGGGCAAUAGAAAGCUAAAGAGCAUUUUUCUCCCUUUUCCUUUCCUGCAUCAUUGACAGAGUUCUGGUUACCAAGUAAGAACUACGUUGUCUUGACCAUUUUAAGUUUGUGGUCCAUGAUCACCAAAUUUAGCACUAUUAAUUCCAGCUUUUGUAACACCUGCUACUUAAUGUGCUUGCCUACGCAAAGAAACAUGUUCUGUCAAAGCAUUAAGUUCUGUACUGUGUCCGCGCACAACAAAAUGGAUACUCACUACUUUGCCGAGCCAAUCAGUCAUUCAGAAAGGAAGAAUAAAUACGCCCAUAUUUUAUUUGGGAUUUCCUUAACCGGUGUCCAUUAGACAUUCCACCCUCAUUAAUCCACCUAUAAUUUAUUUAACUUAUCAUGUAUACGCAUAUACUAAUAAUCAUUAUUCAUUCUUAUAUUUAUGUAUUUUUUUAUUUAAUCUUACCUACCAUCCCUUUUAACUAUUUACUUUUUAUAAUUAAUUUUACAUUUUUCCUCAAAAAAAUUAUGUUUUUCUUGAACAUAUUUUCCAAUCAUUUUUCAUCUCAUGUAUAUCAAAUUACUACAAUAUAUUUUUCUAUUAAACCUCCAGAAAAUAGCAAUCCAAAUAAUUGAUUCUACACUCGAUCCUUAACGCUAAAUUGAAUUUAAUAAGCAAUGAUUAUUACGAGUGGCUCAUUUCAUUUAAAAAAUACACUUUACACAUUACUCGAACAUAUACAAGCUUCUAAUGCUUUAACAUAUUCUUUCAUGUCUUUAUUUUUUUUUUUCAAGAGGUUGAGAUGUUAUCAUUCAAAACAAGCUCAGAUAUAGUAAGUCAAGAACGCAUAAUUAUUAUUGUUUUGUUUAGUUAAUGCAACUGCAUCAUUGUUAAGCUAACACUUCAUUCUACCUGUGUUUUUGGAUUGAGAUAAUUUGAAACAAAAUAAUUUACUUCACAAAUUCCAAUCAACUUUUUAUCUUCCCAAUCAUCUUUUUAUCUCACAUACAUCACAUCAUAAAAAGUGCUACAAUAAUUAUCUCAAAUAAAUCAUUCAAAUAAACUUUUAUCCAAACAAAUGUGUUUUGGAUACUUUAUAUUGCAUGUAAUUUUUUUUGUCAAAAGCAUGCUUUUAAUUUAUUUACUUUUUUUAUUAUAUAAUUUAUCUCACAUAUAUUAUUUCAAAAAGAAAAGCAUCAUGAUAUUAUUCUAAUUUUUUUUUUCAAUCUUCAAUGCAAACUGAAAGAAUUGUAGUUUUGAUCCCAAAUGUUUGGAGCACGAGCGCUUCUAGCCCCAGAAGUUUCGAAGAAAGCAAAUGUACUCCCAGAUAUUUUAAUCUCUAAGCACAUUUAGUCAUAUUGACUAAUGUUUACCAAAAUUCGAUCACUUGCUGUUACAUAACGAUAAUUAAUUUCUUAAAAGAAUUAAAAAAUUGAAAUAAAUAUUCUUGCCCAUAAUUUGUGGUAAAAGAUGACUAGUUACUCGCAUGCCAAUCAUGCGAGUAAUUAGUAUUUAUUUCAAAAAUGCGAAAAUUCGAUUGACAAAAAAAAAUUGUAGGUUAGAGACUAAUUACUCGCUUGACUUGCAUAUGAGUAAUUGGUCGUCUUUUAUUGCAGAGUAUGGCUAGUAAUUUUUUAUUAAUUUUUUUCAAAAAAUAAUUGCUGAUACAGGACUGGAUUUCGACAGUAAUUGAUAAAAAUCAGUCAUUAGGACUAAAUGUACAUAAAAAUUGAAAGAUUUGAUAUUAUAUUUACUUUCAUUCAAACUUUAGAGACAAAAAACCCUCAUGCCUCAAAUAUUUGAGACUAAAACUUCAAUUGUCUUGUCUAAACAUGAUCAGAAGAACAUUCGGACUCAGAAGCUAAAUUUAAUGAUCAAAUCCUUAAAAUAGAUUUGAGGAUCAAAAGUUUUUCCAAGACCAUGACGUUUGAGGUUCAUAGUAGGAUAAAAUGGAAUUCUUCUAGGCACUGACCCGGGAACUAAUAAGCGUAAGCCAAUAUUGGUAAUGACAACAUCCCAAUACUGUAGACCAAAUAAAUACCAAAAGGUUCGACUAUUGGAGCAUUAUCCACCCGCCAGCCACUUUUCUAACAGAAGGAUUCAGGCGCCUCUAUUUUUUAAUUGCGGUUCAUAAAUUCAAAAUAUGUUCUUGAUAUUUUAUUCCCUUAUUAGAUCUAAACGGUUUUCAAAAUCUACCUGUCCCGGAGAAGUUUCAAAUUCCCAAACCAACAAACAGAUAAUACCAUCUUCUCAUUUUUUUUUCUUUUUCCUUUUUUCGUUCAAAAAAAACACCCCAAAAAUCUUCAAAGGAGAGAGAAAUUCAUCUUUCUGCCUUUAAACUUCAAACACCUGAAAAAAGCUUUGUUCAAUUGUUUCUUCAUCAUCAACCGGGAAAAAAUGAAAAACCUUAAUUAACCUCAGAGUUUUUCAUUUCUACAAAGGCGAAAACAAAACAAUAUAACUAUUCAGAUAUCACUUUUGUGAAUAUAUUAGACAAAAAGCAAAAAGUUUUCCUCAGGCUUCGUUUUCAUACAUUUUCGGUUGUUUCGCACAACAAAUUCACUUUUUUUUUUGGGGGGUUCCCUUGAAAUUAAAGCUGUAUAACAGCUGAAGAGCUGCAUUAUUUCUUCUCACUUUUGGCAGGCUUUGUUUUCACGUUUCGUGACGUUGCAGCAUUUUAAAUUGGGUCUUAAUUCACGAAACUGCGUCGUUUUCGAUAUAGUUCGCUUGAAUUGUGAUCAGAAUUAGGGUUUUAGAAUUAUGUUUUGAACAAUGUCGCCUUUGACAUUGUUCAAUUGCUAAUUUAGGAAAGAGAAUUUUGAAAUUCUAGCGGUUUAUCUUCAGAUUUUCCCUCAAAGUUCGAAAAAAUGCUGGCAGUUUCGCCGAAUUCAAUUGCUAGGAGUUCGCUGGAGGAGAUGCUGGAUUCUCUCCGGCGAAGAGACGAGAACGAGAAGCCGAAAGACAUGCCGCCGGCUCUUCCGGCUCGGCCAAAGGCGACUGCCAGGGCUCGGCUGCCGUCGGCUAAACGGCCGUUGCCCAGCAGUUUUGAAACGGGGGAGAAUCUUGAAGCUGGGAAUUUGAAAAAAGGACACAAUAAUCCUAAAGGAUUUAGGGGGAAUAAUAGUUUUGGUACGAAAAAAGCUAAGGCCAAGGAGCCCAGUGAAUCUCCAUAUGCUGAGGUGGCGGAGCUGAAGGGUGGCGAAGAGAGGUUGGAAAGAAAUGAUGGUGCAAAUCUGGCCAAUUCGGCCCCAGGAUCGUUGCCGAGGUUUAGGGAAUCUGACUGGGAUGAUAACAUUGGUUAUUUCAUCAAAAAGGUGCUAAAAAAGAAAAAUAUUUCAUUUUUAUCUAAUAUAUUUAUUUUUUAAUGGUUUUUGCUUACUGUAUGCUGGGUUUUGGAGUUCGGAAAAGAACAAGAUCGAGUAUUUUACCUAUCAAUUCUUGAUGUAUGAACAUGAGAUAUGAAAUGCCUAUUUCAUUUGUCACUCUGCGAUUUUUUGUGAAGCAUUCAUGCCGGGUAUUGGUUAUCAGGCUACCUUUAUACUUUUUUUUUUUUUUGGUGGAGGAGUGUUACGGGUCAGGAUUUAGGCAUGGAGUUCGGCAUUCCAAUUAAAACUUAAGUGAGAUAUCAUAUUUUUAUGCUGCAAGGAAUGAAAUAGCAUGGUCGCAAUGUUGUUCUCUAUACAAGAUAGAAUUGGUGGACAGAUGCUUAUGUUAUAGAGCUUUAUCAUUUCAGAAGCUUCGCGUCUGGUGUCGUCUACGAAACAGGCAAUGGGAGUUAGGACAAAUUCAGUCCACUAUAGGAGAGAAAGCUUCUGUUUUGCUUUCAGACGGAAGUGUAAGUCCAAGUAUUUUAGAUUUUUUUAGAGUGACUGAUCUUGUAAUAGGGCAGAAAUGAACUGGGUAGCUAUUCUUCUGCAGGUUCUGUCUGUUCCAAUUGGAGAGCUUUUACCUGCAAAUCCUGAUAUUCUUGAAGGUGUGGACGAUCUUAUACAGCUUAGUUAUUUAAACGAACCAUCAGUUCUUCAUAAUCUUCAGUAUAGAUUUUCACGUGACAUCGUAUAUGUAAGUUAUAUUGCUGCAAAAAUUUAUGUCAGAUGUCCGCUGUGAUCUUUUGUAUAUACUACACUACAAUAAUCUUGUGUUUGUGUUCUUGUAGAGCAAAGCAGGGCCUGUUUUAAUUGCAAUAAACCCCUUCAAAAAUGUCCAGCUUUAUGGUGAUGAUUGUAUUACAGCUUACAGGCAAAAUCUCGUAGACAGCCCUCACGUUUAUACAAUUGCAGACACUGCUUACAAUGAAAUGAUGAGAGGUGACACCUAAUAGCUGGAAAUUUGGUAGAGCAGUUGUGUCUGGUUAUACCUUUUCUGACUAAAAUACUCACUUCAAUUCCCCUUUUUACACUUCUCUAUCUCCUGCAGAUGAAGUAAACCAGUCCAUUAUCAUCAGGUUCGUGGCAGUAUGUUCUUUGAUUCGUCACUUGUGUUACUUACCCUGUUCGCCUUUUGUAUCAUUUCAAGCUUAGUUUAAUAUGUUAUAUGGAGAUAAGCUUCUCUUUCAAAUUUCAUCCUAUAGUGGCGAGAGUGGGGCAGGGAAGACAGAAACAGCAAAAAUUGCGAUGCAAUACCUGGCUGCUCUUGGAGGAGGCAGCAGUGGGAUAGAGUGUGAAGUCCUGCAGACAAGCUGUAUUUUGGAGGCAUUUGGGAAUGCUAAAACAUCCAGGAAUGACAAUUCCAGCAGAUUUGUUAGUUUCUUCAUCCUUUUAUUCUAUUUUAUUUUAUAUUCUGGGAUGAAACGUAUUCGGGGUUUAUUUGGGAUUUUGGACAUACUUGAGCAGUUCCAGUAUGCUUCACAUAUUUCUUAUGUGGUGCAGGGGAAGUUAAUUGAAAUUCACUUCAGUGCAGUGGGAAAAAUAUGUGGUGCUGAAAUACAGACCUGUAAGCAUCCUUAUCUUGGCAAGUUGCAAACUUUCAUCUAAUACCCUUUAUAAAAUAACUUUUCAGAGUAUUCACUAACUUGGUUCAUUUGGAAAACCUUUGUGAUGCCAUAUGGUGACUUCUGAUGUGUUGGAUAGAUCUACUGGAAAAGGUAGGUUUUCUCUUGCAUCUUAUUUUAUAAUUUUCUUUACUUUGUUUCGUCUGGUUGACUAAUUUCAUGAAAACAAAUCAAGCAGUCAAGAGUGGUUCAGCUGGCUCGUGGUGAGAGGUCAUAUCAUAUCUUUUACCAGCUUUGUGCUGGAGCUCCUCCAAGUCUCAGAGGUUUGUUUCUCAUAGUUUCUUGUUUCUCUGCAUACUUUUCCUAUUACCUGUUCAUUUUAUGUGACUUUGGGGUUUAUUUUGGUCAAAGUAGCAUGUUAUAUCUAAAUGUAAAUAGUUGCCAUUUAGAACCUUUGUGCUAUUUCAGGCAAUGAUAGUUGAGCUAUUGUUGUUUAAACUGUGUGUUUGUUUGUUUGGUUGAGUAUGUGUAGACCUUUCUCAAAAAGUUGAGAUUGCAAUUUUUGUAAAGUCAUGGACUGCAUGGUUGCUGCUAUUUUUGUCAAAAUCAUAAAUCAUAUAUGUUUCUUUCCCCACUUAGAACUUUCUGCUGGAUGCUAGGUCGUAUGGAACUCGGUUUUUUUUUUUGAGGCGGAUUUUGUACUGAUGUGGAAGUUUCCUCCCUAGUUUCUUGGUUGUAUAAGGAUGAACUUUUUAAUAUGAACUGUGAUAGAAUUAUCCCUUUAACGUCCAGAAAUAUUUGAUCUUUUUGGCUCUACAUUUUGGUUCAUGAAAAUCAUUUUUUCUCAGUAGCAAUAAAUUGUUUUUGGUUUCUCCAGAGAGGCUCAAGUUAAAAGAGGCGAAGGAAUACAACUAUCUCAAUCAGAGUGGCUGCUUGGCUAUUCAUGAUGUUGUUGAUGCUCACAAAUUUGAGUCGCUCAAGGUAUUUUGUACCAACAGAAAUGCGCCUUAUGGUUUGUAUCUGUAUGUUUCUCUUCAUGUUUAUCUUGCUAAUCCUUGUAGGACUUUUGUUGCCUACCAGGAAGCCUUCAAUACCCUUAGAAUUCACAAGGAAAGUCAAGAACAGAUUUUUGAGAUGCUUGCUGCAGUAUUAUGGUUGGGCAACAUAUCAUUUCAAGUCAUUGACAAUGAAAAUCAUAUUGAGGUGGUGGAUAAUGAAGGUAAGCUGCAUUAAAGACUUGGUUUUGCAUAUGAUUAUCUCCUUAGCACUUAGGUUUCUUUUUGUUCUUUUACUUGUUGAACGAGAAGUUGGAUAAAUAGGUUGUUUUAAAGUGUUAGUGAUAUUUUGGCACCUCUGGCGCACUGCAUGCCAUAUGUAUACACUUUCAUACUGGCUCAGAAGUUUGAAGAAAUCAACUUCUCUAGCACUUAUUUAGUUCUUUUUUUUUUUUUUUUGGCCUAAACAAUAUAGUAUUUGAGUUGCUGACCUUUAGAGACUUUUGUUGUAGAAGUGCAUUGCUUUGAUUCUCGGUAUGCCUUCUGGUUAUUUGGGUUAUUCUCAUUUGAAUUUGGUGUGGAAGCCUUGCAAGUGUAUUUUUGAGAAUUGUUAAUUAAUCUAGGGAUAGUUGUUUGGAGAAAUUAUGCUAGUGUCCUUAUCAAGAUUUACAGUUUUUGGAUGAAUUGGUACUUCACACUAGAAACAUGUGAUCUUCUUCGAAAUUGUUAUUUUACAACGUAGUAGCUAAUCCUGGCAAGAAACUUCAUCACUCUUACUCUUGCUUCCUAUUAAUGGUUGGAUAUUCACUCCUAGAUAUUUCACAUUUCUCGUCUGCUUCUUGUUUCUCUACUAUUCUGAAAUUCUUGGAGAUGACCAAAAAUCAUUUCUAGUUUUCUGUGUUCCUUGAGCUUAAGAUACAGAUUUUAUGUGUGUGUCAUUUCCCUGCUCCUUUUCUCAUUUCUAUUCCAUAUGACAGAUAUGUGAUUGAGCAGUACUGUUUAACUUGAUAUUGGGGAAACUUUUGGUUGGUGUGCAGAUAUUUUCUUAAUAGUCAUUGCAUGUGGGUAUUGAAAUUGACCUUUUUGUUAUUUCCCCCCUCCCCAUAUUGCAGCUGUAACCAAUGCAGCUAGCUUGAUUGGUUGCAAUGCCCAGGACCUCAUGCUAACUUUAUCGACUCGUAAAAUACAAGCAGGCAAGGACAGUGUGGCCAAAAGAUUAACACUCCAGCAGGUGUAUAUGAUUCUUGCAUGCAUGUUUUGCAUACCAUUCAUUUGUUAUAUUUGUGCACCAAAAAUUUGACAUCUUGCUUGCUUUCAACUAUCAGCCUGUACUCACUGUACUGAUUUUUGUCAUAGGCAAUUGAUACAAGAGAUGCUUUGGCGAAGUUUAUCUAUUCAAGUUUGUUUGACUGGCUUGUGGAUGAGAUCAAUCAUUCACUUGCGAUGGGCAAAUACCGUACUGGGAGAUCCAUAAGUAUUUUAGAUAUAUAUGGAUUUGAAUCAUUCAAGGUAAAUAACAAUUGAUCAGUCUGUUGCUGUUAUGAUAUGAUAAAGCUGUGUGGAUAGAUGACACUAUCACAUUUUAUUUACAGAAAAAUAGUUUUGAACAACUGUGUAUAAACUAUGCAAAUGAGAGAUUGCAGCAACAUUUUAAUCGACAUCUAUUUAAACUUGAGCAGGAGGUAAGCUUCUCAAACCUAGGUUAUUGUUUUUCUUGCAUACAGAAAUUCCCUAUUUUUAUAUUUUUCGUAUAUCUAUUUAUAUGAAAAUAUCAAAUGCCGUGUCAUAGUAAAAGUUAGAGAUUUCUAUUUUCCAGAAACAUGCAGCCAGUGGAGUCUCACAGGGGUUGGACAUUUAUCUUUUUGUCUGUUUUAUGAAUAUUGAAAACAUUGUUGCUCAUUGCUGAACUUGAAAGACUGAUGUUGGAUAAAGAAAUUGCUGCUACAUAACUUUCUGCACUAGAUUUAUGGACUCUAUUCUAUGAUAUCUUCUCAAGUAAAUGAUUUCUGCAGAAUCACAAUAUUUAAUCUGACUGGAAAAUUUUCCCUUUUCGCUAGUCUCCUUGUUCCAACUAUUAUAUUGAUCUGAAAACAGGAUCAUCGUUACUAAAAUCCAUGUGAUCGAAUGUGACAUCCCAAGCAUCUUGUUUUUGUGUAGGAGUAUGAAUUGGAUGGCAUUGAUUGGACAAAGGUAGAAUUUGAGGACAACCAUGAGUGUUUGAACCUCUUUGAGAAGGUAUGUUCUUCCUCCCAUUAUGAUAUCCUGUCUUUAGGAAUUUUAAAGGCUGCAAAUGCAUACACGAAAAUGUUUACAAACUGGUAAAACGUCUUUUGCCAUCAUCGUGAUUGGCUGAUUAAAACUCAUAUUUAUAUAUGUAGAAUAUACAAGAGAGAACCAUUAUGACAAAAUUACACAAGUAUCCUAUGAAUUACUUAGGGGUAUGGUGUCACAGAUAUACUUUGUUUAAACAGAACCUUUUCGAUUUGACGUUUUCAUAAUUCAGUGCAACAUCUUGUGUAGAAGCCUAUUGGGCUGAUAUCUCUAUUGGAUGAGGAGUCAAAUUUUCCAAAGGCUACCGAUUUAACCUUGGCUGAUAAACUUAAGCAGCACUUGGAUGCUAAUCGUUGCUUUAAAGGAGAAAGAGGCGGUGCCUUCAUCAUUCGCCAUUAUGCUGGAGAGGUUAGUGUUGCUUAUAGCCAUGAUCAUCAUGAUAGUAAUUAUUAAAAACACUUUUGAACUUGUGAUAAGGAGAGUUUUCCCAAUUAGUAAUUGAAACACAAACUUGAAGCUGGGCCCACAAGAUAUCUUUUGUUUCCAUGGUGUUUUCUGAGCAGUAUUUGUGUAGGGUUCAGUAUGUAGUUAUUGAUUGACGAGUACUUGACGCAUAGUAAUGUCUAUUUCCAAAGGGUAUUUAUCUUAUCAUUUGCUUCCAGUGCACAUUGAAGCUUUUAUUUUCUUAAAAACUGGUGGUAUGCCAUCAUACCAUGUGGUGCUACUUUGGUGCUUUAAUACCUAACGCAUGAAUAUUCUUAUGAGAAUUGGGAAGACAUUCUAUGUCGGCUUGCUCAAUCCCUGUUCUUGAAGGCUGAUGGUAUGCUUUGCUAGCCUAACUAUAGUCGUUUUCUGUAGGUUCUUUAUGACACUAAUGGUUUUCUGGAGAAGAACAGAGAUCCCAUCCACUCUGACACAAUCCAACUGCUUUCCUCUUGUAGCGGGCAUCUUUCUAAGUUGUUUGCCUCUUCAGUUCUUAAUGUAUUACCAAAAACUGCUAGUCCGUUGGAGCAGUCAGGAGCUUUGGGUUCACAGAAGCAAAGUGUUGGCACCAAGUUCAAGGUAAAGAGUCAUGCUGCUACCUAGCAAAAAGGGGGAAAUAACAUAAUGGCUUUUCCAGUAUUCUAAUCAUGCUUUAAUUGUUUACUGCCAUUGGCUACACAAACGUCAAUUAAAAAAGAGUGACACACUUUUGACAUUUUGAGCAAAGUCUAUUUUGAAAGGGAAUUGGAAGUUGGUUCCAUCUUCGCUGCAGAUAUACAUGAUUUCAUUUCACAGCUGCUUUCAGAUCUCAUUAUAAGCAAAUUCAUAGAAAACUUCCCCAAGAAUUGGCCCCUUUUGCCAAGUGCCAACGCUAAAAUUAUUAGGGCCAGAAGAUCUAGAAAAGACAUCGCGGAACAAAGCAAUGAUUUUUUUUCCCAAAAGUUAUUGUUAUAUAAUGGCAAAAAAAAUUUAUGCCAUAAGGACUUUUCAAAACUAAAUUCGCAUGACUGAUAUUCGACUAGUCUUUUAAAGCAAAAUACUUCAUGAGUUUUAUUUCUGCUUGUAGGGUCAGUUGUUUAAAUUAAUGCAGCAGUUGGAGAACACGACUCCACAUUUCAUUCGCUGCAUAAAACCAAACAAUAAGCAGCUUCCUGGCAUUUACGACAAGGACCUUGUCUUGGAUCAACUUAGAUGCUGCGGGGUUCUAGAGGUUGUUCGGAUCUCAAGGUCUGGAUAUCCUACUCGAAUUACACAUCAAGAUUUCUCGAGAAGGUAAAAGUGGGGUAUUAAUUUUCUCUUUGCUUGUUAAUUUUAAGAACUUGUUCAUAUAUGCUUGUGUGGAUUUUAGGUACGGAUUCCUACUUCCGGAGGAUAGUGAAAGCCAAGAUCCUUUGAGUUCAUCAGUUGCUAUUCUGCAGCAAUUCGGUGUCCUUCCUGAAAUGUACCAAGUUGGCUAUACAAAAUUAUUUUUUCGAGCGGGUCAGGUAAGUUAUAGACUAUUGUGAGGUUCUUCAUGUGCUUCUAGGUUUGAAAACCUGCUCUAGAGUCGUGCAGAAGUGUUUUGGACACAAUUCUCUUUGAUUACUUCGCCUCAACAUUUUUGUCCUGCUGCAAUGCAGAUUGGUGCGCUGGAAGACACAAGAAAACAGGUUCUUCAAGGUACUCUUGAGGUGCAGAAGUGUUUUCGUGCUCAUCGGGCUCGUCGCCACUUCCAUGAUCUCAAACAAGGAGUAACUGCAUUGCAAUCAUGUAAGGAAGCUGUCAAAGUAUUUUCUAAGUUCAUUUGUGAUCCAUUUGAAAUGACACUGCACAAGAAAUUCUGUUUAGAGAAUUUAAUUUUGUGCCAUAUUGGAUUUUCUUCUGAGGCCUGUCAAACUUGAAAGUCACUUAUUCGAAAUCAGAAUCAUAUCUGAAUUUGUUAGACAUACUACAAUUGCUUUUGGUCCUGCAAAUGCUGUGUAUUUGUCAAGCUUCCUGGACCAGUAUGCCUUACAUUUGAAGUGACAUUUAAUGUUUUUCUUGCAGUUGUUCGUGGCGAAAUUGCUAGAAAGGAGUAUGAUGUUCUUGUUAACUUGAGCAAGCAGGUAGCUGAGAGUAAGUUUGAGGAGCAGCUGGUGGCAGUUGUGCAAAUACAAUCAGGUAAACUUUUAUUUUGUAUAUAUUAAGCAGGUUAGUAGUUUAUAAAUUAAGUGGAUAUCCAAUUCUUAUAAGCAUUUUGGUGCAGUAAUCCGCGGGUGGUUGGCUAGAAGGAAUAUUGAUCGUCUGCGGAAUUCAAAAAUGAUGAUUUUUGAUAAACGAAGGCGAGGAAAGAAGUUUUCAGAAGUGAUGGUACUCUCUUUAUGCUACUUUAAAGCUACAACCUUGACUAGUUUCAUUCUCGUAGUAAGACACAAUGGGUGACAUAAUUGUUGAGAAAGUUUUGCUAAGUUUGACUUUUACACAUUCAACCUACAUCAUAAAAUACCAUGUGGAUGAUCCAGAAACACAAUCUGCAUUUUGCUUUUCAGGGAAUUACAGGAAUGUCUGUGUAUUAAUUUGAUCAGAUUUUGACUUCCUUGUAUAUUUGAAAUACUAAAAAUAUUUCCAAUUCUGAGAAUUGCAUUGUAAAUUUGAAGUACUGUUGUUUAUCAGGGCCUAGCGCAAGAGAAUUUACCUUCAGUGGUGGAAGAGCUUCAAAGGCGUGUGGUCAUGGCAGAGGUAAACCUAGGGAAGAAGGAAACGGAAAAUGCUGCACUGAGAGAGCAAGUACAAGAGUUUGAGGUGCGUUGGUUGGAGUAUGAAGCCAAAAUGAAAGCGAUGGAGGAUACAUGGCAAAAACAGAUGGCAUCCUUGCAAGUGAGUUUCUAUGUUAGUGUGUUCCUUGCAAAAUCUUGCAUGCUUUUUAGAGUAAAUGAUACAUUUUCCUCUACUGCUGUGCUUCUUUGUAAGAGUGUUUGCAACAUGCUAGCAGUAGCUGAAGAAAGAAAAUGAAAUCUCCAUUUGAAGUUUGACAUGUGAAUCCUGGUGGUGUUAUACAUCAACAUUCCUUAGCGACAAGUUAUGUUUACUUGUUGACUUAAAUUCCAAAAUUAUGCUGUUUCUUACUUGCCUUGGUACCUAUGUCUUUCUCAAUGCAGGUGAGUCUGGCUGCAGCCAAGAAGAGUCUUGGUGCUGACCAUACAGCAGUUCAACCAGCUGGAAGGCUUGAUGGUCUUACAUCUCCUCGCUAUUACGAUUCUGAGGACACAAUGUCCGGAGGAGCUCGAACUCCUGGUGGGGAAGCUAAUGGCGGAUUAAAUUCAGUCGGUCACCUUGCGAAAGAAUUUGAAAAUAGGAAGCAAAUUUUUGACGAGGAUGCCAAAGCAAUAGUUGAAGUCAAGUCAGGGCAGAACCCUGGCGAAGAAUACCGGAGACUGAAACACAGGUUUGAGGCGUGGAAGAAAGACUAUAAGGCGCGGUUAAGGGAGGCAAAGUCAAGACUUCAAAAGCAUGGGCAUUUAGAGGGUGAGAAAAGAAACCGAAAAUGGUGGAUAAAGAAGAGCAGAUUUCAGCUUUAGCUGCCUUCAGCCUUGUAAAGAUUUCUAGGUGGGAGUUACUUUUCAGUUACCUUUCUCGUAGGUUGAACGCGGAAGAGGUGCUUGUGUGUGUAUAUUAUUGGUCGCUUUUUGGAAGGAUCAAUUUGCUUGGUGAUUUCCUUCCAUUUCGUCCCUUUUCCGGAUAUUAGGUUUGAGCCUAGUUGUGCAUAGCGUAUCGUUCAUGAUGUAACUGAUCACCUCUUCACCACUGCGUAGGUUGUGGCUAGAAAUAUAAAUAUAGGAUAGAAAUGUACCCAUGUUUCCUCUCCCAUAACACUUGUAAGAGGAAGUGGUUGUAAAUUGAUGGGCUUGCUUUCAGGUUCUGUUUCCCACGAGAAGCGUUCUUUACUCUAUGCUGAAGCCAGAAAUCCAAAGAUUUCUUUUCGUCUAAAAGAUUAAACUUGCAUCCGCAAGCCUGUUAUGGAAUGAGAAUUUUCCCCCCGUCCUGUCUUUAGUAAGAGGGGAGAAAUGAAGGGACCGCAAGCUCUUCUAAUUGUACGUAGCUUACCAAAUUUCGAGUGUCAACAUGAUAGAUGAUUCACAAGAAAAUUAUUUGAAAAUGCCGCGUAGCUCAAUGAAUUGCCCCGGUUGAAGAGUAGGUUAUAUCUAUCAGCUUUAAGGGAAAGGAGGUGAAAACUAGCUAUAAAGCAUUGAUGACCUGCGGAUCCGUGACGGUACAUGAGCUCAAUCGCUUUAUAUAGUUGGGCAAAAUAAAUAAAUAUAAAUUAAUAAACAAGUUUCCAUUCACAAAUUUUAGUCCAGACAAAGCAAGAAAAAUUUACGAUCCGGGGACAAACUUGGUGGCAUAGACCCAGGCAUUGUUAGCAACUGGGUUGUCAAGAUGGUCCAAGAGAUUUUCAAGAGGGCCUUUUCCAGUGACAAUAGCUUGGACAAAGAAACCGAACAUGGAGAACAUUGCAAGCCUUCCAUUCUUGAUUUCCUUCACCUUA